UUAUUCAAAUCUAUUUAUCCAAUAACUCCAGAGACUAAAUGAAAUUUUUGAUAUAAGAACGAACACAAAGACAUUUUUUUCACAGCAUGAUAAAGACUGCUAGGAAAAUUUCUAGGCUACAGACCUUUAAUUCGCCUUAGUUCCUUACACAGCGUGAUAAAGUCUCCCCAUUUCAUGUGGCACCGUCUUAUAAACCGAAGAAUCUGCUCAGUAGUAAACAUUGACAUGCCUUCCAGGUAUUCUCCAUUGACUCCAUUUUCCUUAAAAGUUUGCCGGUAACUGCCGAGGUUUAUCUCUUCCAACCACAAACCGACAUCCUGUACGAAAGGGGAAAAUAAACAUGAGAAUACAUGUGGGUGAGCCAUGUAUCUUUAUAUUCGUUUUAUUAUAUAUGGCCAAAAAAUAUGUACAUGAGGCCUUCAUCAGGGCACAUGAUAAACUCAGGCUAUUAUUAAGUCACUGUUAUAAUAUAACAGUCCCUCCAACCCAAAAAUAAAAAUAAAAAAAACAAUAUUCACCCAAAUUUUUGUUCAGGACAACCUUAAACUUAGGGCAAUUUAAACUCUUUCUUUUGAGAUUAUCCGACUAGAGUUCAUCCAUAUCAAACGGCAUUACUUCACAUGGCAAAGAAAUGUUUUUGUCUGUAACUUGGCUGUGUUUAAUUUUAAUAUCAAUAAUCCCCUUUAGUCACAAAAUAUCUGUUCCCAGAGGUAAUCCUAAGAUUCCUAAGACCAAUAGUAAUGUGUUUGUCUCUUUAUUUUCACUGUAACGUACUUACUCAUAGCUACUAAUAGUUAGGUGGAGGCAUCUUUAGCACAACUUCAGAGUCAAAGACCACAUUCAAGCUUUAGCUCAUAGUUUUGUUCACUUGUGAAGUUGUUAAAAAAAAAAUUAUAAUCCAUUCAUCAUUCUAUGGACAGGGAAACAAUUUCCACACCCCAAGAUGAGGAGGGUCCUGACCAAGGGAAUAGCAACAGAUAAUACGGUAUUGCACUAACAACAAACGAUUGUUCUGUAUCAUAUUAGAAUCGUUUUAUAAAGUGACAAAGAGUCAAACGCCUGACACCUCAAGAACCAUAACUCAAAGAAAGAAGAUUGUGUCGAAUAAUAGUUGGAGGAGGAUGAAUUGAUGAGUGAAGGCAAUUAUUUCCUGUAGUAACAACAUGAGAUGGAUUCAAAUGAAACUGAUGAAUUUCCCAGCUUGCCAAGUAUGAAAGAUAAUUAGCAGAUUACAUGAAAAGUCUCCUCUAUUUCGAUUCAUUAAGUUGGUCUAUUUCACAAUAAUCAAAACUAAAACCUACCACUUGAUAACUGUUCCCCCAGUAACAACCCCAUCAAAAAGAAAAUACAUCACAAGAUGUUAAAAAAAACCCCAAAAUUUCAAAAAGUUAAUACAUACAAACACACAUAUAUACAAAGCCUAACUCAAAGAGAAACAGAUGUAUGAGCUAGCAAUAAAUUAACAAAAAAAAUGAAGUCAAAAUCAGAUGUCCCAAACAACAAUUCUCCAGUAACAACGCACAAGAUCUACUUGAUUGAAUGAGAAAUAUCCAAAAACAAGGACAGAAAAAGAGAAAAAGAGACUGAAAAUUGGUUACCUCAACAGUCCAAAUGAAGAAAUCAAGAGGCUCUGGUGGGUGUUCUUUGCUCAUCUCCCUCAUCAUAACGCCUUUUCAAGACCUUCAAAUCAUUCACAACCCAAACACACUCUCAGUCACAGAGACGACACAAAGAGUAAAGAGCUUAAAAAUAAAAUUUCACAAAAAAUAAAAUAAAUAAAUAACAGCUUGGUCUAAGACUAGUGGCAGUUACUGCGAUCCGAAUUUUCUUCGUUUUUUUUUCUUUUUCUUUUGUUCGUUGUAUUUUCUGGGAGACCAAACAGAAAGUUAGAGAAAGCUGGAUUGGGACUUACCGUGCGGAAGGUGAGUGACAAUUUUGAGGGUAUAAAUUCUCUACAUUUGUUUCAGAGCUUAAAGAGAGAGAAAGUAAGAAGAAGUCUGAAACUGAUGACUCAUUUGCUUUCUUGCCCACUCUUUUUUUCUGUCUCUUAAUGGAGUUGAUGGGCCUCCAUUUUUCUCCUUUAUUUUCCCUUUUAAUUUCUCUUAAUUAUCAUUGCUAAAUUUCAUAUAAUAACACUAAAUUACAUUUUUAUCCAUAUAAAUAUUGUAUCGGAUUGCAAAGCGAUACUGGGGAGAAGGAACCCAACACACAUCUCAUAUGCAAAAGUUAAUACUAUUAAUCGCUUUAGCUACGUGUCCUUCACAAUCCAUUUAAAUUUUUACUAGUAUCUCAAUUGUGAAGAACAUAUAUUCGUGAACGUAAAUCGAAAUACUAGUAAGACUAAAUUCAUUUGAAUUCUAAACCAUAAAAGGUUAUAAUUGUAAACGUCAAAGUGAAAUGAGAUCAAAACAAUUGGAAAUAAAACCCUAAUUUAGCCAAGGAGAAAUUCUCAUUAGUACCCCUUAAGGUAACUUAUAAAUUUGGUUGGUAAAUAAUUUAAUAUUUUAUUUUGGUUCAAUGCAUGUCAAAUCAUAGAGUAAUUGGUUAUUAAUAAUACACCUUAUGACGUUUACUAUAAUAACUUUGUCUUAAUUAUUUUGGGACCAUUAUGAAAUUAUUACUAAACCAGCUUCAAUUAAGGUGCAUGUUUGGGCCCACGUGGGCCGGCCUGAGUUCGAUUGAACUGGAAGACUACGAAGGCGACAAGUUGGACCGACCAAAUCGAAACCAUGCAGACGGUCAAUGAAUCUUAUGGUCAUCAGAUCGUACGGUCGUGACGGGAGUUUCUUUGAAGCUACAGUGAACAGCUACAUGUGCAACACGUGUCCAUACCGUCGCUUACGUUGCGCUAUCAUUGUCCCUGGACCACAUACCAAAUAAUAACCCUAAAUCAGUAAUUAGAAUUACAUCACUUCCUUCUUUUAGGUGUUUAUUAUAUUGUCACUUGUUGUCUCUCCUUUUGAUCUUGCACCCACUUUUUACUGACUUUUUAUUACAAAUGUACGUAUGCACCCCAAAGAUUACAAAAAUAACUUUUCUUACCUCUUUUGUAUUUUUUUGAUGUAAAUUACUGUAAUAUAAGGGAAAAUUUGAAUUCGGGUAUAAGGAGACGAGCACUCUCCUGACAAAAGUAGUCAAUGUUGUUUUACUUAUAACUCAUUAUUUCUAUAGUUAGUUAAGAUUUUGUAUUAAUAUAAACCUUAGUGUUAUUACAAGAUAUAGUUAUCAAUAUGGAUUGGGUAUGUGUAUCAAUGUGGACCGACAAUGGGGCCAAUUCAAGAGGUGGGUUAAACAAGACCUUCUUAAUAUGCUCCUAUGGACCUAAUCCAUACUAUAUAUAUAGCAAGGGCAUGACUCAUGAGGGAAGACAAAAGGGACCCAACUUAAAAAGAGCCCAAUUUUAUAGUGACAUAACAUAUAUUGAAAUGCAGUCUCGAUCUUUUGGACUACAAGAGUUCAAGAGAUUGUGGUCACCCACCGUUGGAUAUUAAUCCAACGGUUGAAAAAAGUUUUUUAAAAGGAGUGCAAGAGUGAGUGAACCAUUGAAUUUACAUCCAAUGGUGAGUGACCACAAAUCUCUUGGACCACUGUAGUCCAAGAGAUCAGGACUGUAUGGAAAUGUAUGAAUGAUUUUUUUUAUUUUAUUAUAAUUUUAAUACAAGCGAUAUUUUAAAUUACAAGAAUGAAGGAAGUUCUUCACACAUGUUACCAAUUCCAACUUGAGACCGUGAUUUGCAAAUCAAUAUAUUUUUUCACUCAACUAAACUCCGUUGACGUGGACAUUUUUUUUGUAGUGUUGUGCUGUGUAAUGGUUAAUCUUACAUUGUUAGAUUUAUAUAUUGUUAAAACAUGCUUUGAUCUAAUGGCUUAAAUUUGUGUAAAGGUGUUGGGCCCACCACCAUUAGUAUUGCUACACACGUCCUAAAGUCGUGAGGUCGCCCACACCGGAUCACCCCGUCGUCAAAUUUCCUCUCUCACUCGAGAGCCAGGACAAUUCAAGCGCUCGCAUUUUCCGUUUUUUCAGCUCCGUGUAUCCCUAAACCCAAAACCCCCAAAUUUUCCCUCCCUUUUUUCUCUGCGAGCAAAAGCCAAACAAAUGUUCUCACCAGGAACUAAGCGAUCCAAUGUGAACCCUCGUCGGGACCCAGGAUCUCCGGCCACUCCUCUCGUCGAGAACCGGCGAUCUGUUUCCGAUAACCCGGUCCCGAACCGGCCCAGUACCGGAACUCCGGCUCCCUGGGCUCCUCGCUUAUCUGUUCUCGCCAGGUACUCGUCUAAUUUAUCAUGCAUUCGUUCUUUGAAUUGCUGAAAUGAGUUCGUCGGUUCUGCAUGUGAGCUUAAUUGUUGGUUUUAAUUGGAUAUGGUAAUUGGAGAGUUGGGUUGGUGAAUGUAAGGGCUGAUUUUCAAUCGUUUGUGUUGUUUUGUGUUUGGUUAGAGUUUUACCAGCGAACCAAAGUGAGAAAGGGGAUGAAAUUAAGCCUGUAUAUGUUGGAGAGUUUCCCCAAGUUGUUCGUGAUGAACAGGCCAGUAUGGUCCAGAAGCAUGUUCAUGGUUAGUAGGGUUUACUCCAUGAGCUUGGUUGUUGAAUGAAAUGACUAACUGUAGAAUGGUAUCCGAUGUUUUCUCUUCUUUUUUUUUCGUCUUGCAGGUGAUACAUAUGUAUCUGGUGGAAUGGAGAGGGGAACAUCUUUGGCAUGGAUUAUAUGCGGAAACAGACUCUUCGUGUGGAGUUAUCUGUCUCCUGCAGCAUCGAUCAAUUGCAUUGUUCUUGAAAUCCCUGCAAAAGUUUUUGAAGGUGGGGAUGUGGGCAGAAGUGGUGGGAACUGUUGGUUGCUUUGUGUUGUCAAUUGGGAUAGCACGUCUACAAGAACAAAGAAAGUUGUUAAACACUGUAGCUCUGCUGGUAUUGUAUUGUGUAACAAAAAAACUCGAGCUGCGGUGUACUGGCCUGACAUUUAUGCUGAAGGCAGAACUGCCCCCGUUGUUAGUGUUGCAUCUUCUGAUGAAUUGGAGGCAAAUUCUUCGCCUAUUGAUAGGAAGACCACCCCAAAGCGACAGCAACUAAAUAUGCGGCACAGGAGUAGUUUGACUGGGUUUUGUACAUUUAACUCUUUGAUUGCUUCUGCAGUCCCUGAUUCCCAGAAUAUGUGUGUUGCGCUUGCCUGUAGUUCAGAUGGCGAGCUAUGGCAGUUUCAUUGCAGCCCAUCUGGUGUUAGCCGUAAGAAAGUAUAUAGGGACAAUCAGACUCUUUCCUCCCAAGGGGGUGACAAUGGUCAAAACCUAGGGAGCAAGGGUUAUCCAAGGUCACUGACCUGGUGUGUUCCAAGUCUUCCUAUGCAGGAAUCUAACAGGCUGUUUGUUCUUCUGACAGAUCAUCAUAUUCAAUGUUUUAAUGUUGAACUUUGUGAUGAAUUUGUUGUGUCAAAACUCUGGUCUCAUGAGAUUAUUGGCUCAGAUGGGGAUCUGGGCAUUAAGAAAGAUUUGGCUGGGCAGAAGCAAAUCUGGCCUCUCGAUAUGCAGGUGGACUAUCAUGGUAAAGUGACUACCAUUCUGGUUGCUACCUUCUGCGUGGACCGGGGUAGUGGUUCAAGCUACACACAGUAUUCUCUUUUGACUAUGCAAUAUAAAUCUGGAAUGAGUGUGGAGCCUACCCAUGAAAGAGUUUUAGAGAAAAAAGCACCUGUGCAAGUGAUAAUCCCAAAAGCAAGAGUAGAAAAUGAAGACUUCUUAUUCUCCAUGAGACUGCGGGUAGGGGGAAAGCCUUCAGGAUCAGCAAUCAUCCUUUCUGGUGAUGGAACAGCAACAGUAUCUCAUUAUUUUAGAAACUCUACAAGGCUCUAUAAAUUUGACCUACCUUAUGAUGCUGGAAAGGUUCUAGAUGCUUCAAUUCUUCCGUCUACAGAUGAUGGUGAAGAAGGGGCAUGGGUUGUACUCACUGAGAAGGCAGGAAUAUGGGCAAUACCUGAGAAGGCUGUUAUACUUGGUGGGGUUGAACCUCCUGAACGAAGUUUGUCACGUAAAGGUAGCUCAAAUGAAGGAUCUGCACAAGAAGAGAGAAAAAACCUUACAUUUGCAGGCAAUUUUGCUCCUAGAAGGGCUAGUUCUGAAGCAUGGGAUGCUGGAGAUAGACAAAGGGCUAUGACUGUAAGUGCGCGUCAAACUGCCCAAGAUGAAGAAUCAGAAACUUUACUGAGCCAGCUUUUCCAUGAUUAUCUUUUAUCUGGGCAAGUUGGUGCCUCGUUUGAAAAGUUAAAAAAUUCAGGGGCAUUUGAUAGGGACAGAGAGACAAAUGUUUUUGCGCGAAUGAGCAGAUCAAUUGUUGACACUUUAGCUAAACACUGGACAACAACUAGAGGAGCCGAGAUUCUGGCAAUGGCUGUAGUAUCCUCCCAACUCAUGGAUAAGCAACAGAAACAUACAAAAUUUCUCCAGUUUCUUGCUUUAUCCAAAAGUCAUGAGGAGCUGUGUUCGAGACAGAGUAUGCCCUCAUGCCUAUUAUAUUUGCAAUGUUUUAUCAUUUGAUGUCAAAUCCUUUCCAAUUGACAUGGCAUAUGUUGAAACUUGAAAGUUCAUGCAUGCAACAGUGUAGGUAUAGCAUGCAUUUACUUCCACGCGUGCUUAUCUAACCCACUGCACUCAAUCAAUUUCUUUUAGGUUGUCAGAUAUUAACACAUAAAGUUAUAAUUCGUUACCGGAGUUUAAUUUAUCAAAAAUAUGAUUUUCAGGGAAUUUUUUCUUUUUGGUGCUGUGCUCAUUUGAUAAUUUUGUCAUCAGAGUAUCUAUUGGAUGCACGGAGUAUAUUAAUUAGUGUCUAGAUGACAAUAUUUCCUAAGGUGUCCUAUCAUGGGGGUAGAAGGCCUUUUGAGGAGUAUAUUGAUUUGAGGUUCAGUGGGGUGCUGUUGACCAACUAAAUUAUGGUUUUUUGUUUCCUUUUUGGCAGGAAAUUCUUUGCAAAUUAUCUUGGAGCAUGGUGAAAAGCUUGCUGGAAUGAUUCAACUAAGGGAAUUGCAGAACAUUAUUAGCCAAAACCGCUCUAGUGGACUUAACUCCUCCCAUUCUAGUCCAGAAAAUCAAAUAUCAGGUGCUCUCUGGGAUCUCAUUCAAUUAGUUGGUGAGAGAGCCCGCCAGAAUACUGUUCUUCUGAUGGAUAGGGAUAAUGCUGAAGUCUUUUACAGUAAAGUUUCUGAUCUUGAACAAGUGUUCUCUUGCUUAGACAAACAGCUAGAGUAUGUAAUAAAUGCAGAGCAGCCAUUUGGGAUUCAGGUCCAGAGAGCUUGUGAACUGUCAAAUGCAUGUGUUACUAUAGUUCGUACAGCCAUGCAAUACAGAAGUGAGCAUCACUUGUGGUAUCCGCCACCUGAGCGCUUAACACCUUGGUAUUGUCUAGCUGUGGUGCGCAAUGGGAUGUGGCACCUCGCUUCCUUCAUGCUGCAGCUGUUAAAGGAGGCAUCUCAACUUGAUGUGUCUGCAAAAUCAGAUUUAUAUACUCAUCUAGAAGUGCUGGCUGAAGUUCUGCUUGAGGCAUAUGCUGGUGCUGUCACAGCUAAAAUUGAACUAGGAGAUGAACACAAAGGCUUAUUAGAUGAGUAUUGGAAUAGGAGGGAUGCACUCCUAGACUCGCUUUAUCAACAAAUCAAAGAGUUUGUGGAAGUUGGGCAUCAGGUAUUCUUUGUUUAUUACUAUUAUUGUUUAAAUUUUAUUUUAGCUCAACGGUAUCUCUUUGUGAUUGUGAUCCUGGUGCUGGAUAAGUAUGCAUCUUUGAAUUUAUUGUCUUAGCAGAAUUUAAAUGAAGGAACUGAUGAUCUAAAUGAAGAAAUUCUUGCGAAGCUUUCGUCAUGUUUGCUGCCCAUGGCAAAACGGCAUGAAUGCUACAGUACUUUAUGGAAAAUAUGCUGUGACCUGAAUGAUUCUGGACUACUAAGAAAUCUGAUGGUAUGACAGUUAUAAUUUCUUCGGCUUGUUACUUGUUUAUUUUCAUUUGUUUUCUGAAACUUAUGGAAUGGUUUCUCUGUUGGAAAGGUUGUUCUGUGCUAGUGUGUAGUAUUAGUCCGUUGGAAUUCAUUUAACCAUUGAAGCAUAGUAACCUGCGUUGGUUGUUUCUUGAAGCUCUUCCUCUUAAUGGUGCCACAGUUCUGAACGUUUACUUUGAAGCUGUUCUCUUCUAAUUAGAAUAAUUCUUCUGCAACUUUUUUCAUCAUUUCAAUGUUUAGUCCUACUUAGAAGUUUGUUAUUUUUAAGGAUUUCAUUAUUAUGUUUCUGUUUAAACUUAAAAACAUAGGUUUUCUCUUGAUCAUUUGCUUCGAAGAUAUUGUUUGAUGUGAUUUCUGUUUUCUCUUGUUUUCUUGUCUUAUUAGAUGUCUCCUUCGUUUUCUGAAAAUGAUUUGUUAUAUAGCAUGACAGCAGGGGACCUAAUGGAGGGUUCAGUUACUUUGUGUUCAAACAACUUUAUCUAAGGAGACAACUUUCCAAACUGCUUAGGCUUGGGGAAGAGUUUCCUGAAGAGUUAUCCAUAUUUUUAAAGUAUCAUCAAGAUCUUCUGUGGCUUCAUGAAGUGUUCCUUCAUCAAUUUUCUUCAGCUUCGGAAACUCUUCAUGAAUUAGCUCUUUCUCAAAAAGAAAGCUCAAUUUCAGAAGCUGAAGAGGGGACUGGUCCUGAGAAUCUGACUAUGUUACCGAAACUGGCAGACAGAAAGCGUUUUUUGAAUCUCUCAAAAAUAGCCGCAAUAGCAGGUAUGUUUUAUCCUUUGACUUUCCUUAAUAGUUUCUUCAUAUAAUUCCCCUCUUCUUGAGCGUUUUCUUGUUUUCUUUACACUGCAUACUCCAUAUGUUUUCUUAUUCUUUUAACUGUUAUUUAAAGAAAGUUUUAUUUUUAUUGCAAAAUCAAGUUGAUAUAGUAAUUUGUGCAAACCAUUAAGUCAAGCCACUUGAGGACUUCCCAUUUAAUGAGAAAUUGGUAAAUGCCUCUCUAGUAUAGCAAUCAAGGGUUGCUAGUUGUGAGAUAUAUUUUGGUUUCUGUGUUGUCUUGAUUUUUAUGAGUGGUUUUGUCAUCUAAAAGACCAAGUCAAACUUCCGCAUGUUACGAAUUGCUACAUGGUUCACUGCUUUGGGGUGUUGGAAAUGCUAAUAUUUUUUUGGCAUGGGAAGAUAAGAACAUUACUUGGUAAUUUUAUUUGUUUUAUUUUAGCUUGAGCUAUACUGGUUAUUUAAGUGUUAUAUAGUUGUUUGCUUCAUUGGCAGGUAAGGAUGUUGAUUCUGAGACCAAAGUGAAGCGCAUUGAGGCUGAUUUAAGGAUUCUAAAGUUGCAGGUCUGUUGUGUUUUAAAACAAAUUUAAUUGCCAUUUUUGUUUUUAGUUGAAGGGUCUUCCCGAUUAUUUUUCCUUUUUAAGAGCUUUCGUUAUUUGGGUAUCAGAAUUGGCAAAUCAGUCUUGUAUUAUCAUGCCUUCAUUAAAAAGAAAAAAGAGAGAAAGGAUUCUGCUUUUUAUGAUUGGGUAUGGGUUAACAGGAACAAUUCAUGUGCCAUGUCUCUUGCCCCUUCCUCCCUUCCACCCUUCAUAUUCCACGGUUGGCGGCAGUUCCAUGAAAAUUUUCUUCCAGUCAUUGCACUUGCAUGAUUAGAGCCCAAAUUCUCAAUGGUGAUGGUGCAUUUUUAGUCAUUUGUAUUAAAUUGCAUGAGCAAUUAAAUCAAGCUUAGCAGCUUGAGAAGGUUGUGCCUUGUUCUCUUCAUAUGUCCUAAUUGAACAAGGCAUAUAUAACAGAAUUUUCCACCCCUCCCACUCUAAUUAUUAAGGUGGAAAGUAAUUUAUUUUAUUUUCAAGGAUAGGACUUUUGGAAAUCAGUAGUGAUCAAGCAAAGCCUUGAAUUAUGACUUAUUUUUUAACUCUUGAAUAUGAUGAAUCUCUUUCAACUAUGUACAUUCACUGUCAGUCUUCACCUGAUACAUCAUCUGUUGUUGCAGGAAGAAAUAAUAAACCUCCUUCCUGAUGAUGAAACAAAGCAAAGCCUUGACACAAAGCUACUUCAUCCAGAAGAUCUUAUCAAGCUGUGCCUUGAAGGUGAAAAAGGUGCAGAGCUGUCACUGCGAGCUUUCGAUGUAUUUGCAUGGACCAGCUCCUCCUUCCGUAAGACCCGUGCAAACCUUUUAGAGGAGUGCUGGAGAAAUGCUGCUGAUCAAGAUGAUUGGAGCAAACUCUAUCAGGCAUCGGUAUCUGAAGGGUGGAGUGAUGAGGAAACCUUGCAGAACUUGAAAGACACCGUGCUUUUCCAGGCAUCAAAUAGAUGUUAUGGACCAGAAGCUGAAACUUUUGGAGAAGGGUUCGACAAAGUGUUGUCACUGAGACAAGAAAUCGCGGAGCCUCCAAUCAUAAAGGAUUCAGUUUCUUCUGUGGAAGCAGUACUCAUGCAGCAUAAGGAUUAUUCAGAGGCAGGGAAGCUGAUGCUGACCGCGAUCAUGUUGGGUAGUUUACAGGACGAUAACAUAGAACAAGAAGGUCCUGUGCCAAUGGAAUGAGAGUCAGAUUAGUAUGAAUCAUGGUGAUGAGUUCCUGGAUGUGUCAUUGUUUUUUUUUUGUUGAUACACUGAGAUUCGUAGUGUACUAGUCGACAAGUUACAGCUAAAUUUUCUCUUUUCCUUUUUCUUUUUCUUUUCCCUUGUGAAAUUCUCCAACCAAGUUUAUACGAACAUUUGUCAGUCUACUCCGAUGCUUUACUGGUUGUCAGUUGUAAGAAUUUUCUAAGAAGGCGGCAAGUUUUCUUUUUAUAUAUAUAUAUGAACAAGGGAAUUGAACCUGGGAUUGGAAUCCGCAGUAAUUCAUGCAAGCAGUUGCAUUAUCGGCAAUUUCUGUCAAAUUUAAGAAUGCCUUUAGUUUUGCCUUUAGUUUUAAGGGAAAACAAAGCGUGACAAAAUCAGACCAAAAUUGAAGAAAUAAGAAGAAAAAAAGAGUGCAGUUUCGGCGUUUCUUUCUUUGCCGCGUUGCCUUCCAUUACCUCGAAAAUACAUCUAAAUUUCAAGAAAAAUAGAUUUAUUUUGAGGCGGAAAAAUGCAUGAUGAAUUUACCGGGAAAUACUACUGGUUUUGUUGAUGAAUUUCGUUGAAGUAGAAUGCUUUUCUUCUUCCUCUUCUUCCAUUGCCAACUACUUUUGCAUUCUAUUAAAGCCUCUUAUUUUUGGUCAAAAACUACUGCGGCAGGCAAGCCAAUGUGAAGAAGAAGAGGGUCCCCUGCCAAUGGAGCGACAGUCGGGGUUAGUAUUGAAUCAUGAUGUUGAGCUCUUGAAUCGAAUCUCUUUUUUGCUACUUCUAUAAUUAAUAAAAUAUUCAAAAAUGUAGAAAUGAGUUUAGCCAAGUUGGCUAGUGGAUGUGCUUCCCACUCUGCACUGACUUCGAAUUCCCCCACUCUUAGGUUUAUAUCAGUUCAAAGUAGAUUAUCGCUUGUAUAUAUUUUUUUAAAAAAAUAAAUUUUUUUUUUUCAAAAGUAAUUGAUCAUUUGUUUUCCUUUUUUGUUCUUCCCAUAUAAAAUUGCUCUAAAAGGAAAUAUUUGUAAGUUUACUCGUUAUCAUUUACUGAGCGAUUAUAUAUUUUGAAGUGGAUAUUUUAGGUUAUUCUUACAUAAAAAUUUUCUAGAUUCAUAAUUGUUUGGUUAUCCUAAAUGUGAAGAAAAAUGUUGUUCGAUAAAUAAAAUUGAAAAGAAGAUGCGGGUAAUCAAAUAACUAAAUAAUUUUCGAUUCUGCUCAUUUUUUAUAUGUUAAGUAAUUCUUGAAAGAGAACUUAAAAAUUGAAUGGUUUCGAUGCUCGAUUUACAGCCCAUAAAUAGGGUUUCCUUGUUUUCAUUUCCCUUGAAAGUGUUCAGCUCUACCUAUGGUUACUGUGUCAUACCAAUUUCCAAACUGUUGUUAUUUAUAUUAAUUUCUUUUAUACAAUAUCCAAAGUCUUGCCUCUAAUACAAAAUCUUUUUCCGUAGGGUUGGUGCUGAAUAUCUUGGUUUGGAAUUUUUAAAGAGGAUUAUUGAACAAGACGACCCCAAAACGAAAUGAACAACACUAAUCUAUUUGUUAGUGGUUACUUAGACUAAUUAAGUAAAAUAAUGAAUAUUCGUUAAUAUACUAGACAAGACAAGCAAGUCAAGUACUUUGCACUACAGACCAAAGCAAAGACUCGUGUAGCUUUUGUUAUGUUUGGAGACUUUUUACAUUAUCUCUAUUAUUUUUUUUAUUCCGACCACAUGACGUGCUACUAUGCAUGAAUAAAUAUCAUUUGAGAACAAGCAAGCCUCAUUGACUUCUUACACCAAAUACUAAAUACAUUUCUUGCUCGUUUGUGAUUUCUUGUUUAGGAAGGACUUUUGUUUAUUAGCGCUUUUAUUAUAAAAUAUUAAAAAUUUUAUAAGAAAUUUCAGUGCUUUCUAGAAAAUCAUUUUGAAGUGAUUCAUGAAGAAGCUCAUAGCAAAUGCUUCUCCAUAAAGUGCUUUUAUGACCCAUAAGUGCUUUUAUUUAUUUUUAAUUUUAUCAAACGUUGUUGUUGUCACCAAAAAUGUGUCGUUUUAAAUUUAUAAAUACUUGCAAGCACACGAAUCGGAUAUAGUAUAGAUGUGUAAGAACCAGGUCGUACCCAUAAAGAUUGAGUGAAAAAUAUAGAAAACUAAUUAAACCCAAGUUAAUUUUAUUGCCAACCUAGUUGAAUCAAAUGGUGAUUUGUUCGUUGAUAAAGAAAAUUAAAUAAAGCAAAAAAAAAUGGAAAUUAAAAUAGAGAUUAAAUUAAUGAGAAAAGUAACUAAGGUAUUAGAAUCCACACCACUAUUUCAUAAAACUCUAAUUAUUUACCUGUUAAUUUCCACGCUGAGUAGCAAUCUAGAAGUCAACCUAUUACUUUCUCAAGAUAUAUCAUUUAGGCCCUUUAAUGAAUCUUUUUGUAAAUUCCCCUUCCCUUCAUUAGUACAAAUUCUAAGCAUCGCAUGUAAACAAAAUUUUUUUAACUACGAAGGAUCAAAGUUUCCUAAGCAUCCUAGGUGAAAAAGGUUAUUUGAAUGACAAGAGAUCAAAGAAAUUUGGAUACUAAAAAUACAAAACCAAGGAUGUAUUAAUAAAUCAACCCAAAUUCUUAACUACCACAAAUACACGAUAGAAGUGGUGAAAAGAAAGUUAAUCUACUAAUCAUGUGAAGUGGAAAUUAUAAACAUUGAAUAAUUUACUUCGGAAACUAGAAGAUAAAAACUAGAACUUCAUUUUAUAAUGAUGUUUCAUUAUUAACAAAAUUUAACUAGACAUAAAUAAAAUAACAAAAUAAUUACAAGAUAAAAACUAAAGUGGAAAUGAAAAAGGGAAAAUUGCAUCAUUAACCCUUUGGAUCCUUGCCUGUCGGCUCCCCAAGGUUCUCUCCAAUUCUAUCGCAUUUUCUCUCCUCUUUCUUUCUCUUUCUCUCUUUCCUUCUCUUUGCCGUGUAUCUCUUGGUACCUCACAUCUUUGCUCCAAGCUUUUAAUUAUAAUCAAAGUUUAGGAGCUUAAAUGAUAGAAUAAUCAAGAGAGAAUAAGAAUUCUGGUCUUAUCUAUGCACAUUACAAUAGAACACAAAGUGGCAAUAAUGUCAACUACACUUUUAUUUUAUUUUCUCUCUUUUGAGUGCCAAUUUUCCACAAUCCCGCGUGGCAAACGCGUAUAGAGACGAAGCCACACCACCACUCCCUCCCUCCCAGAAAAAAAUUUCACUACAAAACAAUACAAACAAAGAGAAAGAGGCUUACAUUACAUAAUGUCAUAAAACAAAAUAUGAAAAUAAAAAGAAGCUCCCUGUUGUACAUCAAAUUUAAUUUAUAAUCUCUAGGGAAAUUAAUUUUCUGGGUAAUUUACAAUGUGUAGUUUCCAGGUCGCUUCCUUUAUGGGGGCAAAAUUGUAAAAUGCAACAUAUCUCACGUCUAUAAAAAACCCCCAAUCAUCACUCAACUAAUCACACCUCAACCUCAUUUCCUCAUCCUAUUUCUAUCAUUAACUGCAGUGUCUUUCUUGACAUUAUUCAAUAAAUCCCAUGUUUGUUUUUUCUCUGCUACGCAUUAAUCUGGGGGAAAAGGCUAAUUUAAGUACUCUCCAAAGCCAGCACUCACCAAUUCCCUUUUCCGUGAAUCAAAUGAGGCCUAAUAUUUCAUUUUAGUCGCACAAAUUUCUUUGUGAGCUUUUUUGAAGCACUUUCCAAACCCAGCACUCAACAACUCCUUGAGCCUUCCUCAUUUAGUCAUAUACGUACGGUGAGUCCAAUAUUCCAUGCCAAAUCUUUUUUGAUCUUUUUUUUGAACAUUUUUUUUUGUCUGACCAUUUGUCUAAUUUUGUAGUUGCACCAAGAAACAUGUUCCUAGAGCCAAAAACAGAUGAUCAAGCUUCCGAAGGUGUGGGCAGCAGCACUAGCUUGCUCAUUCAAACCAUCAACACUUCUGGCCAAUACGUGCGGCGCAAGAGAUGGCUUAGAUAUAUUGCUCUAGGCGUUUUCAUCUCCUCACGCAGUAAGAAAACCAGAUUGCCCCAUGAAGCCCCUACCUAUGAACCUUUAGAAGCACCGGCACCACCGGCCCCUGCCUUUCAGCAUGCGAUUGACAUCCCUCUUCAGGACCGGUUUCUGAACAAGGUUGGUCGCAUUGUGAGAGAGAAGAACUUGAAUGCACUGCGAGGACUUGGUGGUGUUGCUGGCAUUUUGCCCCUUCUCAGUUCUCACUUUGAGGUAGCAAGCAAAUAAGUAGGAAAAACAAAAACAAAAAAAACAAAAAAAAACUUAAUAAUCUUAUACACUUGAUAAGGAAUGAUUGAGAAUGAUUGAACUUAACUUUGUUAAGUUAAUCAUAUUCGUUCUUUAUAUGACAGGAUGAUGGUGUUGAUGGUGGUCAAAAUCCACAAGGAUGGAACACGACCAAGUCCCCAGUUGAUGCAAAAAGCUUCUCCAACUUCUUGUUGAAGGCUUGCAAUCAAUAUACAGUUUUUUUCCUCUUACUCUCAGCAGGGUUUUCGUUUGCCAUUGAAUUCAUGAAGCAAGGAGUCAAACAAGGGUGGCACGACGGUGUUGCCAUACUCUUUGCGGUGUUCUUACUUGUUGCUUUCCCUUCAGUGGGGAACUACCUCCAUGAGAGAAAGCUGGUGAGGAAGCACCUGCUGGACAGGAGCAGACUGAUGGUGAAUGUUGAAAGGAGUAACAGAGAACCUACAUCAGUUAACAUAUCUAGUGUUGUGGUGGGCGAUAUAGUUCAUUUGAAGGAAGGAGACCGCGUCCCUGCCGAUGGUUUGUUCAUAGAUCAUGGUGAGGACUUGAUGUUGGAUGAGGUAUUGAACCCCAAAAUUGAUUGUCAACAAAACCCGUUUGUGUUGUCUGGUUCAAAGGUUAUUAAGGGGCAUGGUCGCAUGGUUGUGACAUGUAUUGGUGCCAAAACAGUUUUUGCUGAGAUGCACAGCUUGGGGACUAAUCAUAAUCCAAACGAAAAGACGCUGUUACAAGAUUUGUUGGACAAGCCAUUUGAUUGUAUGGAUUAUCUUGCGGUUUGUGUCUCUCUACUGAUUGCUCUCGUGGUGCUAAUACGGCUAUUAUUCUUCAGGAAGCAUGACAAUUACAAUGACAGGCCAGAACUGAAAGGGGAAGGUUCAAUGAACUUGGUAAUGAGGAUCUUUGAGAAAAUUUUCUUGAAACCUCAAGGACGGUUUUCCACUUUAGCAGGUGUUCUUGCAACCGCGGUGAUAGGGAUACAACAUGGAAUGCCUUUUGCGAUUACAGUUGCCCUUUGUCAAUAGAAGGAGAAGGUGGUCCAAAAUCAGGCAAAGCCUCAGAAUCUAUCAGCUUGUGUCACCAUGGGACUAAUAACAGUCAUCUGCAUAGAAACAACUGGUGAGCUAAUGUGUAGUCCGGGGGAGGUUAAGGAAUUUUGGAUGGGUGGAAAGGAUUUAUGCAGUGAUGAAGUGGACUCUGAAGCUGACCAAGUUGUUCUUGAAACACUGCAUCAGGGGAUUUCUGCUACCUCAUCCCCAACAAAAGAUUUGCUCAUUUCUUGGCUGAAGACCAGAUGGGGUGCUAACAUGGAGUUAUUGAAUGAAACAGGUAAUACCAUUGAGCAGAGACAAUUGAGCUCUGAUGAGAAAUGCAGUGGGAUUUUAGUGGAGAAAAUUGUGAACGAUGAACAAAUUCUGCAGUUGCACUGCAAUGGGGAUGCAUCAACAAUAUUACAUAAGUGUUCACAUUACAAUGAUAACAGAGGGGAAAGUAAAACUAUGAAAAACCAGAACAGAAGAUUUAAGCAGGUGAUUAAUAAAAUGGAGGAGAAUGGUCUUAGGCCCAUUGCAUUUGCUUACAAGAAAACAGAAGUCCAUGAAGUUACAGAAGAUGGGUUGAUUUUGUUGGCAAUCGUGGGCGUUAGACGCCCAUAUCAAGAAGAGCUUAAAUUGGCAGUCGAAGCUCUUAAAAGGGUUGGAGUAAGCAUCAAACUGGUGUCAGAGGAUGAGCUCUCAACAGUGAGAGCCAGGGCUUCACAACUUGGAAUCUCCCCCGGUUCAAAUGACAUGGAAAUUGAAGGAGAAGUUUUCCGAAGACUGAAUUCCAUGGAAAGGCAGGAUAAGAUGGAUAUGAUCUCUUUGAUGGGAAGGUCCCUCCCUAAGGACAAGUUUCUCAUGGUGGAUCGCUUAAGGAAAAAAGGUCACAUAGUUGCAUUCUAUGGAGGGUUGACCAUAAGCGACACUCCGACCUUAAAAGAAGCUGAUGUAGGAGUCAUAGAUGAUAUCCGGAGCACAGAAAUGGCUAGAGAGAAUGCUGAUCUUAUAGUUAGAAAUGUCUGUUUACUAGCCCCUAUUUGGAAGUCUGGUGCAUGUGCUUACCACAACAUUCAGCAAUUCUCUCAACUUCAGCUCACUGCUUGCAUAUCCGGGCUACUGAUAACCUUAGUGGCAACAAUGCAUUCCGGAGAGUCCCCGUUAUCCGCAGUUCACUUGAUUUGGGUGAACUUGAUUAUGUGCCUUCUUGGUGGCCUCAUGAUGGUGAUGGAGUUACGAGGCCCAGAACUACUCACUCAAAGACCUGCAAAGAGGACUGAGUCACUUAUAACACCAGUCAUUUGGAGAAACAUAGCAAUUCAAGUUUCAUCUCAGGCUUCUGUCUUGCUGAUCUUACAUUUCAUGGGAAAUGCAGUACCAAGCAUGGAUCAAGGCAUCCGGAAUACGAUGAUUUUCAAUACUUUCACCUUGUGCCAGGUCCUUAAUCUGUUGAGUGCCAUGCACUUGGUGAAGAAGGAAAUGCUACUAGUUGUCCUCCACAACUAUUGGUUUCUGAUGGCUUUGGGGGCUGUUUUGAUCAUGCAGGUGAUGAUUGUUGAGUUUGGAAAAGGGCUAGUUAGUGGUGCGAGGUUGAAUGCACUGCAAUGGUUGAUCUGUUUCCUUCUUGCUGCUCUUUCAUGGGGAUUUGAUUGGACCUUUAAAUUGCUUUCAGAUAGCAUCGAAAGAACAACUUCGGCAUUGAUGGUGAAUUCACAUGUGGGGUUCUCAAAUAGGAGGCGCAGAUUAUACAUUUCUAUUUGGUUGUUCCUGAUCUUCUCCGUAUCGUUGUUUUGUUUUCACCCAGUUUCUCAGCUCGCUAGCACAUAUAUCAGUUAAAUUGGAAGUCUCCCAUGGAAGUCUUAACAAAGUUAAUAAACCAUGUAGUCAUCUUGUGGUCUGUCUGUGUUCCUACUUGUUCUGCACAAUGCCAUCUCUAAAAUGUGAAUAAGUUAUUCUCCUGCCUUUUUACCAUGAGCCUUCGCGACAAUAGACCAGAAUGCUAAUAGAUAUUACAUUGUAGUUGAUCAUAGACAAUGUAGGUGAGCUUAUGUUAUUUACUCUUCGGGACAUUCUCCAAUAAGUAUUUAAAUUAAGGAUUAGUUACAUACUUCUAAUCUCGACUGUUGGAUUGCAUCUAAGAGAAUACGAACACAUUAAAUGAAUGCAAGCCAACAGCUAAGAUUAGAAGUAUGUAACCAAUCCUUAAAAUACUUUUUGGAGAAUCUCCCUUUCUGCCCUGCUAUGGUUUGCUGUUGUUUUGUCAAUACUGCGGCAAAUUAACCUUUUCACAGCAGCCAAGGAACAGUUCUAAUUUUAGAGGUUGGCGUUUUUUACCUCAAGCCUACAAAAACACCCAAGGAAAGUUUAUGCUUUCAUGAUUUCAUCAAUGGGGGCCUAUUAAAUAUUUGUCUUCUGGUUGGAGCUGGCAUGAACUUCUACAGUACAACUAAUCUUGUGGCCUGCGUUCACCAACCACAAAAAUUGCACCAAUUUGCCAGCCACGUGGCUAAGAGAUAACCUCUCUCUCACUAGAACAAUCAGUUUGGAAAUCUAAAUCCAAUUGAGAACCAAUAGAAUGUUGCUGAUGUGUAGAUAUCCUAAUCCACAACAUCUUCACAUUCCCGUUAUAACAUCCCAGCGCUCUAGUUGUCCAAGGCAUCUCAUUAGGCCUCACAACACCACCCCACUUCGAACAGGAGAGCAUAGUCAUGGCAACCUCUGCAAUCCAACAAUCAGCAUUUGCUGGCCAGACUGCUUUGAAGCAGUCAAAUGAGCUCAUCCGAAAGAUUGGCGGCCUUGGUGGCGGCCGCAUCACCAUGAGGCGCACCGUCAAAAGCACCCCCCAAAGCAUAUGGUAAGUACCUUGGCUCUAGCCUGUGAGAAUAAGAUAUUUUUUUCCAAGCAACUCUACUAAAACUUCCAUGUGUAUAGAUAUGGUCACUGAUACAUAUUACGCUAUUGGAGUAAAUUAAAGUAUCUAGUAGUAUUGAGAGUCAUGGAUUCGACGUAAACUUCUAAUCAAAAUGAUGUUUAGAUUACAAUGACAGAAUCUCUAACAAUCUAUUCUACCUCAAUGCAUAAAGUUACAGUGUUACAAGACCAACAUGCUCAACAUAGCAUUAGGAAGUUUACACCAUACCCAUACCUUUUAAAGCCAAGGCCUUGAGCUUAUUAUGCUAACCCUCUUCACUGUAAUUAACAAAACAGGUAUGGCCCAGACCGCCCAAAAUACUUGGGACCAUUCUCUGAGCAAACUCCAUCAUACUUGACUGGUGAAUUCCCUGGUGACUACGGAUGGGACACUGCUGGACUAUCCGCAGACCCUGAGACAUUUGCCAAAAACCGUGAGCUUGAGGUGAUCCACAGCCGAUGGGCCAUGCUUGGUGCACUGGGAUGUGUCUUCCCAGAAAUCCUGUCAAAGAAUGGUGUCAAGUUCGGCGAGGCUGUUUGGUUCAAGGCUGGAUCUCAAAUCUUCUCCGAGGGUGGCCUUGACUAUCUUGGCAACCCAAACCUUGUCCAUGCCCAGAGCAUCUUGGCAAUCUGGGCUGUCCAGGUUGUGCUCAUGGGAUUUGUCGAAGGAUACAGGGUUGGUGGAGGACCACUUGGUGAAGGACUGGAUCCACUUUACCCUGGAGGGGCCUUUGACCCACUUGGACUGGCUGAUGAUCCUGAGGCGUUUGCUGAACUGAAGGUGAAAGAGCUUAAGAAUGGGCGGCUGGCAAUGACUUCAAUGUUUGGAUUCUUUGUUCAGGCUAUUGUAACUGGAAAGGGCCCAGUUGAGAACCUAUAUGACCAUGUUGCUGAUCCAGUUGCCAACAAUGCAUGGGCUUAUGCCACCAACUUUGUCCCUGGAAAAUGAAGAAACCUAAAUGCAUGGCUGUUCAUAUGUAACAUUACCCGAACUUCUUGCCUUUGUUGAGGUUCUGUUGUUGUGGACUCCAUUAGUUCUGAUGUAAUCUUACUAGAAACUGCUUGUAUUGAAAUCACUUAUCCAGUAAAACCGCCCAGCUCCUUUGUGCUUGAACUCCUUAUUUGUCUAGAUGUGUUGAACAUUCAAAAGUUCCAGUCAACAAAUGCAUGCUUUGCUACAAUAUAGUAAAUCUAAACCAGAGAAUAAAUAUAUAACAACCAAAAUACAAGGGAAAAUAAAAAUUAAAACCAAAUCAUAUGAUUAUCAGAUUCAUCUUAGGUUUCUUCAUCUAUUCCUCCCCAUUAGGCAAAUUAAGUUUAACCAGCGCAUACAGAGAAUGUGGGAAAGAUUUCUGCAAACUUUUACCCACUGAACACUGGCUAUCAUCUCUAAUUUUAAUAUCAGCAUAAUGAAGACUGCCUAAGCUAUUAGUAUUACGGACACAUAGUAUAUGGAUUUGGCCAAUGCAGGGUGAAAGGAAUGAUGGGAAGAGCUAUCAUCUCUUACUAUAAUCUCAGUAUAAUGAAGAUUGCCCAAAUAGCUAAGGGCAGCCACAAUCCUGUUGCAAGAAAGGCUGUUUUGGGCUCUGGGCAAGCCAUACUGGUAUCGUGUCGAUAUAGAUGUCAACAUGUUUGUCAUAUGGAUGGUGAUAUGUUAUUUAUAUGGAUGUUGAUAUGUUGUCAGUGUGGAUGUCGAUAUGUUGUUGAGUAUCCCACUCCAGCUACAGUGGAGUGGGAUAUAUGUAUAUAAUAUUACACAAUAAGUGCCCACAAAGAGAAUGUACAAAACAAAGAGAAUCAGAGCACAAAGAGAAUGUAUGAAACAACAAAUUUGGAAAAUUUUCAGCAAACAAACUUUUGCCAACUGAAACUUUUCACAUGAUGGGAGGAGCUAUUAUCUUUCAGUAUAAUGAACAAUUCUUGUAGGGGUAACCAGUAUACAACGAAGAUUGCCUCUAAUACUAAGGGCACCUAGUGUACGAGCCUUCUGCCAAUGCAGGGUGAAAGAAGCGAUGGGAAUGACUAUUAUAUCUCACUGUCACUAUAAAUUCAGACUCUCUGUAUAAGAUAGCCUAUCUUGCACUAGUCUCUGGCCAAUUCAGCAUCUAGGGAGAGCAAGACCUAUGCAGUCAUAUCCCUGUAACAAGGGGGGCUGUUUUUGCUGGGGACAAUCAUUACAUCAAGAAACACCUUCAAGAAUGUCUAUACUGCUAAAUCUCAAAAGGAACACAAAGAAAUGCAUAAAAUCAGAAGAAAUGAUACCAGUGGCCAAUUUUAAGAGUGGAAGAAUAGAGGUAGAGGCAUUCUGAUGCUUAUUGCUUCGAGCAGAUCAACACAAGCGUCAAUGCAGCAGACAAACAAGUCAGUCACCAAAAAUCUUUGCAAGAACAUGACCCAUUUCUGAAAUGAUGGAAACGACUAUUAUCUCUCACAAUAAUCUCACGAUCAUAGAUACUGGAUAGGAGUUUAGUGACAGAGUGGCAAUCGUUACAGACACGAAGAUUCUUUAUAAUGCGAAUAGGACUCCCAGAUUCCAAAUUAAUAAGACCAUAUGCAAUAGCCAAUCUCUCGCUAUGGUUUUCCAAUUCAGCUUCCUUCUCUUUUUCCUCUUCAAGACACAACAGAACUUGACUUGUGUCAGGAACAUGUCCUUCGGAUUUCAGUUUCUCUCUCAUCUCAGUCAACUUAGAAUAUAUGUCUUUUGUCCGAGGAUGUGAUUUGUCACCGACAAUAAACCCAUGAAGCACACCUCUGUGCUCUAUGGAACUGCAUCCUGGGUCCUUUUUUACUCCUCUCUUUCUCAUAAUUUCUCUUACCUGUGAAACUUUCUCCCACUUAUCAGCCGCAGCAUACAUGUUAGAAAGAAGAACAUAGCAUCCAACAGUGUCUGGAGACACGUCAAUCAAAUGGCGAGCUGCAUAAUCACCAACUUCAACAUUUCCCUGGUUCCGAGCACCACUAAGCAAACUCAUCCAAAUUACUUUGUUUGGUUUCAUGGGCAUACCUUCAAUGACAUUCUUUGCCUCGUCCAGACAACCAGCGCGGCAUAAAAUGUCUACAAAACAACCAUAGUGUUCAAUUGUGGGUUCAAUUUCAUAAUCAUUUAUCAUCAGAUUGAAAUAGUAACGACCAAGAUCAACCAAUCCUGCAUGACUACAUGCAUUCAAGACUCCGAUAAAAGUUAUACUAUGAGGGCGCAUUCCAUUUUUGCGCAUCUCAAGGAAUAGCUCAAGAACCUGGUCGGCCAUACCAUGCAUUCCUAAACCAACAAUUAUAGCAGUCCAAUGCCCCAAUUUCUUCCUGUCUAUAGCUCGAAAUACAGCCAGAGCACUCUCUAUGCUCCCACACUUGGAAUACAAUUCUAUCAAUGAUGUACCAAGCACACCAUCUAAAUCAAAUCCAUGUUUUACCAUGAAAGAAUGUAUCCAUCUCCCCUUACUUAGAGUGGCUAAUCCUGAAACGGCAGAAAGAGCACUGACUAAUGUAGCAUGACUAGGCAUAAUAUCUUCUUCCAAAAUUUCCUGAAACAACUCCAAUGCUUCCAUAAACUGUCCAUUAAAUUCAUAACCUGCAAUCAUCGAAUUCCAAGUAAUUAUAUCUCUUGUUGGCAUCAGACCAAACAAUUGACGUGCCAUCUCAAAAUCUCCGGAUUUCAUGUAACCAUUAAUCAUGGCAUUCCAAGAAACCAAAUUUCUAUUUGGCAUCCUAUCAAAUAUCUCCCUAGCCAUCUCUACCUUCCCGCAUUUUGAUAACCCGUCAACUAAAACAGUCCACGAAAAAGAAUCUCUCUCCUGCAUUUGAUCAAACAAUUCCAUUGCAACUUCUACUUCUCCACAUCUCGCAUACCCAUCAAUCAAAGAAUUCCAAGUAACCAAAUCUCUAUCAAGCAUUUGAUCAAACACUUUCCUAGCCAAACCAAUCUCACCACACUUUGAGUAUAAACUAACCAAACUACUCUGCACAAACUUAUCCAAACCAAGCCCAAUUUUCAACACCAACCCAUGAAUCUGUUUCCCUUCCCCAAUCGCAUUUAACCGAGCACAACCCUUUAUCACACACGGUACAGUAAAAUUAUCCGGAACAAGUUCAUGAAGCAAUUCAUAGAACAAAACAAUAGCAUCAUGGGAACGUUGGUUCCCAACAUAGCAUUUGAUGAGAACGUUCCAGGAAACCAAGGUGGGUUCUUCAAUUUGAUCGAAGACGGAGCGAGCAGAGUCAAGAUUGUUGAUUUUGGGGUCUGCGUAGAGAGAUAAGAAACGGGAAGCAAUUGCUGGGUGGCUGAAAGUUCCGGUUUUGAGGGAUAUGGCGUGGUGUUGCUCUGCUUCUCGUUGGGUUUUACAGGUUUGGAGAAGCGAAAAGGGGAGGCUUUGAGGAGAGAGCAAUGGUUGAUGGAGAGAGUGAGAAGGCGUGAGUUGAAGCAUUGCUAUGGCUUUGGUGGAUCAGAUGAUUGACUGAAGGGCUCUGUGUGUGGCUUAUUAUAAAGGGAAAUAGCUCAAAAUAUCACCAAUUUUAUAAUUUUAUGUCAAAAUACCACCCCUUCUCAAAAAUUUUAAAACUAUGACCUAUAAAUACAUUUUUAUUGUAAAUUGAUUGCACCCAUAUCACAUUUUCAGAAAACCUGAGGGGAACUACGGGUUUAGAAUGACUUCGCCUCCGCCUCUUUUCUCGUUCGAUCGUCUACGGCCUCCGCUUCCUCUCUCCUUCGUUCUUCUACGCCCCUGCCUCCGCCUCUGCUUUUUCGAUUGUCUGCCUUCCUCCUCCUCCUCUGCUUUUUCGAUUGUCUACCUUCCUCCUCCUCCUCCUACUUGGCUCUUCUCCUUAGCUAUCAGCUAUUUCAUACCCAGAAGUGUUGGAUCCUGAGCAAGCAGUGAAAGGGCUAUCUGGUAAUCUAAUGACUAAUACUAUUAGUUGGAUAUGCUGUAUGUUUUCUCUUCAAAAUUCUAGAUUUAGUAGGGUUGGCAUACACUAUCAUGACCUGAUAUAUUUUCAGUCUGUUUUAAUUACUGGCUAUUAGGGUGUGGUUUGAAACUUUGACUGAUGGGGUGGGGGAGCUUGGACGGAGUUUUCUUAUUUUUGUGAAAUGGGUUUUGGAGGAUUAGGGAUUUUAGGGGAGUGUGUGAGUUCGCUGUUUUGGUGGAAGAUAUAUGCAGAAGGGUUAUGAUGAUGAUGGGGGUGGGUUUUUGUGUUUUGUUAAUUCUUUUGUUUGUCGGAAGAAGAAUGAGAUAUUUUUCCAACUCUUAUGAGUGAGUUGGGUUCAAAAGCAAUUAUUGUUGGUUUUAUAUUUUGAUUUAUUUGCAACUGUCUUUAUAGAAUUUAAUUUUUAAUAGUAAUAUAUGUAUUCUUCAUGAAUGGUUUUGCUCUGUUCAGGUGCGUCUGUCUACAUGGGUUUGUGCUUGAAGCAUAAUGCAAGUUUUGUUAAUAAAUUCUCUGUUUUAUGCUGUGCAGGUGUGAAUUGGAAUAAAUAAAAAAAAUUUGCUGGGUUUUUGAGACUUGUGAUGUUAUUCAUCAGUAUUCAUGCCUGGUUUCUUCUUGCAAUAAUUUUGUUGAUUGUGAGCUUUUCCCUCUAGCGCUUGUUGCUGAUACUGAUUGUGAAGGUGAAUUGGUUGUGCUUUAUGAUGUUUGAACCUCAUUUCUGUUUCUUCUCUUUCAUGCCAAUAGGUUGUAGGAAACUCCGCUCUCAAACAUAGGCAAUGAACAAUUGAGUUGACAUGCUGCUGGGAGAAUUGUUUGCAAUGCAGAGAAGACUUGUCUCUUACUUUUGUGAUGAUGAACUGGGUGAGAUUCUUUAAGAGUGAUGUGUCAUAUUUGAAUUUUUGAAUAUCAUAUUUUAGUUUUGUUUUUAAGUUUUGAACCUUGUUCUAUUUCAGCAUCCUAUAGACCUGUGUUAACUUAUAUCUACAUGUGAUAUGGAUAUAACUUAUGCUUUCAAAUUAAUUUGACUUGUGUUAUAUCUUGUUUCGUACCUUUGUUUCGAAAAUUUCUUUGUAAAGACCAAAAAGAAUAGUGUGUUUUUUUUUUUGGGUGGUAUUUUUGUUAAUGAUAAUUAUAGUAUUGAUUACUGGGUAGAGAAUGAGCUACAUUUUGUGCUUCAUGAAGUAAAAUGGCUGAGCAACUCAAAUUUGGUUUACACAACCAAGGCAAAAGGAAAAUACUAAUUUUGGAGCUUAUAUAUAGUGGUUAUAUAAGUUGCAGUUUUCGUUACUUGUAAAUCAUGAUUUCCUUAGCGUAUUUAAUUGCAUUGUGUUUCUCGUUUUGGGUAGAACAGAGUUUUCAAUGAUAGGAUUUAUUUGGAAAAAAGGAAUUCUGGUAGUUAUGCUGUGUUCUCUAUUUUUGCAUGAAAGUUGAAAGUAAGAUGUCCCCUUUAUAUGUGUGACAGCUUCAGGAUUAUGGCCUUCGUAUACUGAAGGGAAAUUGCUAUUUGAUCCUGUUAUAUCUUUUAUGGGACAAACAAAUGAGGGAAGUAGUGUUGAUUCAUCACAGAAAGCUGAGUCUUCAGAGCAUCCGCCAAAGGUUGACAAAUCAUCAGGGGAAUCUGAAUCUCCACAAAAACUCUCUACUGUUGAGGCAAAGGAAGGGGUCAAAAUAGAAACUUUACAACACUCUUCAACUGAACAGAUGGCUGAUAAGGAGGAAACUGAAGUUGUCAAGGAAGAAACAGAUGAUAAGCAUGCUGCGACGGUGGAGGAAACAAAGACAGUGAUAGCAGAGCCUGAAAAAUCUGAAUCUGAAUCAUCUUCACUGCCAGUUGAGCCCUUUGAACCCACUGUUAAGAAUGAUGGCCCAUCAGAAUCUGUGGGUUCUCAAGAUGACAACAAGAUUUCAGUAGUGGGACCCUCAGUAAAUCCAGAAACAAUGCAGGGUAAGUCAAGAGCUGUUGAGGUAGAUCAAGUUGAGGAGGGUCAUACUGUUCUCCGCGUGAGGCACAUGAUGUUGAUGUGGAUGAACAAAAGACACAGGUAGAGCAGAAGGAUGGACAUAUGACUCAGGCUGGAGAGAUUGUUGAAACAGUUGCUAUGGUUGAAGCUGAGACUCCAACUGAUAGCCAGCCUGGAGGUUUUCCUCUUUGCUAAUUUAGAAUCAUGUGCAGUUAUGAUUUUAGAUCUGUAGAUAACCUGUUGUUGCUGAUAUUGCUACACGGGAGGAGAACAGAACAACUUGGAAAAUGUGCAAGAAGGGAGAGCUAACUCAUACAACGAAGAACAAAUUGAUGAAGUUAAGAUCAAAUUAGUAGAAUUUGUGAGCUCUCCAUUAUUUAUAAUUAUAGGUAGGAAGUAUGUAUGUAAUAGAGCAAAGAUUGGUUGACUAUGUAAUAACAAUUGAAUUGUCAAGUUUUAUGAAAGAAAUAAUUUUUGCUUCUUGGGAUAGUAUUGUUAGGGUUCGGUGGCGAUUUAUUUUCCAUGUCUAAAUUGUAGUCUGUAAUGGAUGUGUGUGUAUUGUAUGUAGAUUGACUUAAUAUUGCUGUCCUAUUGCAUGUGUAUUGUACUAAUAUUGCCUGUGUAUUGUAUACAUAUUGUAUGCAUAUUGCCAUCGUAUUGCAUGUAUAUUGUAAUGCUAUUGCUAUCGUAUUGCCAUUAUAUUGCCCUAAUAUUGCCUCUCUAGUGUAUGUAUAUUGACUACGGCUCAUCAAUGGGUUUACGGUUUGGGCCAUAUUGCAUUUAAAAAUAAGACGAGGAGGAGAAAGAAACAACAUGCCUUUCAAAAACAGGCAGUCAGGUGCAUCAUAAUUGCAUCGUAAGACAUUGUAAGAAAUUAUUUUAAAAAAUAAUAACAACUAAAAAAUAAUUUACAAAAAAAGGAAGGUAUGAAUAAAGAGACAGAGAGCGAAUAAGGGGAGAAAGAGGCAGAACGAAGCUAGAGAGAGACAGAGAGAGAGCUGCGCUACAGAAAGAGAGCAAAGAGAGAGUUGCACUAGAGAGAGAGAGAGAGAGAGAGAGAGAGAGAGAGAGAGCCAAGAGAGAGAUAGAGAGCUGCGAUAGACAGAUACCAAAGAGAGAGAGAGAUGUGCUAGAGAGAGAGAGCCGAGUGAGCUAAGAGAGACAAAAUUUCUGAACAUGUGAAAAAUCAGCAAUAAGUGGACAAUAAUUAUAUUUUUAUAGGUGAUAUUGUAAUACUAUUGCUAUCGUAUUGUGGUUAUAUUGCUUUCAUAUUGCCUCUAUAGUGUACAUGUAUUGGCCUAAUAUUGCUAUCAUAUCGUAUGUCAAUGGCCAUUUGGUCUAAUAACAGAGUCUCCACUUCGUUGAAAAGUAAUCCUGAAUUCGAAUCUCAUGGACACGACAAUUGUUAUCCAUCCUUAUAUUAGCAUGAAUUGAUGUUGACCUUUGAAAUGAUAGUUGGAGUUGCACAUCGAUUCAUAUUCAAAAGGAAAGUAAUUCUCUCCCUCAAUGAAUCUUCGUUCAAAAGAAGGCAGCUAUCAAAUAUUGGUACAAAAAUGCAAGGUCCACAGUAAAUUAAUUGGACACAAACCACAUAUUACAAAACUAGGAUGAUUUUUGGCAUGCUUGAAAAGACAAGGGCCAAAUACAACAGAAAAGAAAAUCCAUUCAAGCUUCACACUAAACAUGGCUCAAGCACUCGACCAUGGUUUCAAUCCAAAACCUACCCAACAAGGGCAUACCACGUGUCCAUCAUAACAUAAUAGUGGCAUUUACAAAGCAUGAACUGCAAUAUGUUUCUUUUUCUCCUAAACAAAAUUGUUACUAAAAUGGAACAAAAGAUCCCUAACAUAGAGCAAUACAUGCAAAGAUAGUCAAUUGUCAUACACACAAAAUUAGUCCUCAUCCAUCCCUGCAUGCUGAUCUCUCUCACUAGGGCCACCUGCUGGUUUUGCCAUUAUAAUCUGCAAGAUAGUCAAAGCACUGUCAACAACCUUUUUUUAAUGAAGGUAUUAAACAUUAAAUAGGCUGCAAUCAGAUGGAUUCAUCAUUUCUCACAGAUUUUUAGCUAGCCAGAAAACCCCCAACAUAUAGAUUUUCUAUUUACUAUCCCUCCAUCCAGACCAUUGGUCAGAUGCGGUAAUGGUAUUUUUCAUAGUACCAUCUGUCAAAGUAUAUAUGACAGUUACUGACAUCAUGGAUGCACACAAAUGUUGUUUAUCUAACUCUACUGCAACUAGAGUUGUCACAAUCUUCCUCUUUCUCUUUCGAUCCAUGUCUACCCUGCCAUUAACAAUAUUGGCAAGAACAAAAUCAUAAUCUGUGACUUUCUUUUUUAUACUCAAACAUAAACUGAUUAUCAGAAAUUGCAGAACAUAGAAUUAUGGUGACAGAGAAGCACCACAUACCUGUUGGGUUGUUGUUGCUGCUGCUUAGACCCACUUUCAGCAGCUCCCUUUUGGUUCAAUAGCAAGUUUCAAUUUCAACUCAACUCUUAUGUCAAAAUUGCUUGCUACAACCUGCAAGAUAAGCAUAAUCAGCAGGAUUAAUACAAAGCAUUGUUGGCCAUGGCAUUGAAAGUUCUAAUACCAAUGAUGAGAACAGAGAGAAAUUAAAAAAAACAUUCUUUCUUAUACUCAAACAAAAACUGAUUAUUAGAUUAUAUGCAAAUUUAAUGUCAAUUCUCCAGACCACUUAAUGGCAUAAUUACUCGCUUGAAAUAGGAGAGAGAAAUACUAGAUAUGGAAUCACCUACUCCGCCAAUCAAUCUAAUUCUUGAUCUUCAUGAAUCGGAUCAAUUCAAAUACCCACGUCUUAAUAAAUACAUAGGAUGUACAGAAGACUAGCAAUACUGAUUUCAAUGCCAUGGCCUUUUUCCCUAUUUCCUUAACAGAGUUAAUAUGGGUUAAUAUUACAUGCACCCAUACAUCAUCAUAUUGGAUAUCAUGCUCUGUAACACCAGCUUGCAUCAUAUUCAACACAUUCCAAUUUGUCCAUACAUCAUUCAUGAUAAAAACACACUAUUCUUUUUGGUCUUUACAAAGAAAUUUUCGAAACAAAGGUACGAAACAAGAUAUAACACAAGUCAAAUUAAUUUGAAAGCAUAAGUUAUAUCCAUAUCACAUGUAGAUAUAAGUUAACACAGGUCUAUAGGAUGCUGAAAUAGAACAAAGUUCAAAACUUAAAAACAAAACUAAAAUAUGAUAUUCAAAAAUUCAAAUAUGACACAUCACUCUUAAAGAAUCUCACCCAGUUCAUCAUCACAAAAGUAAGAGACAAGUCUUCUCUGCAUUGCAAACAAUUCUCCCAGCAGCAUGUCAACUCAAUUGUUCAUUGCCUAUGUUUGAGAGCGGAGUUUCCUACAACCUAUUGGCAUGAAAGAGAAGAAACAGAAAUGAGGUUCAAACAUCAUAAAGCACAACCAAUUCACCUUCACAAUCAGUAUCAGCAACAAGCGCUAGAGGGAAAAGCUCACAAUCAACAAAAUUAUUGCAAGAAGAAACCAGGCAUGAAUACUGAUGAAUAACAUCACAAGUCUCAAAAACCCAGCAAAUUUUUUUUAUUUAUUCCAAUUCACACCUGCACAGCAUAAAACAGAGAAUUUAUUAACAAAACUUGCAUUAUGCUUCAAGCACAAACCCAUGUAGACAGACGCACCUGAACAGAGCAAAACCAUUCAUGAAGAAUACAUAUAUUACUAUUAAAAAUUAAAUUCUAUAAAGACAGUUGCAAAUAAAUCAAAAUAUAAAACCAACAAUAAUUGCUUUUGAACCCAACUCACUCAUAAGAGUUGGAAAAUAUCUCAUUCUUCUUCCGACAAACAAAAGAAUUAACAAAACACAAAAACCCACCCCCAUCANNNNNNNNNNNNNNNNNNNNNNNNNNNNNNNNNNNNNNNNNNNNNNNNNNNNNNNNNNNNNNNNNNNNNNNNNNNNNNNNNNNNNNNNNNNNNNNNNNNNNNNNNNNNNNNNNNNNNNNNNNNNNNNNNNNNNNNNNNNNNNNNNNNNNNNNNNNNNNNNNNNNNNNNNNNNNNNNNNNNNNNNNNNNNNNNNNNNNNNNNNNNNNNNNNNNNNNNNNNNNNNNNNNNNNNNNNNNNNNNNNNNNNNNNNNNNNNNNNNNNNNNNNNNNNNNNNNNNNNNNNNNNNNNNNNNNNNNNNNNNNNNNNNNNNNNNNNNNNNNNNNNNNNNNNNNNNNNNNNNNNNNNNNNNNNNNNNNNNNNNNNNNNNNNNNNNNNNNNNNNNNNNNNNNNNNNNNNNNNNNNNNNNNNNNNNNNNNNNNNNNNNNNNNNNNNNNNNNNNNNNNNNNNNNNNNNNNNNNNNNNNNNNNNNNNNNNNNNNNNNNNNNNNNNNNNNNNNNNNNNNNNNNNNNNNNNNNNNNNNNNNNNNNNNNNNNNNNNNNNNNNNNNNNNNNNNNNNNNNNNNNNNNNNNNNNNNNNNNNNNNNNNNNNNNNNNNNNNNNNNNNNNNNNNNNNNNNNNNNNNNNNNNNNNNNNNNNNNNNNNNNNNNNNNNNNNNNNNNNNNNNNNNNNNNNNNNNNNNNNNNNNNNNNNNNNNNNNNNNNNNNNNNNNNNNNNNNNNNNNNNNNNNNNNNNNNNNNNNNNNNNNNNNNNNNNNNNNNNNNNNNNNNNNNNNNNNNNNNNNNNNNNNNNNNNNNNNNNNNNNNNNNNNNNNNNNNNNNNNNNNNNNNNNNNNNNNNNNNNNNNNNNNNNNNNNNNNNNNNNNNNNNNNNNNNNNNNNNNNNNNNNNNNNNNNNNNNNNNNNNNNNNNNNNNNNNNNNNNNNNNNNNNNNNNNNNNNNNNNNNNNNNNNNNNNNNNNNNNNNNNNNNNNNNNNNNNNNNNNNNNNNNNNNNNNNNNNNNNNNNNNNNNNNNNNNNNNNNNNNNNNNNNNNNNNNNNNNNNNNNNNNNNNNNNNNNNNNNNNNNNNNNNNNNNNNNNNNNNNNNNNNNNNNNNNNNNNNNNNNNNNNNNNNNNNNNNNNNNNNNNNNNNNNNNNNNNNNNNNNNNNNNNNNNNNNNNNNNNNNNNNNNNNNNNNNNNNNNNNNNNNNNNNNNNNNNNNNNNNNNNNNNNNNNNNNNNNNNNCGUUCAGCAGCAACUCGGCGAGUCGACUCACCAUCCUCCCCAACUACCAACCAAGCCCCUCAUUCCAAAGGGCUCUGAAAACCUAAGAAAAAUCCAAACUUUACCAUCUUCGAAAACCCCUCAUGACCUCUCCAUAGCUCGACAUGUUAAAGCCCCUCAAAACCCCACCUCUCCUUCACCUACAAACCCUCCAUUCGCUAUUGGGUUCCCACCAUUUUAUCGAAUUCGCAUCAAGAACCAAGCUUUUCUCCCAACUCUCUCAUCCACCCUUCAAUCCUGCCCCAAACUUGGUGUUCCAAAUCCGUGACAUUCUGUGCGACCCUCAAUGGGAAAAGAGCUCAGAGCUCAGCUGGCUGAGCCCUAAGAUUAGAACCGAUCAUGUGUCAAAGAUUAUUGAGACCCACAAGAACACAGACUCGGCGUUAAGAUUCUUCUACUGGGUUUCUAAGAGACCUUCUUACCAGCAUGAUAUGAGCUGCUUCUCAUCAAUGCUGAAUAGGCUUGUGAACGAACGGCUUUUUGCGCCUGCAGACCGUGUGAGGAUUUUGAUGAUUAAAGCUUCUAGGAAGGAGGAAGAGCUUAAACGGGUAACUGAAUAUUUGAAUGAGAUGAGCCGACUUGGUUUUGAGUUUACAUUGUAUAGUUUUAAUACGCUUUUGAUUCAAUUGGGUAAGUUUGAGAUGGUUAGUAUAGCUCAAAAUGUUUAUACCCAGGUGCUAAGUAGUGGGAUUAAACCGAGUUUGUUGACAUUUAAUACAAUGCUCAAUAUAUUGUGUAAGAAGGGCAAGGUUCAGGAAGCAGAGUUGAUUUUGAGCAAGAUUUUUCAGUUUGAUAUGCUCCCGGAUGUUUUUACUUAUACAUCAUUGAUUCUUGGGCAUUGUAGAAAUCGUAACUUAGAUUUGGCAUUUGAGGUUUACGAUCAGAUGGUGAAGGCAGGUUGUGACCCGAAUUCAGUUACGUAUUCAACUCUUAUCAAUGGGUUAUGCAAUGAGGGGAGGGUGGAUGAGGCACUGGAUAUGCUUGAUGAAAUGGUAGAAAAAGGGAUUGAACCCACAUCAUAUACUUACACUGUCCCAAUUGCUUCACUAUGUGAGGCCGAUCGGCUGGUGGAAGCAAUUGGGCUUUUCAGAAGAAUGAGAAGCAGGGGUUGCCAUCCUACCGUUCAUACUUAUACAGCUUUGAUCAGUGGGUUGUCUCAGACGGGGAAACUCGAUGUUGCUAUUGGACUCUAUCACAAGCUUUUGAAGGAUGGUUUGGUCCCAAACACGGUUACCUUCAAUACAUUGAUAAAUGGAUUAAGUGAGACAGGAAGAUAUGACCUGGCUACGAAGAUUUUUUAUUGGGUGGAGAGACAUGGGACCUUGGCAAAUACCCAAACUCACAAUGAAAUCAUCAAAGUUUUCUGUUUGAUGGGUAACAUUAAUAACGCAAUGGCUCUUGUAAGCAAAAUGCUUAAAGUGGGACCAUCUCUAAAUGUGAUUACAUAUAACACACUCAUCAAUGGAUACCUCAGUGGAGGUCAGUUAAACAAUGCUAUGAGGUUGUUGGAUUUUAUGAAAGGGAGUGGAUGUGAACCAGAUGAAUGGACUUAUACUGAACUUAUUUCUGGGUUUUGCAAGGCAGGUAAGUCUGACUUUGCAUCUACUCUUUUCCGUGAGAUGGUAGAACAAAGAAUUAGUCCCAGUCAGGUUACCUACGCUGCUUUGAUUGCUGGAUACUGUAUGGAGGGGAAAGUAGAUACUGCAUUGUCAUUAUUUGAGCAGAUGGAGGAGAAGGGUUGCUGUCCAAGUAUUGAAACCUACAAUGCCAUUAUAAAUGGUUUGUCCAAAGAUAAUCAGUUUGUUAAAGCUGAGAAACUAUGUAAAAAGAUGGAAAAGCAAGGACUGGUUCCAAAUGUCAUUACCUACACGUCUCUAAUUUGCGGCCUCUGUAAAAGUGGCAGGACUGACCUUGCAUUCAAAAUCUUCCAUGAAAUGGAAGAACAAGGUUGCUUGCCGAACUUGUAUACAUAUAGCUCACUCAUGUUUGGGUUAUGUCAAGAGGGCAAGGCUGACAAUGCUGAGACGUUGCUUGAUGAAAUGGAAAGGAAAGGAUUGGCUCCUGAUGUGGUAACAUUUACCACACUCAUUGAUGGUUUUGUUAUGCUUGGUAGGCUAGAUCAUGCAUUCUUGCUUCUUAGGCGAAUGGUUGAUGUGGGCUGCAGGCCCAACUACCGAACAUAUGCCGUGUUGGUCAAAGGGUUGCAAAAGGAAAGUCAGUUGCUGACGGAGAAGGUUGUGGGGCUUGUGGCCCAACAUGAAGGAAUGUAUAGUUGCAGCUCUGGUGAAAGCUAUAACUUUUUUGAGGCGUUGUGCAAUCUCUUAGCUAGGAUGUCAGAGAAUGGAUGUGAACCUACUGUUGAUACCUAUGGUACUUUAGUGAGAGGCUUGUGUACAGAAGGCAGAUAUUAUGAGGCAGAUCAGUUGGUUCAGCAUAUGAAAGACAAAGGCCUGUGCCCCAAUAGAAGGAUUUAUCUGUCUCUAUUCUUUGUUCAUUGUACGAAUUUAAAAGUGGAAUCUGCGCUGGAAAUCUUUGGCUUGAUGGAAGAUAAUGGAUUUGAGGUUCACUUGUCAGCUUAUAACGCACUUAUUAGUGCUCUCGGCAGGGUGUGUCGGGCGGAAGAAGCUGAAACUUUAUUCAAAAGCAUGCUAGAAAAACAAUGGAAUACUGAUGAGAUUGUUUGGACUGUGUUAAUCGAUGGAUUACUGAAGGAAGGGCAAUCAGAUCUAUGCAUGAAGCUUCUUCAUGUUAUUGAAUCUCAAAAAUGCAGUAUCAGUUUCCAGACAUAUGAUAUCUUGGCCAGAGAACUUUCUAAAGUAAACAAGGGUAGGGGGAGUUCUCAAAUUGUUAACAGAGCAAGUGAUUUAAAGGGUGUACAUUGAUCAUGGUUUCUUUAUACACACAGAGAAAAAGGAAAUUCGUUAACUGAGUUCCAUUAAUGAACUAAUAAGAAAUUAUACUUUUUUCGCCUGAGGUGUGUAUAUAUUCUUUUGCUGUGACAACUUUGCAGUUUGAUCAUACAAUAAAUGGUAUGUAGAUGGCGCUUUGCCUUCAAACCUUGUUAACAUUCGUUUCUUUCUAUUACUGUCUUUGGUGAUUAUCAGAAUACUUUAGUUCUGUUGGCUUUUGAUUAAUUUGGUCGCAAUAUUUUCCCAAUAGUCACCAAGAAAAUUCGAUCGAUGGUUACUAAGUUUGUUAUCCUAUCUACAUGGAAGUGACAGGUUGUUUUCAGUAGAUAAUUGUCUUCAGUUGGAACUGAAAAUCUGGUGUGCAUGAAGCAGCAACCUAAGGUAGACAUGUAGGUUUGUUUAGACAAAGUAUAAAUGAAUGAUAUUUGCCAUUUAUGUGGGUUGAUGGUUGGUGCAGGACUGUGUGUACUGUUUGGCAAUUGAUUUAGGGGUUAGGAUAAUUUCUGCCUAUGCAGGCUUUUUAAUUACAUGGAUUAUCUUAUGUAGGAAGGCUUCUUAAUACAGAAAUGGUGAUGUGUGUGAUCAUCUAGGCAGGCUUCUUAAUUACAUGGAUAAUCUUCUUUAUGGUGCUCAUUUGGUUGGUUUUCAUUGUUUGACAUGCUUACACCAUAUUUAUUCUGGCUUAGUGUUUAUAAAAUGGAAUUGAGAGCUAGACAUUCUUGGCAUAUAUACUUGCAGGUGACACAGCUUGGACGUCCCCUAGUGGAAAGUUUCCUCUUUCCUCUGAAAAUUUUGACAAGAAGAUGUUAAGAUACACCUUGUUUGAUACCUAUGUUGGUUUAUUUCGCUGUCGUUACCUCAUACAAUUUUGAUUCAUUGUAUUCUUUACACCAAGAGUCAUUUAUAAAAUAUACCUCAGUUUUACAAUAGCAUAUGUUAUGGUUCAUUUAGUAAAUUUUGGUUUUAUGUUUUAGUUUUAGCUUUGAUGGUCAAAAUCAUCCUCUUCUUUUUUUGAUCUCUCUCUCGUCUCUUUUUUCCUUCUCUCUGUUAUUCUUUUCAUAAGAAAAAGAAAUAUAGAAACUAAAAGCAAAAAAUCUAACCAAAUUCCCAUGGGAUGGUCUCUUGAUUCUGUAUCGGCAAGUAUAACUAUUUUACUGUGAAUUAUCAACAAAAAGUAAUCUGCAGUUGCCACUGAUUUAAAUCAACUUAAAUAAUGUCUGUGAUUCAGAAUUCCAGGAUAAAUUAUGCUUUGUAGUUGACGUGAUGAAAUUAAUUUAAUUAGACAUUUUUGGUGUAGGGUUACUCAGGUCCUAAAUCGAGCUUAAUUUCGCACCAGGGCUCUUAGAAAGAACUACUGGCCAAGAUUACCGAACUUAGUCCACUUUUUGUAAUCUGCCUCUGAGUGUUCUAAUGCAAAUGCCAGUAUGUGUGGCCACUUUCCGAAUGUGGUGUUCAAUUUUUUUAAUUUUCCCAAAGGAUGAUAGUACUCUAAAUCUUUGUAGGGUUUUUUAUUGGGGUCGAGAUGAGCUCAGAGUUCGCUUUUUUGUCACUUUCUUUGUGUUUUGCUGAUCUUUGCCUAGUAUUUGCUGGGAUUCCCACUCCUUAAAUGAAGAAGGGUGGAAUGAAUAAAGGCUUGGUUCAUGCAUGAAGACCCUAAUAUUUCCUAUACACAAGUGAUAUUUUAUGGGUAUGAACUAUAUUGUGGAUCAAUCUAGAAAGGUAAAAACGCAUUCAUUAUGGUGUGAGUUCUAGUGUUCUCACCUUUCCUCCAAGUCUAAACCUAUACAAACCCCCGAGUAUGAGAAACCCUUUGAGUGAAAAGUAAAUUAUUAUGUGUAUGCAAGAGAGAAUUUUGUGGUGAAAAUCCCUGGAGGUGAUUUUGGAAGAAACUCUGGCUUCCCGGCAGUCAGUUCUUGUGAGAUUGUUCCUUUGUAAUCCUUGGUAUCUUCUAGUCCUGUCCACAAAAAAAUUCUUGUAAUUCCAUCAUUUUAUAUAGAAAAGAAGAAUUUGUUCCUGUCCUUCUACUAUUCAGUGGACAAAAGGCUCAAAUGCUAAGGAUGUAAUUCCAUUGUUUUUAUGUUUGAUGAUGUUUGCCUGUUUUGGCCAUACAAGGAUGGGAAAGUUUGAUCUUGAGUUUGCUAAUUGUCUUUUGGCAUUGUAUUAGGUGACUCUGGUUCUCAAAUGUAUAAUGGUUCAACCCCAGUUUCCAAUCCUAUCAUGGAACUGAAAAAUAAAUUUCUAAAAUUUUUGAUUGAGCCUGCAGUGUCUGAAAAAUUAUAACCACAUGCCACCAAUCUGAUUAUAUUCGUCCAAUUUGCAGUAGAUUUUCUAUCUCCGAACCUCUCUACUAAAACCCUGCAAUUAACUGAUCAUGCAUAUUGUAAGUAGUAAACUACUCUGAAAAUGAGGUUCUAAGUUGAAAUCUUUCUUCCUCUAAUAAACGAAUAAAAACUUAUAGUUCAUGAAAGGAUGAAAUUAAAAUUAGUUAGUUUAAAGAUGUGGUUGAAGCUAUAGAUAAAUGGAUCAAAAAAAUCAGUUUUUUUUUUUGGGUAAAUAAUAAAUAUACUAAACCGGGGUUGGGGAAAUUCUCAUAUCAAGAAGAAACUAAAGAGAAACCUAUCAGAACCACAUGGUGUGGUGCGGUUGGUAAAGUGUCACCUCCAGUUGACGAGUUACCUAUUGCCUCAUUAGCAUGGGUUCGAAACCCGUUAGAGGUACUUUGUGGUCAGGGAAAGCCGAAUCCCGAGCGGGGAUUAAUCUCAUCCUUUGAAUGCGAGGACAUCUCGUGGUAUUUAUCCAAAAAAAAAACAGAAGGGAAAAAAACCUAUCUGUAACUAAGAGAUGUGAGUUUCCAUGCAUUUCAGUAAAUAUAACAAAAUAGUUUUAAACUUUUGAAGAUUCUAGUUUCAUAAGACAUUGAUAUACUUGUCUAAUCGUAUCAUUUUCUCUCCAAAAAAAUCAAUAAUAAAUAAAUGAUAUUCUCCUACUACUGGUUUUUGGGUUCAAGUGCUUGGUUUUCAAGGAAGAAAACAAAGGGGGGCCAUCCACUACCAGAAAGGUUUAUGCUUUUGUUGAUUGAUUCUUGACAGAAUCUCUGGGUUGCUUGGACCCCCACAUGGCCUCCAUUAUAUGACUUGCUCUUUGUCACGCAUGAGCAAUUAUUGGCUCUUUGGUCAGUGUACCAUUUUGUAGUUAUACUCAAUCAUUUCAUACAAAAACCAUUAUCAUUUCAACUCUGCAAGCAUCUCUCAACUUUGUUAUUUUCUUUUCUUUUCUUGUUGCUGCAAAACCAUUCUGAGUUUUUGUUCUUGGGUUUUAUAAAGAAAUUAAUUUAAAAAUAUAAAUAAAUAAAUAUAUAUAUAUAUAUUUAUAACCCUUGUGAAUUUAUAAUAGUUGAAGCCUGAUUCAACUGGUUUGAUCACUUUCCACCAAAUAAAAAAUAAAAAAUCAAGGCCUUGCUCAGCACCAACGUUGCCCUUUUUCUCUGCUGCCAUAGGUCAACUACCAGUUUCUAACAAAACAACUCCAAAUCUGAGUAUAAAUGCUAAAAGGGCUCUGUUGUAUUCUGCAUAUAUUCUCUGUUUCCUUCCUCAUUUCAUGCAAACCUAUCCUAUCUCGUAGACCCCAAAAACAAGCAACAAUAAGAAUGGUAGGUCUCAGUUUUGGUGUGUAAAUUGACCACAAAACUUAAAGAUGUAAAUGACAAACAGAAAUGUAGCCUCUGGUUUAGUGAGCUUUUAUUAUAUUUCUAAUGCCAGCCCUUCUUCAGCUGCAUAUACAAAGUGCAUGAAAAAUGCAGGGCAAGGAAGGAUGCCUUUGUAUUUUUUUCCAUGUGCAAAGGGUCCCCAUAAAAAACAUCAGUACUUCAAAUAUAUUCCUUCUGAUCUUUGUCUUUUCUAUGCAUCCCCAUCUUCAAUUCAUGAACUUCAUUUUCAAAAGGCCAAGACUUUGAAGGCCAGGUUUCAUAGCAGGUACAAAAAAGAAUCAAUAUUCCCCCAAAGGCCACAUAAAGAUAAAUCAGAGUCAUCGAUGCCAACAGUGUCUUAAAAGACAACAAGACACAAAGCAUGACCUAACAUUUGAUGCUUCCAAACUCCAUUCCAACUGCUACUUCCAUUUUCAUUUUGGACUGUUUUUCUUGCACUCUUGCUUUUUCAAAAAGUGCUUUUGCCUACCCAUCCACCAACCCAGCCUUCUCUAGACUAGCCUUUAAAUCUUUCCCUUUGGAUUUUUGUUGCACAGCAGCCGAUUCUUAUUUAUAUUACAUCAUCCAAAAUAAACUACAAAAACCCAAUUUGCACAUUUUAAUGCCAAACUGAACACAACCCUUGUGCUAUAUAAACACAUCCAAUGCAUUUUGCCCCUUCAGCACCAAUUAUAGCAAAAAACAACAAAAACACCACCAACCCUUCAAGGCUUCAAAGUUCAUCAAACUCUGGUUUUCAAUGGGUAGGGAAAGUUCUGAUCCCACUGUGGUUAGUUCCUCCAUUGCUCUCUUACAAGAGAGGUUCAGACAGUUGCAGAAAGUGAAGGAGAGGAGGGAGGAGCAGCAGCUUCUGAAGAUGUUAUCUGAGACUGAUCAUCAUCAUCAAGGGGUUGGCUCAAUAAGGCAUUUUGAGCCUGCAAAAUUCUCUAUCCAAUCUGAUAUGGCCAGGCCAAGCUCUCCUGCAGAUCACUCACUCUCUCUGGGGCUUAAUUUGCAGACUAGACAAAUUGAUCAUUGUGCCAUGAAGACACAGCCUACCACAAUCUCAUGGCCCAACAAUACAACAGCUGCCUCAGCAUCAAGUGCUUCAAAAUGUUUUGACAAUUCAGACCUUGACACCUCUCUUCAUCUGUAGACAAAUCCUGGGUUCACUUUCUUCGUGGCUUCUCCAUGUUUCCUUUUUUUGUAUGUAAUAUUAGAAGAGUAUGUAACUAAUAUAACUAAUGUUUAUUCAUCUGAAAUAAUGAGAUAAAUAAAAGAAGAAAUGGAGCAGCAAUAUGCUAGCUGCUCUUCUCUUCAAUUUUUUGGCCCUUUUGUUGGUUUUGCUUAACAACAUUAACAAAUCAUGGGGACUAUAGAGAGAUUCAUAAUCAAGAAAAAUGGAUUGGGAGGUGAUGGGUUUCUUUUGUUCUGUUAAAAAAAAUAAUAAAAACAACUUCUGAAGAUUCAUAUCAACAUAUAUAUGUUCUUUUCUUAUAUUGAUUUUGAGUUUGUGAAGACUGAUGGUGAUGAACAAAAAAGUCAGCAAGGCCUGCUAGAUUCCUCAUAAACUUACCAUGCAGAUGUACUCAGUUAGAAAUUCCUAACACCACUGAUUGUUUAUGCUUUCUAUGGAUUACUUUCGGAGCAAAUACUUGGAACCAGAUAUUAUUAUUAGAGUUCUAGCUCUUGCUAGUGUAUUUUUAAUGAACCUUUCCUAUAAUAAGCAAAUUCUCAUAGCAACAUGGUCAGAUCUUUUAGGAAAAUGAAGUGCUAAUAAAUUGAAAUCUCCUGAUAACCAAGUUGUGAAGGUUAAUUUUCAUGUAUAUGUUAAGAAUAGGAAUAGCCUUUGAGAAAGAGAAAUAAAUCAAGGCAUAGUGAAAUUUCUAUUUUGUUAUAUUGGAAGUUAUCAUACUUUAACCUAUUCCAAAAGCCAACGGGCUUUAGCCCAGUAGAAAAUGAAUUUCACUUGUAGACCAGUGGUCUCAGGUUCAAAUCCUUAUGACACCUUAGUAUUGUGCGUGCCAUAUUUGGCUCUCUCCCUACUAUCGCUUGUAUUAAAAAACAUAUUCAAAAAGAAAGCAACUAUUACUGAGUCUAACUAGGCCGAGAACAGUUGUUAUUACUGAGGUGCUCCCUCUUAUUACUGAGAUUUUAGUUGAUGAUGCUUGUAUUUUGGCUAGGCCUAAAAUGUUUGCUAUUUAUUUCUCCACUUCAAUUUUAUCCACUUACACUCCUUUUUUAGUUAUAAAAUGGAGUGUAAGUGGAUAAAAUUGGAGUGGAGAAAUCACCACUCUUAUAUUUUUAAGUAAUAAUCUAAAUUAUACUAAAUUAAUUUAAUUUAUGAGAAUAUAAAUUCGAACUUGGGGAUUCGAUUUUUUUUUUUUUUUAAAAGUGAAAUAAAAAAUUUCAGUCACAAAUGAUUGACCCAAACUGAUCUGCAAUCUGGGCAGGGUAUUUAGCUGAGACUAAAUGAGUUAUUGGGCUCAUAUCAAAAGCGCCUACAAACCUAACCACUCAAAAUACACAAUAAUAGAAAAAUUUUAGUUUCAUCAUUUUAUUGAAGUACCAAAUUGCCCUUAUCGUCUCCAGAACCUUCCCAAACCCCCUCUCCGCGUCUCUCUAUCAGAAACCCCAACUAAAACCCUAACACCUCUCUCCACUCUUUAUCCCUCUGUCACUCACAACUCAUUGCUCUCUCUCCAUCUCUUGGCCUUCGCCAUCCAUCUAUCUAUCUCAAACCAAUAUGCAUAGGCUUCCUCGACGCUCCGUCUCCGCUAUCCUGCGCCACGGCGGCGCACGUCACCGGACCACCGCUGCUCCAAUCUCCUGCGCUUCUACCCACUUGGGUUCGGUGCGUUCUCUAUAACUCUUGGGUUUAGCUUUUUACGCUUUGAGAAAAUGAUUAUAUAUAAAAAAUCAUCUGAAUUUUUAUGUGUAUUUGUGUAGGUGGGAGAAACUGAUGCCAAAGUGAGAUGGCACUCAGCGUUGGCCUCUGGGAAGUUUAACCCUUGCAAACCCACGGCUCAGUUUGCCUCCAACAAUGGACUGUGCUUUGGCAACCGGUUUGAGUCCACUGCUGCAGCCUCUGAUGCAUCGGCCGAGCCUCCCGCUGAGAGAUUCGAGUAUCAAGCUGAAGUAAUGUCAUUUCACCUGUUGGGUAUUUUUUAGAUUGAUUUUGAGGAUCAAUGGUUUUGAGAGUGUUGUUUUCUUCAUGGUUACAGGUCAAUCGCCUCAUGGACCUCAUUGUUAACAGCUUGUACAGUAACAAGGAGGUGUUUCUUAGAGAGCUUAUCAGGUACCUAUUUGGUAUAUCUGAUAUUAUGUAGUAUUGAUUGUCAUUUCUUUCCUAUUGGGUUACCUUGAGAGUCCGAAAAUUGCGAUUGGACAGGUGGAGCCUGAAUUGAUCAUACAUUGGAAUUUGAGUUAACAGUACUAAACACACAUUGGAAUUCAAGAAAUAGUUGUUGUGUUUGAUUUAGGUGGCACUAAGUUAUUUAGCGUAUGAUAUGUUGACAUUAUGAAUUUUUCUGCAGCAAUGCAAGUGAUGCCUUGGACAAGCUCAGGUUUCUCAGUGUUACGGAGCCUGAUCUUUUGAAGGGUGGAGGUGAUCUUGAUAUCCGUAUCCAGACUGAUAAAGACAAUGGGAUCAUACAUAUCAUGUAAGCUUAACUGGUUUUUACAGUAUUUUCUUUCCCUUAAUGAUUCUUCUUCACCAUAUCAAUGGUGUGGUCUUUCCCUUUGUGUGAAGUGAUUCUGGUAUUGGUAUGACUCGGCAAGAACUUGUUGACUGCCUGGGAACAAUUGCACAAAGUGGGACCGCAAAGUUCUCAAAGUUGUUGAAGGUAUAAUAAGUCUUUGAGAUAUUGUAAGUUAUUUGAAUUUGAGAUCCUGCAUUGAGGUAUUUUAUAUGCUUACAAAUUUGGUUUAUCAGGAUAGUAAAGAUGCGGGUGGUGACAACAAUUUGAUUGGUCAGUUUGGUGUUGGCUUUUACUCGGCAUUCCUUGUUGCUGAUCGGGUAAGUUCUUAACCAGAAAACUGUGAGCUCCUACGACUUUUAAUCCGUUGCUUUCUUCUUUCAGUCAAGUGGCUGAAUAUAUAAUAGUGUUGGGGUAGUCCUCCCACUCCCCAAGUUUCUGCCUACCCUUUCCAUUAAGAGUUGAAACUUGUGUAUAGAAAUAUCUGAACUGCUCGAUUGUUAUGCACCUCCUGUGGGUUGUAGGUUGUCGUCUCCACAAAGAGCCCAAAAUCUGACAAACAAUAUGUAUGGCAAGGAGAGGCAAAUGCUAGCUCGUAUACAAUUCAGGAGGAGACUGACCCUGAGAAGCUUAUUCCUAGAGGAACCCGCCUGAGCUUGUAUCUCAAGGUCAGUGUAAAACAUUUUUUAACUUAUGAAUAAAUAAAUAAAACCCUGUAUAAUUUGCCUAUGACUUUGAUCUCCAAGCUAAUUCUUUAUCUGUCUGGCUACUUUCAGCGUGAUGACAAAGGUUUUGCUGUUCCAGAACGGAUACAGAAGCUUGUGAAAAACUAUUCACAGUUUGUUUCUUUUCCUAUAUACACUUGGCAGGAAAAGGGGUACACUAAAGAGGUAAGAGUUUUUUCCCCAUCUUCUCAAUGCUUGUACUUUUGUCAUUGGUUUUGUAUGUUGUAUGUUCAGGGAAAUUAUUGGGGACGAUUUCAUUUCAGGUUGAGGUUGAUGAGGAUCCAGCUGAAUCCAAAAAGGAUGGAGAAAAUGAGAAAACCGAGGUACAAAAGAAAAAAACGAAGACUGUUGUUGAGAAAUACUGGGAUUGGGAGCUCACUAAUGAGACACAACCAAUAUGGGUGAGCCUUAACAGUUUCUUCUUUGUAUGUUUACUCUGCUUUUUAUGGCAGUAACUUUUUUAUGCUCACAUGAUUCCAAUUGAUAUGUACAGCUUCGCAAUCCUAAGGAAGUCACUACGGAGGACUACAAUGAGUUCUACAAGAAAACUUUUAAUGAAUACUUGGAUCCACUAGCAUCUUCGCAUUUCACAACAGAGGUAUUUUAUGACUAUUAAGAUCCUCAACAAAUGCCACUUGUAGUAGAAUUUUGAAGUAAAUGUUGCAUAUUUCUGUAUUAUCACAUGAUGUCUGCUUCUUGAGUUGGAUAAAAGUUGUGUGGAGUUGACAAUAACUAAGUUAACUAUGGGUUUUUUUGUUGUAGAAUUUUUAUAAUUGCAUAUUUGUGGUAUAGUGGCAACUAUCAUGAUGUCUUCUUAAGUUGGGUAACAAAUGGGUGUUAUCUAAAUUUGAAUGACAAUUGAAAAUACAGCAUUAGUGCCUGAAGUUAGGAUGAAAUGUGUAGUUCUGUUUGACAAUGUACUCGUACUUAAUUGCUCAUAUAUUCUGCUUUUAAGUUGAAGAGGUUGGUAUUUGCAGGGUGAAGUAGAAUUCAGGUCUAUUCUGUAUGUUCCAGCGGUUGCUCCUAGGGGGAAGGAUGACAUAGUCAACUCCAAGACAAAAAAUAUAAGCCUCUAUGUGAAAAGGGUGUUCAUUUCAGAUGAUUUUGAUGGAGAACUGGUAAACAAAAUAAAGACAUUUUUACAACAGAGUAAUGCAUGGUUCUCUUAAAUGGAAGCUUAUUGGUUCUAAUUGCUUUUACAUUCCCUUUUGAGUAGUUCCCUCGAUACUUGAGCUUCGUCAAAGGUGUUGUGGACUCAAAUGAUCUUCCACUCAAUGUUUCACGUGAAAUUCUUCAGGAGAGUCGUAUUGUAAGUACAUCUAGCACACUGUCGUUUUAACCUUUAGGUUCCAAUUAGUUUACUUUAAACAAACUGUUGUUUCUGUGAUCUACUUGAAGGUACGGAUUAUGAGGAAGCGCUUGGUUCGGAAGGCCUUUGAUAUGAUCCUGGGAAUAUCCAUGAGUGAGGACAGAGCAGUAUGUUUUUGCUUCUGUUUUCUUAUCAUCCUUUUUUGUUUGUAUGUUUUCAGUCUUGUGGAAUUAUGGUACAAAUUUCAACAUCUUGGCAAUUACUCCUCAGCCAUGUCUUGUUCCUGAGUCCUGUAGCUGUGACUCUGAAUCCUGAUGUUUUCCAACCCCUCUGCUGCUUGGGGUAGCGAAUGAUAUUGCCCCUCUACGUUCUUUAAAGAUAUCCUUUGUUGUUUAUUGCAGGAUUAUGAAAAGUUCUUCGAAAAUUUUGGAAAGCAUUUGAAACUGGGUUGCAUUGAAGAUCGUGAAAAUCAUAAGCGUAUUGCUCCAUUGCUUAGAUUUUUCUCUUCCCAAAGUGAGGAUGUGAUGAUCAGCUUGGAUGAAUAUCUUGAGAACAUGAAACCUGAGCAGAAGGGUAUCUAUUACAUUGCUUCUGAUAGUGUAGAAAGCGCAAGCAAUACACCAUUCCUGGAAAAACUUCUUGAGAAGAAUUUCGAAGUAUGUUUUGCCUCUCAAAUAAUUUGAUAUAUUUGAUUAUGCUGUUUUAUGUAUUUAUGGAUGAUUUUUGUUGUGCUAUUCUUGUAGGUGUUGUACUUAGUUGAUCCAAUUGAUGAGGUUGCCAUCCAGAACCUGGAAUCUUACAAGGAGAAGAAAUUCCUUGAUAUUAGCAAGGAAGAUCUGGAUUUAGGUUAGUUCAUUGGAGCCCUUUGAGUUGAUCCGAUUGACUUGACAUUCUUGCUUCUUUGAUUAUGUUUCCUUUGCUAAGGAAAUCUGAUAUGUAUGAAUGACCUUUCUGCAGGGGAUAAGAAUGAGGAAAAAGAAAAGGAGAUUAAGCAGGAAUAUGGCCAAACAUGUGAUUGGAUUAAGAAACGUUUGGGUGACAAAGUUGCCAGUGUUCAGAUUUCAAACCGUCUUAGCUCGUCACCCUGCGUUCUUGUAUCUGGGAAGUUUGGUUGGUCUGCCAACAUGGAGAGGUAGAGUCCCUCUGUUGCUGAAUACAUAUGUCAAGAAUUCAUAUUACAGAACCUGAUUGUUAUCCUCUAAACUUGUGAUUGGACGUUUCCAGGUUGAUGAAGGCACAAACUGUUGGUGAUACUUCUAGCCUUGAGUUUAUGAGAGGCAGGAGGGUGUUUGAGAUUAAUCCUGAGCACCCAAUCAUUCAAAACUUGAAUGUACGUUUGCACGGAGAAAGCUACUCUCCCCAACUCUCCCAAUCUUAGAAGACUAUGGUUUUAGAAAAUACAGUAACAUUUUAAUCCUGGUUUGCAGGCUGCAAGCAAGAUCAACCCGGAUGAUGAAGAUGCUAUUAGAGCUAUUGAUCUUUUGUAUGAUACAGCUUUGGUGUCUAGUGGUUUUACCGUGAGUAUUCAAGCUUGCUUCACAUCUCUUGUUAAAACUGCUCUUAGGAUUAUAUGAUCUAUAGCAACCAUUCUUCAUUGUAACUUGACCAUUAAGAAAUCCUAGGCCCUGAAAUGAAAAUGCACUUGACCUCGUGGUUUGGUGAAAAUGAGAAUUGCUUUUUUGGAUUUGAAGGUGCCACUAUUUGUUGGUUUGAGACACUAACGCUACAGACAAGUAUCACUCUCUAGGAAUCUGUUGUAGCCCAUGCUAAGGAUGAUGAUUUGCAUGCUUAUUUGAUCAAUGUUUGAUCUUCUUACACAUUCAACUUGUAUGUCUUGUUGAUGCAGCCUGAGAAUCCAGCACAGCUGGGUGGAAAGAUAUAUGAGAUGAUGGGUUUGGCUCUUUCUGGGAAAUGGUCUACACCUGUCGCCGAGGUUCAGCAACCAGGACGCCAACACCACAACCCAGAGACGUUAGAGGCUGAGGUUCAGCAUCCAGGAACCCCACAUCACAACACCAAGAUAUUAGAGGCUGAGGUGGUUGAGCCUGUUGAAGCUGGUACCCAGAAAUGAGGAGCAAGAGGCAUUUUUCCUUUUUGACACUAAAUUCUCUUUCUCAUGCACAAAAUUCAGUGGGUAGGUCUUUUAGUGGUGCAGUUGAUAAAUGUCUGGACAUGAGUGUUAGAUAUAUAUAUAUUUGAGGGAGCUGGUGACCAGAAAUAAGAGCACAAAGCAACUUUCAUUUUUUGGUACCAAAUUUUCUUACAAAAUUUCAGUGGUAGGGCUGGCUGGUGGUGUUCAUAUAUGGAGACGAGUGUUAUGAUAUAUUUGAUGGACGUAGGCUGUUUGGCUGAACUCUAUGGGAUUACUUAAUAAUCUUAUGGUUAUUUUGACUAAUUCCUUUCUCUUUAAUUUGUACUUGUUUUAGUUUGUCUUUUAUUUAACUAAUGUGCAGCAUCGGAUUGAUCUGCUAUAUUCACCCCAAGACUGCAGAUAUUAUUUCCAUAUGACAUCAUUUUAAAUUCCGAGCCUCUUUAUUUAGCAUCAGUGCAUUUAUACGCGUUUAGAAAAAUCUAAACUCUUUAAUUGAUCUAAUGGAAUUUAAUUAUUUCACAUCAGCACAAUUGUAUUAGAUUAAAAAGUCUCCUUUUGCACUGUAUCACUUACUCAUCUAUUCCCCCUUCUCUCCUGUAAUCGCAUCAUAAUUAUCAAAAGCUGGAAUUUGAUCCCCAGAUCAAUUCGACAUGGCUCAUACCAAUAAAUUAUCUUUUUUAAUGUAUUAAUUUUGACUUAAAUAUGAUAUAUGAAUUAGUUCUCAUAAAAAAAAAAAAAAAUGGCUCAGAAUCCUUAAAAAUUGGUUCUCAUAGAUAGUCUGAUUCUAAUUUGUUAAUGGUGCAGUUUGCAAGGAAUAUAAUGUGAAACUAAUAUUUAUUUUCAAAUUUGAUCAAUCAAAAUUAUUCAAGUAUUAAGUGAGAUAAAUGUUUCCUAAAAUAUAAUUUUAAUUUUCCAUGUAUGCUACGGCAUUUGGCAAAGAAACAUGUGCAAAAGUCAAGCAGGCCAAGCAGUGAAGUUACCAUUUUGACCUUGACAGUACAACGUGUCGUGAACGACGUGACUGGUCAGCAAAUAAAAAACAAUACAAGAAACGUGCUAAGCCAGUCAAUUCCAACCCAAGACCGGCUGAGCCGGUCACCCCCAACGUUAAAAGUCUUCACUUUCCCGGUAAAAACACCGUUGCCGUGUCCCAGGGGCAAAAUGGGAAAACCACCUCUUCAUAAAAAGUGAAUUAAACUUCCCAAUCUGUCUCCGCGUCUGCUCUCGUCUUCUCUACUGAGCUGAAUUUCUCUCGGGCUUCGUCUGGUAAGCACUCUCUCUCUCUCUCUCUCUCUCUCUCUCUCUCUCUCUCUCCCCUUCUCUCUUUGUUCCUUCUGUUUGGUCGCUGAGAAAAUCGUAGAAAAUGAAAGAAAUUUUGUUUAGUUGGCAUCGAAUUUGUUGCUGUUGAUCUAAGAAUUUAACGAAAAGUCCACACUGAACAAAGGCAAGUAUUUAUAUUAGGAUCGGUUCCGUGACCUCUGAAUUUGCUGCUUAGCCUUCCAUUUAUUAUUGUUGCUUUAAUUCUCUCUGUGAAACGAAGCAGGUUAAUCACCAAGCGAAGCAGAUUCAACGGCAUAGUAGACUUAUUGUUUUGAAAAGAAAAAAUUGGGGUUUUCUAUUGUGUGCAAAUUGGUAAAGGUCUGCCUUUUUGUUAUAUGUUUCUGACAUGUUGCUGUUGCUAGAACGUUGUUUCAUUUCGUAAUUUGGAGAUUAGAGGCUUUUCUGAAAAUAGCAUGCUUAAUAUUGAUAGUCUUACGGCAAGAAAAAGCUUAGAUUGGUAGUAUUAUUUUAUUCAAUUUCAGUACUUCUGUUGUGAUGAUUAAUUCUCCGGAAUCAGUACGACUGGCAGCUUUUAAUAGAUGUAGUAGAACCUAGAUGAUAUGCUUCUCGUAGCAGUUUGGGUAAUCACAGGUAUCCAAGCCAGUUUGAUGUAACUGAAAAUUUGUCAAAUCGUCUCACCAUGUGCUGUGUUGCUUUUGGGAUUUCAUCUUAACUGAUAGUUGUAUAUGUUUGUCUGUGCAUGCACAUGUCUUCUUUUGGGUGCUGAAUGCGUGUUGUUAAUUCUCAACGAUGAGAAAUCUUCUAUAUUUUUUAACAUUCACUUUCAGAUCUAAUAUGCAAAAUGUCACGAUAGCUUUCAGAAGAGUAAAAAUGUUAGGGUACUUGGCUGAUACUUCUAUUUCUGUAGUUGCAGAAGUAGCGGAUCUGGUGGAUGGGUACAUCAUCUGGCUCCAAUAUACACCACCAACCUUCAUCAAAGAUGCUUCCUCCUCGUCAGCAACCACGAGCUGGGGGACUACAAACCUCCCUCUCCCUUGUCUCUUCAGAUCCUCGGCUUUCCCCUGAAGAACCCAGAUCAAAUUCUGAUCACAGGCGUGAGUCCCCUACUGAGAGUGCCAGUUCUCGAGAAACAUGGCCUACUGCUGAUGCCAUAAUGGCAAAGAAGAUGGAGAAUGGGAAAGCAGAAAAUGAUUGCCCGGAACAAUCAGUCAUUCGUCGUCUUUCCAGCGCUGAUAAGAUAUCUCUUCGAGACAUUGCAAGAGAGCGAGUUGACAUAAUCUCUGAAAAGAUGCAUCACCUACCUGAUGAGUUUCAGGAAGAAUUAAAGAACAACCUCCGAGUAAUCCUUGAUGGGAAUGGUGGUUCGCAGCAGAGAGACGAAUUUUUUAUCCUGCAGAAGCUUGUUCAAAGUAGAACAGAUUUAACAGCGAAGACUUUGAUUAGAGCACACAGAGUACAGCUUGAAAUCCUUGUUGCAAUAAAUACCGGGAUUCUGGCCUUUUUGCAUCCAAAUAUCAGUCUGUCGCAAACUUCCCUUAUUGAAGUUUUCGUGUACAAGAGAUGCAGAAAUAUAGCAUGCCAAAACCAGAUUCCAGCUGAUGAUUGUACAUGCGAGAUAUGCACUAAAAGAAAUGGUUUCUGCAAUCUUUGCAUGUGUGUAGUAUGUAACAAGUUUGAUUUUGAAGUGAACACUUGCCGUUGGGUUGGUUGUGAUUUGUGCUCUCAUUGGACUCACACUGAUUGUGCUAUUCGGGAUGGACUAAUAUGCAUGGGUGCCUCUGGUAAGAGUGGAUCAGGGUCAUCCGAAAUGCUUUUUAGGUGUCGAGCUUGCAAUCGGACAUCUGAGCUACUGGGUUGGGUCAAAGAUGUUUUUCAACACUGUGCACCUGCCUGGGACCCGGAGGCUCUGACAAGAGAGCUUGAUUUUGUUAGUAGAAUUUUUCAUGGAAGUGAAGACCCCCGAGGGCAAAAACUCUUCUGGAAGUGUAAGGAACUCAAAGAAAAGAUAGAAAGUGGACUUGCAGAGUCAUCAGCAGCUUGCAGAGCAAUAUUGAUGUUUUUCCAAGGUAUAUAUUCAGUGUACAUCCUAGGGAAGAACCAUGUGUUCUGGUACUUUCAAGUCUACUGGAAUAAUAUUUGUGGUUUAUUAGGAAUAUUUGAACUCCAACUCUAGAUAAAUUUUCGUGGAAUUUUUGUCUCAAUUUUAGUAAUCUGCAUAUUGUUUUGCCCUUUUUUUAUUAUUCAUUUAUCUAUAUUGUCCUGAUUUGAAGUAUCUUCUUUAUGAAGAGCUUGAGGUAGACUCUCCAAAUCCAAAGAGCCUGGAAAAUGGGGAAAGUGGACGGCUGAUAGCCCCGCAGGAGGCCUGUAAUCGAAUUGCUGAAGUGGUGCAAGAGGCCAUAAGGAAGAUGGAAAUGGUGGCCGAUGAGAAGAUGAGAAUGUACAAGAAAGCCCGAAUGGCUGUUGAGGCUUGUGACAGGGAACUCCAGGACAAGGCCAGGGAAGUUCAAGAACUAAAGCUGGAGAGGCAAAAAAAGAAGGUACAAAUCGAAGAGCUGGAGAAAAUUGUGAGGCUCAAACAUGCAGAAGCCGAUAUGUUCCAACUCAAGGCUAAUGAGGCAAAACGAGAGGCUGAGAGGCUCCAGAGGAUUGCUCUUGCCAAGUCAGAUAAAUCGGAGGAAGAAUAUGCCAGCAGCUACUUGAAACAACGAUUGAGUGAAGCUGAGGCAGAAAAGCAGUAUCUAUUUGAGAAGAUUAAACUGCAAGAGAGUUCGCGGGCAUCCCAGAGCAGCGGUGGUGGUGGUGACCCAUCUCAGUUGCUGAUGUACUCAAAAAUGCAUGAUAUGCUUUACAAUGCCCCUCCUAAGGCAGACUGCCUGCCAAACGAACGCCAUCCUUUCAGAAAAAAUCCUUGAGGAGUGGUUUCUAGUAUGUACCGUGUAUUAUUUUAACUUCAGUAGUGGCAAUGUUACUUUCUUUGGUGAACUAGUUUGAAUGCGAUGACUUGUUGAUUAUGACCUGUGGCCUGUGGGCAUUUUUAUCUAUCUACGAAGGCUGGUAGCUUUUUAACUGUUUCCUCGUGUAUAAAAAUAAGUAUAUGUUUUGGUGGUGUUGGUUCAGUGUUUUGGGUUUGAUUUAUUUGAUACAUAUCUUUUUAUUAUGUAAAUUUGGCCUCGUCGUCUCAUUUCGAUGAAACCAUGGGUACCAUGGAUUCCGAGCACGGAGAUUGUGGGUAAGGUUUACUGGAACGAACAUAAAGUUCUAAACGCCAUAGUGGUGCUAAUGCCAUGACACCUAAUUGUAGAGCUGUUAGAGACAUAUGGAGUGACAAUUUUGGCAUUGUUUAAGAACAAGCCCGAUCUUCUGGAAUGGGUGACGCUGAUGAUCUUGCUGGGGGUGCCUGAUGGAACCAGAGAUCCAUUUGCAAAAUGCAGCAAAUGCCCGAAAUUUAGUGCGGUUGUAUCGAAUGGCUGAGGAUGAAUUCUUGGAGAUGAUGCAGCACUUGAUAAUUCCUGAUCAUUUGGCAUGAAGAAGGUUAUAUUCGUAUUUCGCAGCGAUUUGGGGAUGCUGCUAUGUACGAACUGAAGAGGAUAACAAAUCCAUGGUAAGAGCUCAUUCUCAUGUCAGCCAUGGCUGCCUGCAGAUCGGUUUCGUUGAUUUGUUUUGCAAGCUUAGACUCUCCAACUGCAAAUAGGAGAGAGAUGAAAAACCAGAUGGCCAUCGAGUACAACUUUGGGUGUAAUUCUUUGAGCUGCUGAUGUACAGGGAUGGUAUAAAAUUUAUAGACUGGUUUGCAUUUCAUUCUUUUUUAAUCAUCAAUCAAAGAUGAUCGGUUGAAUGUUUGGCUGCGUUCAUUCUGUAAAGGGGUUCAGUUGGAAGGUGAUUUAUGCAUGACGGGCAGGUAGUAAUUACGCUUUUUUUUUAUUAAAAAAAAAAAAACUUUGAUCUACAUUUUCUUUCUCUGUUUAAUCUAGUGGUCCUAAGUUUCCCCUCUAGUUUGUUAUAAAUAAAAAAAACACAAUUCUCUUUUUAUGGUGCCCAAAAAGAGAGUGUUCCAAUGAUCAGACACAAUUAAUAUCUCAACUGCUGAACAAAAACAUUUCAAAAAUAAAUGUUAUGGUUGAUGCAUAAAAUAGCGUUCACUUGUGAACCCAAAGUCUUAAGUUUGAUCCCCUUUGCCCAAUAUCGUUUGUGCUAAAAAAACAUUCUUUUAGAGUAAUAACAACACAAUGUUGACCCUUCCAGUCAAGUGGGCUGCAUUCAAAUGUGAUUAAACGGUUGUUGUAUGAUUGUUAUCUUCUUCUGCUUAAGUAAAUAUCAAGCUUUGAACAUCAAUUUGGCUGCAUUACAAAGUUUGAAUUUGAAGCUUAAGUUUGACCAAAGAAUAUAUAGGUCCAAUUUGUUGAGGACAGAAUUGGAGAUUGCAAUCUUUCAAACUCAAUAUUAUAAUAGAGCAAAGAUAAGAAGAGCAAACAUCAUGCGUGAGAAUGACCCAAAAUGGACUGGUUGCCUUUCAACAUUAACAUCACAUACAAAUGAAAGACUUUUUAAAGCUAUUAUUAUGGUCAUAUAUCAACAUUAAUAAAUGGAAACUACUUCGAUAAAUUGUUAAUACCAAAUUAGAGCAAAUUGCAUGCUCGAGACAUGCGCAAAAUAGCAAACAGAUAAACGAAAACAAGAAUCAUGCCAAAGAACAAUUGAGUGAUUUGCAGCAACCUCAGUCAAAGACGAUGUAUAACCAAAAGAGAACAUGAGCAGUGUUAGAGAGCGGAUUUUGGGAGAAUGAUUGGAUUGAGAACAUAGCCUAAAAUGGGUGGUGAUGAACUUCAAUCUGAGCAUGGCUUAGAAGAAAUCACCACAAGAGACUUCUUAUUCAAAACGCCUCAGUGGACUUAUUCACUAACCUAAAAGGAAAAGACGAGAAGAGAGGAGGGGGAGGAGAGGCAGUGACGCUUCUUCCUCCUCCCCCUUCUAUGGAAUUUUUCCUUUAGAACUCACAAAGAGAGAAAGCGGCUAGGAUUUUUUCAACUAUCCCAAAUAGGCUUGUCACCUUCUACCUGGUAGUGUGUACUAACUAUAAGUACAAUAAGUAGCUAAUUCUUCCACCUUAUUGCGGCUCGCAUUAACAUUAUUUUCGUGACUUUCAAUUUAACGAAAGAUUUUGUAAAAUCAUUAUACCAUGUCAUCAUGUUUGAAGUGAUAUUAAUCUUUGAAGGUAAUCUAUUUGAAGCUAGUGAGUUUCGUCUCAAUUUUUAAAUAAAUGACAUUGUUUGAGUGGCUAAUCAUGCCAUUUCAACCUAAUUACAUGAUAUGGCUGUGCAACAGAUUUUUUUUUUUUUCUCCAGAAGAAGAUAUUGCAAAUGUUAAGUUACCUGCUGCCUAAUGGAUAUGGUUUUCACCAGAAAAGCGAUGCAUGAUUAAAAUAUUUAUAAAAAUAAAUAAAUUAUACUCUUGAUGAUUGUUGGUUUAAAGUUAGAGUUUUUUUAUUUAAACACUACACUUCUCUUUGUUUACCCCAAUUUUUAAUUCAAAAAUUUCACACUUUUUAAGAAAAUUCCAAUAUAUUCCCAAACUACCCCUACAAUACACGCCCAGCAGAAAAAAUAAAAUAAAAUAAACUCAUCAAUGUCACACCUCACACCCCACACCCGCUAUCUUGCCUCUCACCACUCUAAGUUCACCUUAACCUCAUAUUACUUUAAAAUAUAAUUAAUAAAAAAUAAAAAAAAAUAAAAACACUGUUAUCAAAUGUAUAGCAGCAUUAUUUUAUUUUUAUUUUUAUUAUUUAAAAAAAAUUAUUUUCUUGUUCAACAAAGCAAACCCAUGUGGCAAUUUCCAGAUUAUAUAUCAAUCAAAGGUUUAGGCAAAUACUGUUUCUUUGCUUCGCAGUCAAGGUCUGGUUUUUUUUCCUCAAGUUUUGUUUCUUUGAUUAUGAUGAUGAUUAUUAUUAUUAUUUCUCAUUUGUUUGUUUGACUAUGAUUUUCCGUAUUUAGGGUUUGUGAAGAGAAUGUGAGAGUGCAGUAGGUUUCUUGGAUUAAAAGAGAAGAGUAACGGAGUUUGUGUUUUUCUAAAACUUAAUAUGAAGUAUUAAGUUUGAUGACCUUUUUUGUCUUUUAACACAAUAAAAACUUAAGAGCUUAAUGAUUUAAGUAUUGUGGUGAACAAAGAAAAAUGUGAAGUUUAAAUUAAAAAAACUCUUAAAAUUAUUCUUGUUGAUAAAAUAAUUCUUCCAAAGUUAAUAAAUAAAUCAAACAUUAUUGAUAAUAGCUUUAAUUAUAGUUGUGAACCUUUGGCUUGGCUGGCUGUAACGUGAAAAUUAGGACAAUAUGCAUUUUAUGGAAGCUAUUCGGACAUUCCUUUUCAUGGGAAACCCUGUAUUAAUCAUCAAUUCCUCAAAUGAAAGUCAUUUCAAAAUUAAUAAUUCCGCGCAGUUAAAAUAAUUGCAAGGAUACAUCAUAUAAUUCCGCUAAUCUGCCCAUGCUAUAACGUGAAUGUAGGAUUAUCAUUAUUAUUAUUAUUAUUUUCUUUAUAAAAGACGAUGUAAUUUUAUUAAAUCAAUAGGAAUAACAUUACAAAGACCGUAAAGGGAGCCAUCCCAAUAAUAAUAUGACAGACUUGAAUAAAACUUCUCCACUGACUUGAGCCAGCCGAAAAGCUUAAAGCAUCUAGAGACAAUUACUCUCGAAAGUAAUUUUUCUAUAAUCCCCUCAACCGCCAUAAUUUUUCCGAAUUUAGUCUAAUGACAUUAAGGACAAAAACUAGCAGCUAACCGGCAUGACUUUUAUAGAGAGAUUAAGAACACCCAUCAAACUCAACUAAGUUUCUGAAAUCAUAAAAGAAAAAACACAGAAAACUCAUCAAGUUUCUGGAAUUUAUUGAACAAAAUAAACCAAAAUAACAAACUAAAAUAACGCUGUCAAAAAGAAAAACCAACCGCACUGCUAUUAAUCUUCCUUUGAAACAUGACAUAGAGAACGUCACUUAAUUGUUCUUAUUUUUAUACAAACGAUAUUUAAAAUAAAAUAAAAAAAGAAUUCACAGAAUCAAUGAUGCAAGAAUAACGGCCCUUGAUCCCUUAAACUACAAACAUCAUGCUCAUUAUUGUAUUCUAGAUGUUCUUUCAAGUUUCAAUGGACAGAGCAACUUAUUGUAAAUUAAUUGGGACAUGCCAUCAAUUGGGAAGAGGAAAGGAACAGUUAUGGAUUUCUAUAAGACUAUAUAACCAUGCAUGGGUGACAUAUAUAUAGAUAUAGGUAGGUAGGUAAGCCAUGGUAUUUAUUUUAUCAGACUAUCAUUUUAUUUAUUUUAUUUUAUUUUUGUUUCUUAUCAGAUUAUCAUUUGAGUUGUUGGAAGACUUUGAAUGGUUUUGGAGACAACUAAAAUUAAUGAUUGAAAAAUGAGUAAACAAACAAACAAACAAAGGCACAUUAAAAAACCCUAAGGGGUUUGUGAUUACAUAAACUAAGAAAUUGAAUACUAUUAGAGUGCAUUUGGAAUGUGAGGCUUCCCAAUAUACAAUUUUUAGUUAUAUUUUCAUUAUAAAAUUGAAAUGUUGACAUAUGAGCUCCUUAUUUCAUAGCAUUUUAUGCAGUUAUAAUUCCAAAGAGAACCAUUUUUCUUUGUUUGCUGAUUUAGCAUGUUGCAGUCAAUGAGGUUUCUCACACACACAAUACCAAAAUGUAAGUCAAGAUUCUUUUUCAUUGAGUUAGACCCCGUUGGCCAAUUCAUUUUUAUUUUCAUGGUUGGAUUUGGGUGUUUAUUUGUUCAAAGAAGCAUCCUUAUUUGUCCCUUUUCUUUUGCAUUUUUCCUUCGAGUCCAAGGGUGCAAACCAUUUUAAUGUUAUCUCAAACACACACAAGUAACAUCAUGUUGAACAUGACCCAAAUUCAGCUUUGCCAUCACCCUCUCCACCUGCAAAAUAAUUAAAACCCAUCAAAAGCACAUAAAAUUUUAAUUAAAUACACUCCCCUAAGCACCUAUAUUGGAUCCUUCCCUUCAAUUUUUGUACAACUCACACCCAAAAAAAAAAAAAAAACCCAGAAAAAUUCUCUAAUCUUAAUUAGCAUGUUCCCUGGUAGCUGUUGGUCACCUAAAUUAAUUCCAUGCCUUUUGAAGCAAACAUGGAGGUUGGAGAAGAGGAGAGCUUUUAAUAAAUAUUUUGGUGGACGGUAAAGUGCGGCUAUACCUAUACUAUCUACUAUCUAUACUAUCUACAAAGAAAGCAACGGCUAUGAUUUUUUUGGACUUAAUUUAAAGUGGAUACUGUUUUUAGUGCUUUCAGACAUCUUUUUAGCUUAAAGUCUAAAUAAUUUUAAAGAUAACCUAAUUUUGUAUUAUGGAUCAUGAUUAACAUUCAUGCUACUGCAAAACCUUUUUUUUUUCUCUUUUUUUUUUUUUGUGUGUGUGGGUAAUCUACCCCACCAUGCAUCUGCCGUCACAUGCCACACAAAAGUAGAUCGACCUACAAAAAUACCUUUCUAAGACAUAUAUAUAUUUUCAAAUUUGCAUCAUUAAUUGGAUAUUGCUAAAGUUUUUUAUUCUCUGCUGCCACCAAACUAAUUAAGCAUCAUCCCAUCUCAGCAAGAAGAAACUUGUGGAGCUUCCCCUUCUCAUAAAUUCUUGACUGUAUUUUUUGGGUUUGGUUCCAUUAUUGGUGAAGUAGGGAGAUGCUUGAGAAAGUGUGUUACCUACCUUCUUCUCUUGGCUUCCUUUUGGCCAAAGGCAAAGCAUGGGGAUGUGGCUUUCCCAAAGUGACAUUGCCAUUGCUAUCAAAUUAUCAAUAGUGGGACAUGGGAUAAAAAGUGCACACAUUUAUUCAUGCCAUACACAUACACAGCCACAAGUUCAAUCAUUUUAAACUCUAGAACACCUAUACCACAAAAUCCACUAUGAGAAUAAAGAAACGCUAAAGGCAUACGACGAAUUAAGUGUAUUAAAAAAUAAACUCAACAUACUCAACUCGAAUUUCUAAUUCAUAUUCAACUCGAAACUUACUUUUGAAAUAACUCUGUGAGUUCAUGUUAACAGAAUUCAUUAAUUGAGCUCAAACGACAAUAUCAACUCAACCCAAGCAAACAAUUUUCUUACCUAUUAUCGGUGGUAGUAUACAACUAGAUGUUUAUCUCUAUCAUAAUAUAUCUAGCUUCAAUCAUAUUGUCAGAAAUAUUCAUAUGAUGUGGCCUUUUAAAAAAAAUACUACUUACCUCAUUCCCUGUAAGAAGAUGCUCAUUCUUCCUACGAAUCAUAAUUUAACAUAUAUACAAAAAUAAUUCAUCAAAAACACAUCCAAAAAAAAAUUACACACAUGUCACACUCAUAUUAACAAGAAUUUACGAGCUCACUCAUACAAAAGAAUGAAGUAUUUUUCAUUUAAAAAGUAAUAAUAUAUAGCUAAAGCGUAAACUUGCCUCAAUAUUUUUAAAUAGACAAAAAAUAUUUUAAACUCAAAGUCAACAUCAUCUUCUAUUCUGAUUUGUUUUUAGCGCAACAGACACAUGGCUUUGAACACUCUCAUACUCAUAGCCCAAGUUACGAAAUUGCCCAUCAUGUUUUCGCGAAAACAACAGUCACGAGAUUUUGUCUCCCCAAAAUAAGUAGAGACGAGGGAGGCCUGCCUGGUAAUUUCAAACAGAGGGGGGAAAAAAACCGAAACGUGUUGUAGAUUUUGUCGGGUAGUAAAUGGGGUUUGUCUGUCGGGUAAGCCUUGGCCACAUAUACGGUUUUAAGUUAUAACCGAACAGAGACGUUCAGUGGGACCCGCCCACCCCACGUUGUUGACGUGUCGGCCUCAGAUUCUUUCCCGGGUUUUUUCUUGUGGGUUUUUAUAAUGUGCGGCAAAAGUUGGAAAAGAUGGUAACGUUAAUUUGUCAGAAGCAGCUGUCGUGGCCCCCACUUAAUUUCGUCACGACUCUCGAGGAUCUGAGCUCUAAAUCGGAGCCGAGGAUUUGGAGUUUGGCGCCUAGCACGCCGCUAAGACCAUGUUUGGUUGCACAACCAGAAAAAGCAAAUACCCAUAUUAAAUUAAAUUUUUUCUGUUUUUUUAAAAGGCACCCAUAUUAAAAAGAAAUUCAAAAUUAGAAAUAAUAUGAGCAAAUUUUGAAUAAAUUAAAUUAAAUUCUCUAAAAUGAUUUCAUACAAGAUUUCCUAACCACAAAUUUAACAAAAUUUUGUAUGUGAUCUAUAAAUACGGCAGAAUAAAGAGAUUUUUUUUUUUAAUCCUCAUCAGCCUUACCUAAAAGUUUUUUUUUUUUUUUUGGGGGGGUCAAGACCUAAAAGUUGUAUUGGUAUCUGAAGUUGUCCCUUUCUCUCUUGUUUAAGGUGCAAGAUAAGUCUAAAAAUCCACAUAAAUAAGUAAAAAAGGUUACAAUCUAGACAAGAAUAUGCCAUUUGUAUAAUAAUGCUUUUUUUUGUUGUUCUUUUGCUAAUGCAUUGUGCAAUGUAUGAUAUAUAAAAACAGUUGUCAUAUGAUUAAAAAACAGUCCAAUAUCUCUCUCUCUCCCCCUCACAUAAGUUUUAGCUUACCUAGGAAAAAAGUGAGAAAUGAGGAGUUAAAAAUCAUUAAAAUGAAUGGCCAUCAAAGUAAAUCUUCAUUGGAAGAAGAAUACACACAUAGUGGUGGGUCUAAAGUCCAACUGGAUAAAGUAAUUAUUGAGCCUUAAAACUUGUUGCUUAAUGUGGCCCAUAGAAUGAGGCAUUUCUUGGAUAUGUACUUGGUAGUUUCUAUCACUAACAAGUUAAAAAGAAAAGUGGAGAAGAUAAAAACAGUGGAGCACUUGAUGCCAUUAUGUCAAAGUGGCUUCAAGCAUCUCUCUUCUUCUUUCUUAAUUUUAUUUUUUCACAAGGAUAUUUAAAUUUAAAUCUACCUUUACCUAGCUCCCCAUCAUCCCCCAUAAUGCAAAAUAUAUCUCUUAAUCAAUAAAAUACAUAUCCUAUGCAGACGUCAUCUAUUUUCUAUUACCUCUUUCUGCUUUCCUUCUUAUUUAUAAUGGCAUCCGCACGACAUCCGGAUAAGAGAAUAAAUGCAUAUAUUGAGUAGGGGAGAAUCGAAUCUAGGACAUUAGGUGCAAUGAUAAAUUCUCUUAACCACUUGAGUUACAAGUUCCUUAUAAUCAACACAUAUAUACUAAUUAUGAGAGAACAUGUGAUUUACAAAAUUCAAAAUUUUGUUUAUAUAUAUAUGUAUAUAUAAAAGAUGGAUGAGCCUACAACAAUUUCUAUUCCAAAUCAAACUAAGCCUAGGAAAGUGUAAUAAUUUUUACAAUGGAGCCAAAAGAAGAAAAAAAUACAAAGGUGAAAAAAGAAAGGUAAAAUGGGCAAAGGUCAAUGCUUGACAAAUAACAUAUGCCCACUUGAAAUAAAAAGUAGUACAAUGUAAGGACAAAAAAAGUUGGGGAAAGAGUUUGUACAAUGUUUGAGUUUGAUGGCUUGGUUUGGUUGAGUUGUGUCCCAAAUUUAUGUAGAGACUUAUUAAUUCUUAAGCAUGAAUAUAAAAACUCCCAAAUGAAGGUCAAACUAAUCAUGGUUUUAAUUUAAGUGAUUACUUUAAACACUGGUUUUAAUUUAGUCCUAUUGCUUGUGCAUUUUCAUAAUGAAUUUAUUCCAUUAUAUUACAUUGGAGGGUAAGGUAUAUAGCCGACACACAUAUUCAUAGAUGCCCCCAUCAUUAAAUAUAUCUUCGAAACACAAUUGCAGAUUAAGAAUCUUGACACAUGUACCCAUUAACUCAGUUCCCGAGUAAUUGCCGAUUUUUUUGUUUAUGUGUGGUAAAAUACUAGACACAAAAAAAGAAAUUUAUUUAUUUAUUUAUCUUCAUAUCUUUUUAUCAGCAAAUAAUGUGGGUGGUAACACAAAACAAUAGUAAAAUAAACAAUACUCCAACAUUAGUUGAGAUCUAAAUUUCAAAAUUUAUUUUUGUUGUCUGUCAUUUUCUCUCUGGAAAAGAAAAAAAUAAGAAGCAAGGAAAGAAGAAAGAAACUGAAGCCUGGGUGGAAGCCUCUCCUCUUCAUUGCCUAUAUUUACUGAAUAAAAAAACACACCUUUCUCUCUCUCUCUCCCACACCUGUACGUCCGUAUACCUGCAUUGCAGCAGGGGGGCAGAUACACCAUCUUAAACACUGAAUGCUGCAGUCUCUUUCAACUAUUACAAAAGUAAAAGAGGCCCAGAGCAGAAAAAUGAAGGAAAAUUAAUAAAUCAAGCUUAAAAAAAAUUAGAAAAUUGGAAAAGCUCUGGUUAUUAUGUAUUGUGGGUAAUUUUGAUAUUGGGUUUUGUUUGCUUUUGCUUAACCUUCCCCCACUAGAUGAUGAGAUAAUGAUGUGCCCCUCAGAUCAAAUGCUGGACACCAAAACUGAAGAGAGAGAAUAAGAGAGUGUGGGGUUAGAAAAGAAAAGAAGAAGAGGGGCACAUGUAUUUUUUUUUUUCUCACUCUGAUAAUUGAUUCCAGUUGGAAUUUUAUGGAAACCAACUCCGGUCCAAUCCUUUUUUUCUUUUCUUUUUAUUUUUGGGUUCAGGCUUUUUCUUUGAAAAUGUAUCACUCAGGAUGCUUCUUUUUGGUUGCACAGAAGUGUGGGUGGUAGAAAGAGCCUGAUAUAGGAAAAGGCCAAUUCUUUCUCUUAUCUCCUUAAUGAUUUCCUCACAGGUUGCCCAAAUAAUAACAGGGGUUUCUUUCAGCUUGUUGUUUGGCAUGAUUGGUAGUACCCUUCAGUGUUCUCCAGAAAAGGUGUGGUUUUGAUGGGUUUUACAUGCUUCACAGAUGUAAAGACAUGAACUUAGUAUUGAACUUGAAAGUGGAAAACCAGAGGAGGUCUGGAGAGAGAAAUGGAGCUGGACCACUUACCUUUUCUGGAUUUGGUGGUUAAUUGGAGAGUUGGGCUUUAGAAACCUGAAGUGGGUUCCAUGCAAUUUCACAUCUUUGUUGAGUCUCUGUCAAAGGUUUGCCAUAAAGCAUUGUUCUUGACGAGUUUAGUGAGCUGGUUCUGGUGAAAAGUAUACUGGGUUUUCAGCAAAUCUGUUUGAAUUUCACUCUGUGGUUUCUUGGUGGUCUGGUUUUCAUGACUUGUCCUGCUGGAGCUGGAAGAAGGUUUCUGUCAAGCUUUCAAGGAUCUUUGUGAAGUUAAAUAGGUGUGUUUUGGUAUCAUGUAUCUGAAUUUCAGGGUCUCUGGCUUUAAUGGCAUUUUACCUGGUAAUUUUAAGUUGAAUAAGGCAACGGAGCCUUUGCAUGGGCCUAAUUGUGUCAGAAAAUGGAGAAGGAAGCUUCUACUUCUCGGACUUUUAGGUUUUAUUACAAUUAUUUGGUUUUUCGUGGGUUUCAAUGAUGGAACUUUGGGGAUGAGAGAGAAGACUCCAGACAUGUCUGAAGGGAAGGCUCGGAUCCUGCAGCAGCAUUUCAAUGUCAGCAAGGACCAGCUUCUUGCUUUAGCUUCCUUAUUCUCCGAAUCAGAUCAGGUGCUGUAUUCAUAGCUCUUAAACUUGCAUCUUUAAGCAUUUUCUUCUUUUUUUCCUUUUGUUUGUUUGAUUUGCAGCUUGUACCUUGUAGUAGAGGGUGCUUAAAGCAAGUGCUUGUCUUUUAAAAACUCCUUGUUUUGUUUUAUCAAUUUGGCUGAACAGACUAGUGUUAAAGUACAACAUGGUGUUCCUUUCCAGAACAAGUUUCACACUUAAAAUGAUCUUUCAGUUGUAUACGGUUUGACUUCAGAGUGAAGAGUAAAAUAAUUUCACAUUAAGAUAGGAAUUGCAAUACUUGGAAGACACGAGACUGAAUUCAGGAAAUUGUUUUCUCUUCUGGUUUUUGGAUAUCCUGUAGUUGGAUUAAAGUCAAUUUGUUAAUCUUAAUUCUCUACGAGAUAGAAAUUGGUGUGUGUAUCUUCUUAUGUUUGUUAUAGCUUGAUGGAUUAAUCCCUUUAAUCAACGGAUUUUCUAGCUGUUUCUCUGUACACUUCUUUUUUUUUGGUCUAAGUAUCUCUGUACACUUCAGUAUUCUUCUUUUUACCCCUUAAGAUUUACAAUGAAUUACUGGGUUUUCCCAAACUUUAAGCUGCUAUAAAACGAUGAAUCUAAUGUACUUCAAUACUCCACAUAUGUAGACUAUAACAGCCCACCAAAAUCUGUAGGUUAUGCUGGAAAAGUAAAGCAACACAAAACAUUUGUGUAUCAACUAUGAGUUAUAGAAUUAUGUUACGAUGCUAUAGUUCUACUUUUGUAGCAAGGAUAUUAACUGUGAUCAGUUGAUUUCGCUAUUUAUUUUCCCGUUCAGAUGAUAACAUGUCACUUUAAGCAAUCAUAUGUAAGGUGCCUGAGCCGUCUCUAUGCAUCAAGAGGAGAAAACUACAUAGUUACAAGAAAAAGCUUUUACACGUCCCCAUUUUUCAACUUCUUCUCAUUAGUCCCCAUGUAUUGCAGAUAGCAUCCCUUGAAUGUACCAAAGAACCAGGACCUGGAAUGACGUUAAGUGAUGACAUUACCUGUGCUCUGAAGGUGCUAUGUUCAGAUAGUCAGGAGUUUCAGAAGCGUCAUAAAUGGGUCACAGAAAAUGUAGAAGCCAGGGACCAAUGCCUGGUUCAAGAUGAGAACAUCCCCAGGGAGCUUCACCUGUCAUUGCUGGAGGACAAAUCCGUAUCAUGCACUCCGCAGUCUACAAUUUCAGCUAAUAGGAUUUGUGAAAAGGUAGAACUUUGAUGCUUAGAUUGAACCAUGGAUGUGUCAUGGUUACAGUUCAGAUACCAAUGUUACCAUAGAUGAUAUGCAUACUGACUACUUGUGUGAAUCAUGAUCAACCCCUUUCCCAACACAUCAAAGGAAAAAAAAAAACGGAAGUGUUAAUUAGGUUUAACGAGCCAGUCUGGACUGGCUUUUUUAAAACAUUGGAAAAGAGAAAAACUAAUUAUGUGUAAUAGGAUUGAUGAUCAAAUGGAGGAGAUUGCACUGUGAUAGAUUUCGUAAAGGAACUUCCUGUCACAAUUGCAUAACUUCUUUCCCAUUUGAGUUGUUGCUAUGAUUCCAUGCCAGGAUCAUGUAUCUAAUACGUAUACUAAAAUUCAAACUUGUGUUUCAGUCUGUGAACAUGUGGGUGAUGGCUUUUCUAUCUCUGUACAAACUCUAUGUAAAUAAUUUGUACCAAUGUUACUAUUCUGGAAGGAACAAAACUCAUCAGAGAUGGCACAAAAUAACUAAAUGUUUUGUUUGUUUGUUUUUCUUUGAUUAGAAAAAUUUCGGAUCAGGGGUUCCGGUGGAGUGUGCAAAAGAUGAUUCUCAGAUGCGUUGCGUCAUGGUAAUACGAUAUUGGUGGGCUUUUGUUGGAUUGAUCUUGAUCUACAAAAUGUCUGGUUUUUCUUUGAAAUUGUGGAGGAACCAAAAACAAAAGCUCGUUCAUGAGUGGCCAUUUACUUGGCAACUUAAAAUGGUUCAAGAGCAGCCAUUGGCUCGGAGGGUGCAGCCAGAGAAACAGCAACAGCAAGCCCAAAGUCCUCCUAAGGUUGCUGGAAAGUGGAGGAAGAAUCUACUAAUAGUAUUUUUCGUAUUUGGAGUCAUUACAUCAUUUUGGUUAUUUUGGCACUUGAAUGAAAGAGAUUUUUUGUGGAGAGAAGAAACUCUUGCCAACAUGUGUGAUGAACGAGCACGGAUGUUGCAGGAUCAAUUUAAUGUGAGCUUGAAUCAUGUUCAUGCUUUGGCUAUUCUUGUCUCCACCUUUCACCAUGGGAAACAUCCCUCAGCAAUUGAUCAGGUAAUUUUUCAUAACUAACUUAGGUUAGUCAUUUAUCCCCUUAGAUAUGCCCAGCUUAGUAGGCACUCUGAGGAUGCAAUUCGAGAAUUUAUAUUUUAUUGAACAAGGAAAGGAAAAUAUAAUGAGUAACUUUACUCUUAUGCAAUGCUAUGCGGUUGUGAAGCGGUGUUUAACCUUGUACAUUAUUCUUUCCACAGAAAACAUUUGGUGAAUACACAGAGAGAACAGCUUUUGAGAGACCCCUUACUAGUGGUGUUGCUUAUGCUUUAAAAGUUACUCAUGCUGAGAGGGAGCAAUUUGAGAAGGAACAUGGAUGGACAAUAAAAAAAAUGGAAACUGAGGACCAGACUCUAGUCCAAGAUUUUCUUCCAGAAAGCUUGGCCCCUGCCCCUAUUCAAGAUGAAUAUGCACCUGUGAUAUUUUCUCAAGAAACUGUCUCCCAUAUUGUCUCUAUUGACAUGAUGUCAGGAAAGGUUUGCUUUUUUAGCUUUGGACUUCCAUAUUACUCUCUCUCUCUCUCUGCUUUUGUUUUAACUUUUUAUUUCUUAGCCACUUCAACUGUACCAUAUGCCUCAGACUAAGCAUUGCUAUCCUUCAUGCCGAAUGAGACCUACAAGAAGGCAGAGAUAGUACAUCUUCUCCAGUUGUAUGCAUUGUAUAUAGUUAUUUAUUAUGACUAGGUGUGUUCUGGGUAAAUUUGAAGACAAUGGUGAUAAUUGAUGUCACUAGGGUGUCUAAGUGCCAAGGUCAAUGAUGUUUUGAUUCUGUUACUUUGGCAUUGUUAUAUGGUUUUGAAAAGACAUUUUUAUGCACCUGUUUGCAUGCUCGAGACUGUUUGGUUUUUGUGGGCCUACUUAAUACUGGUCAGUUAUUUUUGAAUUGUAGUCAGCCUUCUUGAUUGAGAAGUGUAUGUACCAGUUGAGAUCCGACUAUAUGGUAUCAGCAGAUGCCAAGAUUUUGUUUUCUUUGGAAAGAUUUACAUCUACAAGCUGUUCUUGCAGAAGCAUAUUCUGAUAUCCAAUAACUUUUCUGAUAAUCUAAUAUGAAAUGUUACUAAUUAUACAAUGUAGGAAGACCGUGAGAACAUCUUGCGAGCAAGGGCAACUGCAAAGGGAGUACUGACUUCCCCCUUUAAGCUAUUGAAAUCCAAUCACCUGGGAGUUGUACUCACGUUCGCUGUCUAUGAUACUGAUUUGCCUCCAGAUGCCACGUCAGAGCAUCGUAGUCAAGCUACUGUGGGGUAAAUUUGUAACCAUGGAUUUUUCUUGAUUUCUUAUGGCCGUGAUUUGUGUUUUUGAAUUAUUUUGUGUUAGUAUCUAGAAGUUGAAGUUGGUUUUUAUAUGGGGCUUUCAUAAAUAGGUAUCUAGGUGCAUCUUAUGAUGUACCUUCACUGGUGGAGAAGCUCCUGCACCAACUUGCCAGCAAGCAAACAAUUGUUGUGAAUGUUUAUGAUACAACUAAUGCAUCUGCUCCGGUCAACAUGUAUGGUACUGAUGUUAUUGACACUGGCCUGUUGCACAUUAGCAAUCUUGAUUUUGGUGAUCCACAACGCAAGCAUGAAAUGCACUGCAGGUUAGAUCUCAUACAUCAAUUAAUUUAUAUCAGCCCAAAUAUGUGGAAUUGCAUUUUUUUUCUCCAAUCCAAUACAGUUCUCUUUUGGUUGCAGGUUUAAGCAAAAACGUCCGUUUCCUUUGACAGCAGUAAGUGCAUCAAUGGGAGUCCUAGUCAUUACCUUGCUAGUUGGUCAUAUUUUUCAUGCGGCCAUAAGCCGAAUAGCAAAAGUGGAGGCAGACUAUUGUGCGAUGAUGGAACUCAAAGUUCGUGCAGAAGCUGCAGAUGUGGCCAAAUCCCAGGUACAUUUUGUUUAUUAGCAAUAAGAAUUUCCUAUGACUGGAAGGUUUUCUCAUAAAUAUUUAGUCUUAGUCCCCUCUCCCCAAAGAAUAAAGAAAUUUGUUCAAUUGUUUACUUAUUUGUAUAUUACACGAUGUUUCUGUAUCAUCCUGUGGCUGAACAUCUCUCUCUUUUGCAGUUCCUUGCAACUGUUUCCCAUGAGAUCAGGACACCAAUGAAUGGUGUUUUAGGUAAUUGGGAAGUUCUUUAGUGAAACAGUUAGUAUUGUGCAAAACUUUGAAGAUUACAUAAUCUGAUAAUAAUUUCAAUCAACAUUCAGGCAUGCUCCAAAUGCUGAUGGACACUGAUCUAAAACCGAACCAACAGGAUUAUGCUGAGACUGCUCAUGCUAGUGGGAGAGAGCUGAUAUCACUGAUAAAUGAGGUUCUUGAUCAGGCCAAAAUCGAAUCAGGCAGGCUGGAACUUGAAACCGUACCUUUUGAUCUGCGUUCAGUGCUUGAUAAUGUUCUAUCGCUUUUGUCUGGGAAAUCUAAUGAGAAAGGGAUUGAGGUAAAAAAAAAAAAACUAAUUAUAACCUUCUUAGUUGAUUUCUUCUUCUGUGGUUGCUGAUACCAGCUCUUGUGGUUUUGGGUUUUGUUUGGGGUGAGAAAAGUUGGCUGUGUAUGUCUCCAAUAUGGUACCUGAGGUUGUCAUCGGGGAUCCUGGACGCCUUCGGCAGAUAAUUACAAAUCUUGUUGGGAAUUCAAUUAAGGUUAGAUAAGCUUCUUAAUACUUGUUUGCAGAUAACUUCCCUUUUUCUUUCCCUAAAUUGAAAUGAAAGACUACAAGGUGCUAUUUGAGAUGCUCUUGAAGAUAUAACUGAUAUGAUUAUGAUGGUCUUUAACACAAAUAAACUCUGUAUUAUGCUAAAGGUCAGAAAUAAAACAAUAUAAUUGGGAAUUUGGGACUUUUACAUGGUUAGGUCCGCAGUUUCCAUGAAUUAUGCUAAAAUUUAGGCCAAUUGGAUGGUUAUGUUUAGAACCAUCCAUAAUUUGUAGUAUUUUACGCAUAUAAAAAAUGUUACAGGUUUCAUUCAUUACUUAACUGUUGUGCUAAUUGUCUGUUUGUUUGUUUAAAUUGAAGUUCACCCAUGACAAAGGACACAUAUUUGUCUCGGUGCAUCUGGCAGAUGAAGUGAGGGCUCCACCGGAUGUUAUGGACGAAGUUUUAAGACAAGGCUUGAAUUUAGUUGGAGACAUCUCAAACAAAACUUAUAAUACAUUGAGUGGCUUUCCCGUUGUUGAUAGAUGGAAAAGCUGGGAAUGUUUUAAGGCAUUAAGCAGCACAACAAUGGAGGAACCUGAUAUGAUCAAAUUACUAGUAACAGUUGAGGAUACUGGUGUAGGAAUUCCUCUUGAUGCACAAAGUCGCAUUUUCACACCUUUUAUGCAGGCUGAUAGCUCAACUUCUAGAACUUAUGGCGGUACUGGAAUAGGAUUGAGCAUUAGCAAACGUCUGGUAGAUCUCAUGAGUGGGGAGAUAGGUUUUGUGAGUGAACCUGGCACUGGCAGUACCUUUUCAUUUACUGGAUCUUUUGGAAAGGGAGAAAAAAGUUCUCUAGAGACAAAGUGGCAACAGUAUGAACCAGCUGUCUCAGAAUUUGAAGGGCUGAGAGCAUUGGUAAUAGAUAAAAGUAUCAUCCGAACUGAGGUCACAAAAUACCAUGUGCAGAGGUUGGGGAUAUUUGUAGAUACAGCUUCCAGUCUGGAAUCAGCAUGCUCUUAUCUAUCUAAUUCUGGCAAGACAAGGUAAGUUUUACCUUUUCAAGUAUAGUUUAUAGGGAGAUUCACUAUAUACCCAAUAUAGGGGCCCAAAUUAUAAAAAUACCCCUAUAAAAUGGGCUUUAGAAACACACCCAAAGCCCAUUUACAACAUAACAAAAAAGCUUUUAACUUAUAAAUUACGAAACUGCCAUCUAUUUCUUAAAACAAGCCCAACCCAAAAUCUCAUAAAAAUUCCCAAAACACUCAAUAGGGCAUCAAAGGAAUUUAAUAAUCAAUAUUAAAUUCAAUAAAGCCAGCUUUCAUUUUUUGGGUUUUUUUGGGGUUUGUUUAUAGAAAUUCAAUUAUGUAGGGUUUAUUUAUAAUAUUAGUGCUAAGAAUGGGUAUAUCACAUAUUUGAAGUUGCCUUUAAGUCCUGAAACACAUCAUUCAAUACUCAUGGUUUUAAUAUUCUUCUCUAGCAUCUAAUUACCAUAAACAUGACAAAAAGAUUUUUCUUCUAUUUAGUUGAAUAAUGUAAAUUUUCUACUAAUAACUUUGCAACUAGGGGUUUGAUGUUGCUGAUGCAUUGUUAACUGUCUUGCGUGCAGUCUCUCCUCACAGUUGACCAUGGUUCUUAUCGACAAAGAUGUUUGGGAUAAAGAAACUGGUCUUACAUUCAGUCAGUCGCUUAAAGAGCACAGACAAAGCAACAACGUGGAAUCCCUCAUAAACCUUCCGAAGAUAUUUCUCUUGGCUACAUCCAUUACACCUACUGAAUGCAAGGAACUAACAUCUGCUGGUCUUGUAGAUGAAGUAUUGAUCAAGCCUCUUCGGUUAAGUGUCAUAAUUGCUUGCUUCCAAGAUGCCCUUGGAAGUCGUAAGAAGAGGCUUCUAAAUCUUAAAAAACCUACUCUGGGAAAGUUACUGAGAGAGAAGAAAAUUUUGGUGGUGGAUGACAAUGCAGUUAACAGAAGAGUGGCUGAAGGUGCUUUAAAGAAGUAUGGAGCAAUUGUCACCUGUGUGGACAGCGGAAAGGCUGCUUUAUUAAUGCUUAAGCCACCACACAAUUUUGAUGCUUGCUUUAUGGAUCUCCAAAUGCCAGAAAUGGAUGGGUAAUCAAUCUGCCCACUCUUGAUUUUCAAAUUCUUGUUUUAGCUUUGAAUGCAAAGGAAGCUAGAGUACAGAUCCUACAUAGCUAAGGAUCCUAGUAUAGGUCUACCACCUUUCCUGGUUGACAGCAUAUAGAAGACCUGAUGGCAGCCUCACUUGGAAUCAAUGAGGUCAACUUUCAGUGUAUUGGCUGGUAACUUAGAACCAGAAUUUCUUGCUUAUUGGUCAAUUGGUGGCUGAUAUUAGGUGUUUCUUCUAUGUUAAUUCUUCAAGUUUAGGAAGUACUAAUAAAUUGGACAGUGUUUAUGUUAUUGGGUCUCUGAGAUUUUAACUUCAUACUAUCUUGUUCACUCACCUGGGUCAGAGAGUUCUACAUUUUUGUUACACACUUGUAUUAAUAUGAUUGGUUGCUAUGCCAGAUGAUCAUUUUGUAUGAAGGGAAAAGAUAUGGGUUAAAAAUGAAUGUUUUAGGUAUUGGGCAUCUAUGAUGACUGGUUGCCGAUAUAAUAAUCCCAUUUUGAGUAUUGAUUGUAGUUUAAUACUGUCUAAAAUUGUGCAGGUUUGAAGCAACUCGGCUGAUCCGUGGUAUGGAGAGUGAGGUAAAAGAGAAAAUUGCAUCCAAGGAACCAUCAAUUGAGAUGUUUGGCAAUGUCCAAACUUGGCACACGCCAAUAUUGGCUAUGACGGCUGAUGUGAUUCAGGCUUCAAAUGAAGAGUGCAUGAAGUGUGGGAUGGAUGACUAUGUGUCAAAGCCAUUCGAAGAAGAACAGUUAUACUCAGCAGUGGCACGUUUCUUUGAAUCCGGUUAAUAGAGAGCGACUCAUAUGAUUCGUGAAUGUCGUUUUUCAUGGCACCCAGCCAAGUGAUCUCUGUUUUUAUGGGAUUGAUGGCUAGAGUGUCUGCGCUCUUAGCAGCCCUGCCAUGACCUGGUUGAGACUAAUUCUAUCCAUAUUUUUGCUGUCUUCCAACUGCGGUAAUUGUUCAGCAUUUUUCUUCACUGCAUGUUGUUUUUUGGCAUGGGACAUGCAUGUAAGCACCAAAUGCCUCAAGUCUGCAUGAUGCAUUGCAACAAAUGCCUCUUUUUAUUAUAUUAUAAGUCUCACUGAUGGGAGCAGUAGGGUUUAAUAUAGAAUAAAAAACAGUAUCAAAAUAUGUCAACUGUUUAAAAAAAUUUCUUAACCAUAACCAUAACUCGUUCUUUCUUUUCUUUCAGGAAUACUGAGCAUCAGGCCAUGGACAAUGUGUUCUUGUAUGUGUGUAUACAUGGAGACUGGCUGUCAUCAGAUCAAUAUUUACGAUCUUCUUCCAAGCAAAAGAAGAUAGCUGAUGGCCUUCUGUACAUAACCCUCUGCUCUUCGUUUGUAGAUUAGUGCCUUCCACUUUUUCCUUGAAUUUUUUCCUCACUCAUUUGUACAUUCUCCAUUGAGUAGGUGUAGGUUGGCCAGAAACAAAAAUGUUAUAAUGCCAAAACCAUCCAUUUUUUUGUACCUCUGAUGAGUUGAUGAUGGCUGCUUUGACAUUAUUUCAUUACAUUUCUUGUCGACACAUUGAGGGAGAUCGAACAAAACACGAAAGAUGGUGAUAAUCGGAGUUAGAGAACUUGUGUACCUAAGAGUUAGUCUGGCAUUGUGGUAGCAUGUUUUUGUUGAAAUUCUUUCUAGGACAUUACUGUUGAUAUUAUGUAAUGAAGAUAAUGUUGUAGGGUUAUCUUCAGUGUACACUAAAUGUAACAUAUUCUUUUACUAUCAGUAUCAGUGAAUGCAGAAUUGCUUGCUCAGUUGAUAUUGUCAGUAACUUAUCUUCCAGCCUUAUUAAUUCUUGAGAUAUUUAAUUAUAUACAUGUUUUUAGCACUAAUGAUACCUUACAUCAUUUAAUUUCCACAAAUAAAUUUACAAAAAACCCAAAAAAAUGAUAGUUGAUCUUUUUGAAUUUAAUUUUGAUUAUUAAAUUACUUUUAGCUGUAUUGAGUGUUUUGGAUUUUUUAUGAUAUUUUGGGGUUGGGCUUGUUUUAAAAAAUCGAUGGCAGUUUUGUAAUUUAUAAAAAGUUAAAAGCCUCUUUGUUAUGUUGUAAAUGAGUUUUAGGUGUGUUUUUAACGUCCAUCGUAUAUGGUGUUUUUAUAAUUUGGGUCUUUGUAUAAUAGUGAAUUCCCCCUAAUUUUUUUGCUCACUUGGCCUCAAUGUAGACCAAAAAAUUAGUUAAGUACUAUUUUCUUUUAAAAUAAUUUAAAAUGUUAAAAAACAAAUAUAUUAAAAUUUCUCCUUCUGUGAGCUCAACUCAAAAUGCCAUCUCAGCUCUCCACCGCCCCCAGCCUCCUUCUCUAUCUCUCCGCCUCUGUCUCAUACCAAAUUUGGGAUCUGGGUUUAGAAUAAAACCAAAACUGGGUUUAGAAAAAAUUUUAAAAAUUUAAAAAUAAAAUAAUCUUUUAGUAAUUUUAAUCUUCAUAGAGCCCACGUGAGCAAAAACAUGGGAUCCGUGUUUGGAAAGUCAGAAUUUACCAGACUUAUUAACGGUUGACUAACAGAUGGGGUAUUUUGAAAGGUUUUGUGAAGUUUGUGUAUCGGUCAAACGGGUUAAUAAACGUUGAAUAUGCGUUUGUAAUGACCUCCCAUAAUUUGGGGGGUUUACUAUAGUUAAUCCUUAAUUUUUCCUUUUUGUUGUCUUGUUGUCAGAAAAUUCGUUAAAUGAUGAUGUGACACACAUGAGAUUUGAGCUUACUAUUAUGUUAUUUCAUUAUCUAUUUACAAAUUUGGUCAGGAGCCCUCAUGUUGGGCAGAUGAACGUAUGUGAUACUCACUCAUACUUUUUCAUGUAGAUUACCAUCAUUGAGUGUCACUUGGUGUUAUUUCUAAACCUGUCAACACUUUGGUUCAUGUACCUCAUCAUCUCUGAUAGGUCAUGAUUUCCUCUCCUCAUAGCUGAGUGUACUUCUUGUUCAUUUCCGUCAUCUGUAUAAAUUAUGGAUGGUUAGUGUAUAUUUAAUUUGUACGGUUUGAAAAAUAACUUUUUAGGUUAUUGGUUAUAUCCAUUUUUCUAUUGUUAUUUACAACUAUGAUCCAACAUAUUUUAUUUAAUUAAAAGGCCUAGUGUAUUUUGGGAAUCUUGAGAGUAUAGCUCUCGGAUCUAGGUGUUAUAUUUUUUGGGAUCCUCAAGGUACAUGCCACUUUCACAUGUCUUGAUUUUUGGGCGGCCUCGCCCGCCAAGACCGUUUAGGCAUGACCUAAUGGGCAGGCUCGGGUCUUGACAUUUGAAACCUCAGUCUAACCCGAAAAAUUAAAAAAAUCCGCAAAACUUGGCCCAAACCCAAAAAUUUCAUGUCAAGCUGACCCAACCUAGCCGAAUGACAAACACUAGCAGCACCUUGCGCGAGCAGAGCUUAGCUGCCGUAUUUUUCGACCACUUUGCUUAACCCGAGCGAGAAGUGGUGCAAGAUCUGAAAGGAGAUGUUUAAACGCCUUUUUAAAUAAAUAAAUAAAUAAAAAUCUUCUAACAGGCUGAAUGAUGAUCCCACCCAGCAAGUUCUGAACCAACCACUGCCAUUACCCCCUCCCUCAAAUAAAGACCUCUCUCUCAAUUUCCUGCAAUACAGAACCAAAUGCCAAGUCAUAGAGGCUCCAGAACGCAAGAACAACCACAAUAUACCAUCAACAAAAUCCACUUUUUUUUUCUUUUUCUUUUUUAUCAACACAAAGAGUCAUUGUCCCCUAUCUGCUGCCGAUUGGGGUCUACCAAAAAUCACAAACCCACCCCUAAGAAAAAGAGAAAAAAAGAAAAGAAAAAGAAAAUGGCUUUGUCUCCUUCCUCCUUCCCACUCUCCCUUUCUGCGAGUGCCCUGUAAUCUAAUAAUUUGAGUCUAAUUUACCCCUAAAAUUUUAUAUGAAUUUCUUAAUUUGUCCUUAAUUUUGACAGAAAAUUUAACAGAAUUAACGAAAAUACUACUAAUGUAAUGCAAUAUCUAAAUAAAGGACGAUCAUAACAAUUUUUGGGAUUGAAAAAUGAAAACUAAAGUGGGGCCUUAUUUGAGAGAACAUUGCUACAAUUUUGCCUUUAUUUUUUAUUUUUUAGGUUACAUACAUACUAAAAACACUUCUGAUAAAAAUUUAUCAAACACUUUGACUGUUCACAACACUUUUUCAAAUACAGUUAACCAAAUGUCUAGCUGUUUAUUCUUGCAGCAUAGCAAAAUUUUUUUUUUUUUUAAAGCACAGCAAUACCAAACUAGCCUUUAAUGCAGUUGCUAAAACAACAAAUACCGGGAUUUGAUACUAAUCAACGAUUUAAAAGAAACGUAAAUAUUACGAUAAUGUCUAAAAAGAAACGUAAAUAUCAAGAAAACAAACGGUGCCCAUGAUCCAAAACCCUCUUCAAGAUGCACUGGCAACUCCUUAAUUUAUUAAUAAUAGAGAUCUUCAAAAGCACCAAUUUUCCAAGUUUUACACUUCACAUUCUAAUUCUAUAUAUUGGUGGCUCGGGCCAUGACAUUUUCAUUUGGAUAAGCCAUCCAUACUGAAACCUCUCUCUCUCUCUCUCUCAUAUGUCGACGGUUCUGAUAUGGCUAAUUCUUGCUCUGCUCUGUCUCUCACUUGCUCCACCCAAAUCAGGUAAACAAACCAUAAGAAGUUUUCUGAGUUCCAAGCCCAUACAUACAUAUAAUCAGUGUAUAAGCUUCUUAUCUUAUAUGCUAAAGAUAAUGAACUCACAUGCUUAUGUGGCAAGGCAUGCUGAGCAAUUUACAGCACUCAAAUUUAGGCUGAGCACUAGAAUGUUAAUUCUUCUAACAUUUUUGCUCUUCGCUAAUUAUGACUCUCUAAUAAGUAAGAACAAAAUAAUGCUCUUUUCCAGCAAGCAUACAGUACUUGUUUUUAAUGUGUACGCGUAAUGCGUUACAUUGAUCAGGUGCGGAGUUUGAGCAAUGGUGUGUAGCCGACGAACAGACCCCGGAUGAUGAGUUGCAGGCAGCAAUGGAUUGGGCUUGUGGAGGAGGAGGAGCAGAUUGCAGCAAAAUUCAGGUGAACCAACCUUGCUACUUCCCAAACACUCUCAAAGACCAUGCUUCCUAUGCCUUCAACAGCUACUUUCAGAAGUUCAAACACAAAGGUGGAUCUUGCUACUUCAAGGCUGCUGCUCUCAUUACAGAGCUUGAUCCCAGUAAGUCCUUCAAAAUUUCUCUGUUUUUAGCAUAAACCCAUGAACAGUCAUGAACAAUCACAUUGUGUUUUACACAGAAUUUUCUACUUUUAGCAUAAACCCAUGAUUGAUCACAUGUUCUUUGAGUGGAGAAAGUGUUGGUGGGUUGGCCAUGUGAGAUUUGGAUUUGCCUUUUUUUUACUUCUUAGAGAACAUAUGAAGUAGCUUUCAACAGCUGGGCUUGAGUUGUUGGACAGGCCAUAUAUUUCUUUUCUUUUUUCUUUUUUCUUUUUUCCUUUGAUCACGCCAAAAAGAAUGUGACCAUAAUUCACAUGGGAUCUACUAAAACUUGUUUGCUUUGUGAUGUGUCUGAAAAUACACUGCAGAUCACAUGUGCACUACUUGCAUAGUUGAUGUAAGGAUAUAAUAGUCAUUUUUCAAAAUGUUUGCUUGCAGGUCAUGCCUCUUGCCACUAUGAGUUUAUUCCCUAAUUCAAAGGAAAUGCAAGAUCCCAGAUGCCCAUCAUCAAAUUUUAAAGUAGAGAUUUGCUGUUAUGGGAGCAUACAGUCCUGCAGAAAUUGUACUAGUUGGCAGUAGCAGAGUAACACUUUUUUUUUUUGCUGUGCCUUCAAUUGUAAGCUUGCUCAGAAAAUCUAAGUGAGAGUUCAUUUUUGUCUCUAGUUAUAUUAUACUUCAGCUUUCCAUCACCAUAAAACAGAUGUGAUGCCUGUGGCUGUGGGUGGUAAUGUUUUUAUUUCAGUUGAAUUUGGUGUCCUGGUCUUUCAUUUGUUGGACUAGAAUCUGAUGCUCUUUUACUCGAACACAUAAUCGGGGAGGAACUUGCCUAUCCUAGUUACAUUGUUGUUCCGUUUUUAUCUCACUUUCGUGACUAAUCACGCAAGGAAAGAAAUAGAGAGAGGAGAGAUUGUGAAACGGGAAUAGAAUAGGUAAGUAUUUUCUCCUUUGUCGAUAAUACAUUUCAUCCCGGAUCAAAAGCAUGAAUGAUUAUAUAGUAACUCCUCUAUGAACAUGAGCCCUUUUCUUUCAGAGUAUAAUAUGGUAAGACCUCUGUUUGAAUGCACAUUUCAGAGCAGUGACAUCCUUUGUUAGAGGUCGAGCUUCUGUGAAUUCUCAUGUGGGCUUUGGGGCUCCUCAACGUGUCAGGAUUUUUGGUUCUUAUUGGGCCUAUUUGAUCAUCUUCUUAACUUCUUAGUUGUCAGGCUCUCACUAGCAUACUGGGCUUUUCUAUCUGAGGUUGGACUGUUGCUUUCUGUAUUCUGACAACCAAAAAAAUAUAACUCAAAACUCUUUUUUUUUUGGUAAAAAAAAUUUUCAUUCACGCAUGCAAGUUAACGGGGUCUAACCCAUUAGAAAAGGACAUUCACUUAAAAAUUAGUGGUUUCAAAUUCAAAUUCUAUUACAUCUUAGUAGUGUGUGUGUGAGAAAUCUCCUUUCCUUAUAGUUUAAACUAUCGCUAAUUCACACAUGCAAAUUUCAUGUUCAUUACUUUCUUCUGCAUCAAGACGAUUAUGAAACAUGUUAUCCAUGAACAAUUAAAAAGUUAAAGAGCUCAAGCAAUUGAGUAUUAUAAUGCAACAACUGGGUCCAAAAAUAUAGACAGAUAAUCAGUAGAAGGGUGUUGGCAAAUCGAAAAGGGUGGCAAGAGGGGCCUACAUGUGACCCAAAAUGCAAAACAGAAUUAGGGUUUGGACCCAAUUUUGAGUUCGCAAACCCAAGGCCUGCUACUUUGGGGAAGAUGAGGACAAAAUCUGAAAAAAUGCAAAGGCAGAAAUUUUGGUGCUGUCAGUCUCCCAAAAGCCGUGACAUGGUCGGCGUGAUGAUAGGGAAUGUACACACAAAGUCAAGGUUGCAUUAUGGCUUUGGUUCGCUCAUUUGCUUGCUUCAUAGAACUUUGCAAAAUUAAGAUAGGGACAUGGACCAUUCUAGUAGGGACUAGCAAUAAGGGUUUUGUACAAGUUCAAUUUCUGAUUGUUGAUGAAAUACGACCAUUACAUAUACAUAGUUAAAAAUUAAUCAUAAAAUACGUGAAUGAUUGACUGUAUAGUCUUCUCUUUUUAAUUGGAAAUGACCAUGCUCUUACGUAAUUUAUCAUGUGAAAAUUAAUGGACUUCAUGAUUUUGCUCGAAGAUUUGCUUUAGCUUUUGAUUAGUUGACUUGAUUUAUGGGUGAUGCUCAACUGUUUAUCCCAUUCCAACCAAGUUUUCUAUUGCAAAAUGUUGAGGAAUUAUUCCAAAACUAUAGGAGCUUCCUCCACCCAAAACUAGCUUGCUAGCCUGCUAGCUAGGUAUGUGGUUGGGGUCCACCAUUACCAUGUUAGACAGAACAUGAUUCACUUCAAGAAAGUGUUGAUUACUUUUGCUUCUAUGAGAGUUUAUGUUUACAUGUCUUGCUUAAACAUUUUUUAGAAUUGUGUAUAAGUAAGGAGCAUUUUUUUUUUUUUUUUCAGGUUUGAGAAAAAAAUAGUACAUGAUCAUGAAUGCGAGAUAAUGUUGCAUGUAAAGGUCCACGUUUUCUCAUUUUAAAAACGGAAUCUCAAUUUGCACGAGAGAGAGUUGAACGAUUCUCCCACGUUUCGUUAAAAUAAAUUCCCACUCUUGAAGUCAUAUUAUGUGUGUAUUAUAUAUGUAUAUGUAUAUACAUAAAUCACUGUCUACUUGUUCAAUUUAAUGGAUGCAAACGAUGAAAGCACAACAAGAAAACCAUUUGAGAAGAUUACAGGUCCUUUUCACUUAAGCCAUAAGCGAUGCUUACUUGAAGCAAAAUACAACUCAAGCGCUCUCUCUCUCUCUCUCUCUCUCUCUCUCUCUCUGUGGACAAACACAAAAUGCCAAAUGGGGCAUCGAGAAAGGGUGACUGAAGAUAAGAAUGUGGGCCAUUAGGUACACUCACUUAGAGGGGACAAGGAAGCAACAAGAUUCCCUUUUAAUUAGAUUUUGAUUCUGCAAAUUAAACAUAUAUAUGUUUAAGGCUGAGAAUAAUCACUUAAACAUCGAUACAUGGGAUUCAAAGGCCUGAAAUUCUUCUGGGGUGACCCAAAUAAUCCUUCUUUGAUUCGUCAAUUAAUUUAUGCUUCUUCUAGAAUAAGAAUUUUGUGAGAUUUCUGCUGCCCUCAUCUUCUUAUUACUUUCAAAGAAAAAAAACAUUUGUAUCUUUCUAUUAUAUAUUGGCAUGCGCAUAAAGUGAUUGACUGAAACAAGUACUGCAAAUACCAAGUCCCAACAAGGAGGAAGGAAGAGGAGAAAUAAAAUGUGCUCCAAAAUAUUCUAUUCUUUCCUUCCCAAUAGGGUUUAUGAAUUAUAAACCAAUACAUAAUAUUGCUCAAAUAGUGUCAAGAUAGGAUAUUGCGGCAUUCCUACUUAUUGCAAAUUACAAUUUGAUACAUAUUCAAAAAUAAUUCAUUAAAAAUUUUAAAAAAAAAUCUUUACACAUGUUGUCGACCUGUGAUUGGCAAGGAAGUAGAAGCUUCUACUUUCAGAGAAGAAAACAAAUAUUUUUCGGUCAAGAUUUUAUUGAUACAAGUAUAAAUUCACAUGAAUGUCAAAAGAAAUAGACCAGAAGAAUUCCCAUAAAAGUAGUUUACAAAAUACAAUUAUAGUAUAAGAGCAACUUGGUCUUAAGAAAAAGAAAAAGAAUCAGCAUAAUAGAAUACAAUAAAUCAAAUUUACAGAUGGGAUGAAUGGAACCAGAAAAGGGAAGACAAAAAAGGUGGAGCGUGUUAGCUGAAGUGGAAGCACUAUUUUCCUACGUCAUCUAAAUGCGUGACUUUAAUUUUACCCUCUGCUCUACGCUCAACCGCGUAUGUCACUAUCUCAGAUAACCAGAUCAGGACCCAUCUGCUUCAAAAACUAAACCUAAAUUCAACUUAAUUUUCGGUUCUUAAAAUAAAAUAAAAAAAUUUGAGAGAGCGUUUGGUGUCCUAUUUAAAUAGGAAACUCAAAAACUUUGAUUUUUCUUAAAAACAAUGAGUUCUUAAAUCCAUUUUUAAGAUUCAAAAACUUGUUGGUAUGCAACUUGAAAACUGUUUUCAAAUUUUAAAAAUUUGAGAACUUGUGGGUUGUUAGAAAAAAAAUGAAAAAAUAGAUUUUUUUUUGUUUUUAAUAAUUGGGGUGUUUUUUUUUUGUUUCUUAAGUUUGAGUUUUUAAAAAUAGGUAUACUAAACAAAUUUUCUUUGUUUUAGACUCAAAUUCUAUUUUUGAGUUUAAAAAAUUGAAUUCAAAUUGAAUACCAAACAAACCCUAAAUAUUUUGACGUAGAAAUAGUUUCUUAAAUUGCUUCAACUGACCAUUAUACCUAGGUACCUUCUGUCACAUGUUCAAGCAAGCUGUAAGUGAUGAGGAGCAAGGCUGGCUUACUUGAAGGACCAAAACUCAAUUAAUUUUAGCCAUUGGAUUAGUUGAUGAUGAGAUCAUCAAGAACCUCUUGGGCAUGAUGUCAUGCUGACUUGCUCUCCAUGUGUUUGUGGUGAGAAGGAAAUUAAACCAGGUCAGAGUCAUAUCUAUAAUGAGGAAUUCAAAUUUAAGCGCGUCAAAUGGGUUGUGUUAACAUAAAGUAAUAUGAUAUUUAGCAGCUAAUAAUGAUCUACACAGAUUCUAACUUAUCUUGCUAAUCAAAGGGUAUAUUGGUCUUCAUGUCAUAGUAUCUACAUGAAAAGAUCUCACUUGUACUAUUUUAAGCUAGAAAACUCUAGCUCAUUUGUGAAGGUAGCAUUAAAUGAACUAAAUAAAUAUUUAUGUAAUUUUUUUUAGUAUAAGCGAUUGAAUGAGGGGGGUUUACACAAAUAUUAAUUAGGUGUCUCGAAUCUUUGCCUGCAUAAGUGGAAGUAAAAAAUUCAACUAACUGAGUUAUACUCUACUGUCAAUAUUUAUGUACUUUGUUUAAGGAAAUGCUGGUUAGGUUAGGUUUGUGCAUCUAUUUCUUUUUUUUUCUUUUCUUUUUUGGGUCUUUUUUAUGUUGUUGGGUUGGAGAGGCUUGGAGAGCAGAAGGUGGUUGUAAUAAAGGGUUUUUUCCUGUAAUUUCCCCAAGACCCAAAUGCGGCAACUUGCAAACAAAUCAUAGUGGUAUGGUAAUUAUGUAAUUUUGUAUCAAUUAUAGGGCUUGUUUUAAUUGAGAAUUUUUUUAUAGUCCACAGGUGGGAAUUUCUCUAAAGAGGACCCUGAUCUCUUUUGUCUGUCUCACCGAGUCACUCCCCCACUCUCAUAAAAGACUCUGGUAUACAGUGCAAUUCCAAGCUUCAAAUUCAUUCAACCAAGGUAUUCCUGUCAACAAGAUUUGAUGUUUUCAAAGUUGGAAUUCUUUGUCAAACAAACGGUCUAGCAUUUAUUAAUUUUCCAUUAAAAUCCUCUGUUUUUCAUUUGUAAUAGUGGUCUUGCUACACUAGUCAUUUUUUUGGGAAAAUUUUGUGCUUUAAGUAGUGUUGCCAUGGAAGAUUCUCUAUUGCUCAAACUGGGGUGGUGACGUUUCUUCAAGGUAUAUCAGAUAUGAAUUUUGUUUUCUUUUUGGUGGAUUCUAUGAUGCUCUGUUUUCAUGUUCUCUGUUUUUUGCUGGUGAGACUGGCGCUUGAAGUUUGAAAUGGCUUUCACAAGGCAUAUUGUUGUUUUAUGUUCUUGUUUCUGUUUGAGAUUUGAUGACCCUUUUUUUAUGAUUUGAAUGUUUGUGGAAAGCAUCAAACUUUAUCAUUGGCUUGAAACAAAUGGGUUUCUCACAGAACGAAAAUUUGGAUUCCAAUUUGUUGGUGUUGGAGCCAAAGAUUAAGCGCUUUAUGUUUUGCUGAGCAUAUUGAUUGGUCAUUAUUUACUUCCUUUGCUGAUUUUGAAUUCAUCAUGGCAAUUUCUUCUGAGAUGCAUUUGGUUGGAGAGGCUCAUACAUACUUCUUUUAACUUUCGAAAUGGAAAGAAUGCGGCAACGCAAGAUCAUUAAAUUGGUCGAGCUAUAUUGCACCAGAAAUUUUGUGAUCAUUAUCGAUUCAAAUCUAUGUUUGGCAAAACUUUUUUACUUCUUUAGUUGUUUGAUCAUAUUUAUGGAGAUUGGCCACCUAUAGGUUGAUCGCUUUUCAUGUAUACCAUUUUAGAAUUUUAUAUAUUUUUUCUCUGCUUAUCUAGGUAAUAUUCUCUGUUGUAAAUAGCUUACAUUGAAUGUUUCCCAGUUUGAUAAAAAAAUAUUUACCAGUAUUUCUAGUACAAAUAUUUUAAAGGACAUAGAAAUCGAGAAUUGAAAACAAGAACUAGAAUUGUCAGAGAACAAUUAGGCUAUUCUACACUAGGCUGAAAUUGUCCUUUAUGGUUUUCCUGCAGAUUAUGCUGUGUUUUGCCCUCUUUGUUCCAGAUAUCAGUGUAACCAAGGUCUCUUGUUGUCAUACAGAUUAUGUUUCUGGCAAGAGAAUUCAAGGCCUCCUAUGCUGCUGAAAUGGAGACUGAAUAACACCAAAUAGAGGGACCGGACAAAGUCAACAAUCAGACUAUUCUUCAAUGCAAGCAUCAAAGCAUCACAGAAGUUCAGGCAUGUCGAACCGGUUGUGUUAUCAGCCAGUCCAAGAAGUAGAAGCCUACUGCUUGCCUCGGUUCCAAACUUUGGACCCCCAGGUGCAUUACAACAAUGAGAGCAGCCAAAGUACCGUCUUCUCAGCUCAGAAUUUCCAUAUUAAGUACUGCACUUUGGAGUCUUCCGCAGCAAAUGGCAGCUACACUGUCUAUAACUCCCCAUCAACUGUCAAUUUCUCACCCAACGGAAGCCCAAUGUCACAGCAAGAUUCUCACUCAUAUCCACCACCUGACCAGUACCAUUCCCCUGACCAGAAUUAUAGCUCUCCGAUAAGCGGAUCCUGCAUUACCGAUGAUGCAACCGACUUCAAGUACAAGCUGAAACAGUUAGAAACUGUAAUGCUAGGUCCUGAUUCCAAUAUUCUUGACAACUAUUGCAGCACCUUUCAGAAUGGGACUAGCAAUACCCUGCCAGAAACGGAUAGCUGGGGACAGAUUAUGGAUUCAAUCUCUAAAAGGGAUUUAAAACAAGUCCUCAUUUUCUGUGCAAAAGCAGUAGCAGAUAAUGAUCUUUUACUGGCACAAUGGAUGAUGGAUGAACUACGCCAGAUGGUGUCGGUUUCUGGUGAGCCAAUUCAAAGGCUGGGAGCAUAUUUGUUGGAAGGACUAGUUGCAAGGAGGGCAUCCUCAGGGAGUAACAUCUACAAAGCAUUGAGAUGCAAAGAACCAGCAAGUUCAGAACUCCUCUCCUACAUGCAUAUUCUUUAUGAGGUUUGCCCCUACUUCAAAUUCGGGUACAUGUCUGCAAAUGGAGCCAUUGCAGAAGCCAUGAAGGAUGAAAAUAGAGUUCACAUAAUUGAUUUCCAAAUUGGACAGGGGAGUCAGUGGCUCACUCUAAUCCAGGCCUUUGCAGCCAGACCUGGUGGACCACCUCACAUCCGCAUAACAGGCAUCGACGACUCCAUGUCAGCUUAUGCCCGCGGAGGAGGACUAAAUAUUGUAGGGAAGAGGCUAUCUAAGCUUGCCGAGUUGUUCAAAGUGCCAUUUGAGUUCCAUGCUGCUGCCAUGUCUGGUUGCGAGGUUCAGCUGAAGCAUCUUGGUGUUCGACCUGGGGAGGCAUUGGCUAUGAACUUUGCAUUCAUGCUGCACCACAUGCCAGAUGAGAGUGUCAGCACUCAGAAUCAUCGCGACCGGUUGUUGAGGUUGGUUAAGAGCCUGUCUCCAAAGGUAGUGACCCUUGUUGAACAAGAAUCUAACACAAACACUGCUGCAUUCUUUCCACGGUUUGUGGAAACACUAAAUUACUACACGGCUAUGUUCGAGUCAAUUGAUGUUACUCUUCCAAGGGAUCAUAAGGAAAGGAUCAAUGUAGAGCAACACUGCUUGGCUAGGGAGGUGGUUAACAUAAUCGCAUGCGAGGGCGUUGAGAGGGUGGAAAGACAUGAGCUUCUUGGGAAGUGGAGGUUGCGGUUCACAAUGGCUGGAUUUACUCCAUACCCUUUAAGCUCUUUGGUAAAUGCCACCAUCAAGACACUGCUAGACAACUACUCUGACAAAUAUAGGCUUCAAGAGAGAGAUGGAGCUCUCUAUCUUGGCUGGAAGAACAGAGAUUUGGUUGCUUCUUGUGCCUGGAAGUGCAAACCGAGCACAAAUUAAAGCAUUUUUUCUUGGAGUGGAGGCAAGGCAAGCUUAGAAUAGAACAUGUUUUUUCUUUUUCAAUCUGUUUGUACACUUAUUAGCUGCUAACUGCUUAUGAGAAGGGUGGCAUCAACUGUGCACCCUUCCAUAAAUUGAAGUUAGCCGUUUUCUGUGUCCAUUUCAUGCCAUCAGACCUUUUGGUUUGGAUGGCUGAGAGAGAGAACUGAUUUCAGGAGGCAUCGGGUUUGUACAUGGUUGGAGUAACCGGCACAAAUGCUUCGUUUUCCCCCCUUCUUUUGCUGUUGUUUUUCUUUUCGAGGCAGUUUAAAUUGAAUAGAGUCAAAUAAAGAGAAUUGAAAAUGAUGGAGUAACCAUGCAUACUCUAGUUUGGUCUUCAGCAUAUCCAAGUUACAGGAUUUUGAAUCAAAUACUACAAGGGUUUGUGCACAAAAACAGCUAUCAGAUAUCAAGUGCCACUGAGUACUUGCUUAGUCUAAUCUACGUCUUUGAGUUUAUUCAAUCCAUAUAAAUAAUUUACACAGCUAUUGUUAGUCUUCCAAUCUGCAGUUGAACACCAUUGCCAUUCCACCAAAUCCUACCCUCCAACCAAGAGUACAUUCCCCCACCGGCAUCCUCUCUCCCGAAAAGACAAAUAGAGGAUGAAAGAAUAAGAUAUACCCCUAGCACCAAGCAGGUCCUGAUACAUUAAUACAUUAUUUAGGGUCUAGAUGAAUGUGGAUCCAGCAUUGCAGGUUAACUUUAGACAGGUUCUGCUUUUGGAUUUUUUUGCUCCGGUGAAUUACUUUCUGGACACAGAUUGCCGUGAACGACCGUAUCAAUGCAGGCGUUGUUGCCUUCUGAUUUAAUUCCUGACUCGCCAUUUUGCAAUUCAUUAGCCCUAGGAACAAUUAUAUCAGGGGCAUCACUUUCUUCUGUGGUACAUGCUUUGCCAACCACUUGCUCAUUUAAUUUUCUUUCAGGACCCAGAGCAGAAUCAACGACCAUAUCACAGCCAGCAACAUCACUUGAUUUAGUUCUUGGCUCAACAUUAAGUUGCUUGUUUGGUUUAUCUUCGUGUUUUGGGCUAGUAUCAUGGCAGACGGCAUUCCCAUCUGAUGUAGUGCCAGACUCACCAUUACGGGCCGUCGUAAUCACAUUUGAUGCUGCUGCAUUGUGGGUCACAGUCCUUGUGGGUGGCAUAUCAUGAUCGUGUUGCCCCUCAUAUGUGGCUAUAACAACUUUUGAAUCAUGAGACGCCCUCUCUACAUGUUUCUUAACAGGGCACCCAGGAUUUGAGCAUCUGUAGUAACUCCUAUGCAAUGCAAGUGCAGAAGCAGAGCAGAGUGAGCAAAAAAUUACACCAAAGAAAAUAGGACAGAAAAAUUAAAACCAAGGAGAUUAAUUUCAAAUUUUCAAAACAUAAACAAUCUCGUCAACAUCCUUCUCCAAGAUACAUACCAAGGAAGACAAAACUAAAUAAAACCAGAAGCAGGACAUGUUUGAACAAAGCUUACAGAUGCAUAGUGAAUCAUUUACCCAGUUGCCCUAUUGUCUAAGAAGUAAUCGGAUCUACUUCUUCCGAUUUAUCAUCAAAGCAAGAUACAAGACUACAGAAGUAUAUGCAAGUUAAAUGAAGGAAAACAAUGCCUUAUUUGGUCUAGGCAGUUCCUGCAUAGGAAAUGGUUCCAUGGAGGCACAAAAGUCUCGGCACGUGUGUAUUUUAUGAAAAUUUUUUUAUUAAGGCACUUUGACAGACAUUGGUUUGCACCAUUAGACCAUAUCCUCAAUUAAGUCCUUAGUCCAGAUCAGGGGUGUCAUAAAGCAUGUAAAUUACUUCCACCGGAUACUAUCAUAUUGCUGCAGUUGCAGUUUGAUGCUACUAAGCAGUUGCAAACUUGCAAUGAUCACUACAUUUAAAAUUUUCUUCCUUCCCCUUGCUUGCAAGUAUCAAGCAGAAAUAUUAGGCUCACAGGCCAAAACUCUUAAUGUAAACUUAGCCUGCAUAAGCAGUGAAUCUAUCAAAACCAUGAUCUAUACAUUAUUAUAUUUCCAAAACAAGGAGCAGGGUGGCAAAAUUCAGGUACACACCUAAUAUAAAGAGUUAAUACAUGCUACCAUUAAACUGAUAUGUACCUUGGAUUUGGAUUGCCUUUUACUAACUUCUGCCCAUAUUUGCGCCACCUGUAGCCAUCAUUCACUAUAUCAGCCUCACUCAUAGUCUGAACAACAACACGCGGUUCACCAGCUGGCUUAUCCACCGGAAUUGAGUUGCCAUUAUGCUUUUCCUUCUUCCUGUUUUUUUUUUUUUUUUUUUUCCAGAAUGGCAGUUAAACAAAGGUGAAUACCAUAUACCACUACACACGAAAAUCCAAAAUAGCUAAGAAUGAACAUACUGUCUUUUUGAGUCUGGAUCACCAUCUCUGGUUCUAUUUGAUUGAGAGAGCACUCUCUGCACACCUUCAUUAUCUGCAACGGUUGAUAGCUGAGAGGGAUCCACUGGCUCAAUCUGGUUAGAUGUGUGGCCAUGCACAUCCGAUGGUUUGCCUUCAAAUACAAGGUCAUCAAAUAAAAAUCAAACAAGAUUGGGUACUGUAACCAGAACUAGAUAAUAACUAAGUUUCAUUCUCACCUUCGACACCAGUUAACAAAAGCUCUUCUGGUCUUUCUUCGACAAUGGACACGAGAAAACUAACAGCUACAGGGACGCUAACUUGAGCUUUAGGAUGUCCAUGCUCACCAAAGUAAACAGUAUCUGUUAUCUGCCCAUUAUGUGUGCGCUCCACUUGCCUCUUCACUGGACAUUUUGGAUGCGUACAUCUGUAGUAACUUCUUACAUAUGCAUUUCCCUUAACAAGUUUCUGGCCGUAUUUUCUCCAGUGAUAACCAUCCUCUAACCCUCUCUCUCGUGCUGUAGAUGGAGUGCUUCCUUCUUGACCAGAUCGCAAGACAAGGGCAGAGGUUUCAGGGGUUUGUGGUGCUUUCUCAGAUGUUAAAGACGUAACACUUCCUUCUUGAUUUGAUUGAGAUGCAGUACCAACACCAUCAGGCAGCUGUAACGAUUUCUCAGGUAUUAGAGACUGAACAUUUCCUCUAUGAUCUGAUUGCAGGGGACAGAUCCCAUUAUCAGGAUUUUGAUGUGGAGCAUGAAUUUCACUAUUUGAACUCUCUUUCUUCGGUACUAUAUCAGAGGCAAUUUUAUCUGUCCCAGGUUCCCCUAGAGAAAUCAUGUGAGCUUGAUUCUUGUAUCAGAUACAGAAGAGCCUGCACUUCAACUCACGGUGCCAUCAUCACAAUUGACCUCGGCCUCAAAAAGAUGCACAUACCACAAGUUGUUCAACUCUGAUCAUGGAAAGUAAGGACACGAAUGGCGGUCAGGACUUCCUAGCUUCAGAACAGAUCAGAACAGUCAUAAGGUCAUGUCCCAAGACCUAAUUUUAUUUGAACAAAGAUCAUGAACAGCACAAUUGUAUGGUUUUCAGGGGAAACAAAAUUAAUGAAAGCGGACUCUCCUAUCAAUGUGAAGGGAUGUGCACAUAUAUGCAUAUUUGUGCGUGGGUGCUCGGGUGUAUACACGAAUAUAUACUGUUUCAAUUUGGUUUGAGCGUAUUAUUAAAGUAGUAGUAGAAGCAGUACUGGUACUUAUAUUUCAAAAUUUGCCACUUUUUAGAAGAAGAAAAAAACCUCAAAUUUGCCAAAAGAGGCAUGAGAAACCACCAUAAACAAAAUUUCAAAUCUUUUGUUCCAUCUAUUACUCUUAGGGGGAAAAAAAUUACCACUCAAUAAUUACCCAGAAAUAUUUUAGAAUAUACCCUCCAUCACAGUCAAGGAGAAACAAAAAGUUGAUGGCUUUAAAGAAUUUAACUAUUGAGUCAAACAAUCCUACUACUACUAGCUCAGUUCAGGAGAAGUUUUGGGUAACUGGAAGUAAAAAGAUGGAAAAUCCAAGGACUUGGCUACCCUCUAUUUUUCACACUUUCUCAUCACCCAAACAAAGCAUAUGCUAAUUAAGAGCUACAACUACAGCAAAACAAUAAAAUUUAACGACAAUAAAAAAAAACCAAAUCACAUGAGCUCAGGUCAAUUAUAUUUAAAAAAUAUGAAAAAAGUUUAAAUCAAAUAAUUAUAAUAAUCAUCUGCAAACCAUCUAUUUUGAAGCUCAAAUUACAAACCCUAUAAAUUUCGCGAUCAGGUGCUCCAAUUCCACGUGAAGCCGCCGGCUUUAGAUUGAAUCAGAGCCGUAGAUCACGCCGUUGCUGGGGAUUGAGCUGAAGGUAAGGAGCUGGGUGCAGUGAGAGACGACGAGUCGAAGCUCUGAGGUUUUCCAAAAGUCUAAUCCGUAAUACGAUGAAGGGAGAAAGAGGGGGAGGAGAAAUUUGCUGGCUGCGACGAGGUGCAGAGAGGAAUCUUUGUUCCCUGGUUGUCUGGGGCUUUGAUUGGUUAUAAGCCGUUGGAAUCUUUAAGCAGGGAAAGCAUGCGGGCCAUAGGCUGGUUCUCCUUGGACUUGGACUUUGGUUUUUGGACCGUCAUAACGCCAUUUCCGGUGUGUAAAUAAAACCGUGGCGCUUGGCCCAUUUUAAAAUCACUUUGAUGCCAAAUUUUAUAUUUUCUUUUCUAACGACGUUAAUUUAAUUAUUAAUUAUUAUUUUAAUACAAGUCAUAAUUUAAAUUACUUUAAAAAUUAAUAUGAUUUAUGGAGGGAGAAAUUUGAAUUUCGAUGGAAGGUGGCAGGUUCACUAUCAUAGCCAAUGACCUAACGAGAAAGAUUUUAUUUGAGAAUAUAUGAGUUAAGUCAAUUGAUCAAGACAGUGUGUCACAUGAGUUCAAUUCAUCUCUCUAUACAUCAAAAUAAUUUAGAUAAUAAUUUGAACUUGGAAUAUAGCACUUGGAAGUGCUCAUGUGCUUUGUGAAGAAAGCAUUAACAAUGUUUUUAAAGCAUACGUAAUGGUUGCUCAACAAUUUAUUUCAGUUCAGUUUAAUAGUUCAAUUUAUUGAACUUUUUUAGUAGUUAUUGAAUUGAACUGCACUUUCACUUACAGUGGUGCAGUUCAAUAGCUUACAAAUUAAAAACUAUAUCUUUUUAAAUAAUAACAUAAAAUAAAAUGAAUAAAGUUAAUUACAAUAAGAAUUAUACAAUGAAAAUGGUUUCAAAUAUAUCUUUAAAAAGAGACCAAUUUUGAAUAUAUAAUUUUAAAAAUUAGUAACAAAAUUUUCUUUGGUUGGUGAUAAUAUUAUAUUAACAUUUUUUAUACGAAUAAUUUGGAAGUUGAGAUUAAAUGAGAAUACAUCAAAGCACUUCUUUUUCAGGUUAUUGCAUAAUAAAAUUGAAUAUGAAUAAGAAAAAUUGAAUAUGGUUAAGCAUAAUGAUUUGUACUUGGUAUAUAGCACUUGGAAGUGCUCGUGUGCUUCGUGAAGAAAGCAUUAACAAUGUCUUAGAGCAUGGAGAACUUGAGCCAUGACCUUUCUUCGAAGAAGUAAUUGCUCCAAACCACUUCACUAAUGUUUGCAGUUGAUAUUGUUAAUUAAAUACAUCACACGUCCUAUUGUUUUCUUCAAGUCCUGCCAAAACAAAGACUUGACCACAUAGAAAUCAAAACAAAAAGACUUGACCACAUUGAAACCAAAACAAAAAGACUUGACCACAUUGAAACCAAGCAAAAUUCUUAAUACAACUAUAAACUCUAAAAUCUAUAAAUACAACUCUCCUACACACUCUUUACUCACAACUCUUUCACCACAAAUUUUCUUGCUCAGUCGCUCCAUAGAGAGAGGCUAGUAUACAAAUCAGUGAAAACUUUGAGGAAAAAAAAAGUAAUAGCUAAUUUAAAUUAAAUGUAAUGGAAAAAUUUUAAAGUAAAUAUAAUGUUGUCUAUGUGUUAAAAAGAGAGAGGUUGUGGAGUUAUUAUAGUGAGCCAACUUAUUAAAAUGAAUUUCAUUUCAUAGUUAUAAAAUGAACUAAACUUUGCCACUGCAAGUCCAAAGCUCAAUUUAUUGAAAUAAAAUUGAAAUAACCCUCAUCAUUGCGGAUUCUCUUAAAAUUUUGUUGUCAAAAACAUUUAUAAUUGUUUUUUUUUUUUUGAAAAAACAUUUUUAAUUGUUUAAAUUCGUUUGGUACACAGGCUUGGCUUGGACUGGCUUGGACUAAAUUUAAUACCAUGUUUGUUUCAUUUAAUUCUAGUCUUAGAUGUGAUUGCUAAUACCCGGCCCACCAAAAACACCUCCUUAGGAGGGGACUACUAAUCCCAUGUAGAAAGGGAGGAUUAGCUAGUCCUAUGUUUACCAAUGUAUGAGAUGCAUAUAUUAUAUUGUAAUACUAAUAACAUAUAUUACUAUUAUUAUUAUUAUUACAUACACAUAUACUAUAAUGUACAUAUAUACAUGUAUAUACACAUAUACAAGUAUAUAUAUAUACACACUAUAUUAUUAUUAUAAUAUACUCAUAUACACAUACAUAUUAAUAUUAUAAUAAUAGCAUACAUGUAUAUAUGUAAUAUAUAUUAUAUUAUAUAUUAAUGUACAUAUAUACACAUAUAUACAUGUAUAUAUAAACACAUAUAUACAUAUAUAAUAUAUAAAUACAUAUAGAUAUAUACACGUAUAUUAUUAUUAUAAUAUACCCAUAUACACAUGCAUAUUAAUAUUAUAAUAAUAGCAUACAUGUAUAUAUGUAAUAUAUAUAUAUUAUUAUAAUACAUAUAUAUAUAUAUAUAAGUAUAUAUACAUAUAUGUGUAUAUAUUAUACCCAUGUAUGUAUUAUAAUAUACAUAUACACACGUAUAUACACAUAUACAUUAUAUAUUUAUACUAUAUGUAUAUAUAUUAUAAUAUACAUAUAUACACGUAUAUACAUGUAUAUUAUUAUUAUAACAUACCCAUAUAUAUUAUCUAUUAUAAUAUACAUAUGUAUAUGUAUAUGUAUUAUACCCAUGUAUAUAUUAUAAUAUAUAGAUACACCUAUAUACACAUAUAUUACAUACAUGUAUAUACGUAUAUAUAUGUAUAUUAUAAUAUAUAAUAUAUAUACAUAUAAUAUACAUAUAUACACCUAUAUACACUUAUAUAUGUGUGUACGUUUAUAUUAUUUAAAAUAUAUAAUAUUAUUAUAAUAUACUUAUAUACAUGUAUAUACAUAUAUAUAUAUUAUAUGUAUGUAUAUAUACAUAUAUAUUAUAAAAUACAUAUAUACAUAUAUAUAUAUUUUUUAAAUAAAAAAAAUUAUAGUCCUAGUCCAAGCAUACACCAAACGCAGGAUAAGUGUUAUCCAACUUAGACCAAACUAAGCCAAGCCAAGCCAGUCCCUAAGUAUAGUCCAUGCCAAGACAGUCAUGUGUACCAAACGAGCCCAGCCAUUGCCUUGAUUUAAAACCUCAACUAUUGACCAAACAUGCGGGUUAAAAAUGUAUUUCCAUCAUCUUUCCUUGUUAUUCCAGGGAAAUACCGUACGCGCGUCGCGCAAUUUAGGACAUACACCGCCACAUAGAUUUGCACGCGUUUCCUCCCUUUUGACAAAAUCAGCCCCCAAUUUCCAAUCCAGGCACGGAGAGGAAAGAGCAAACCCUAAACCUAAAAGGAAAGUUCGUCCUUUAAUUCUCGCCAAAACCCUCAAUUUCACACUCAAUUGCAAUCUAACCUUCUCAUUCUAUCACAAAUCGUAACCCCAAUUCUCAAGAAGAAUGCUUCUCACUCCGGGUCACUCUCCUCGCCACCUCUCAUCCCCUUCACCGUCUGCAAUUUCCGAUAGUUCCGUCCAAACCCCAAGAAGUUCCGCCCAAAUCACUUCCAGAAACCCUAGAGGCCAUCCAACAGUCCUCGACGAAGACACCUACGUCGACGCGAUCGAGAAGAUCAUCGAAAGGGACUUCUUUCCCGAUAUCUCGAAGCUUCGGGACCGCCUUGACUGGCUUGAAGCGAUCAAGACCCGCGACCCGGUUCAGAUCCGCGAUGCCCAGUUGAAGAUCAUUGAGCGCCGCGGCAAGAAGGUAACUCAUAAUCCUGACCCUGAUGGUAGAACCCCUGGUUCGACUUUUAUGCGUAGUUUCACCCCUGCCGAUGAAUUUGAUGGUAAAACCCCGAAAACUCCCGGUGUUUCAAAUAUGGGAUUGUUUGGUGAGGUGGAGUCUAACGGGGCUGAUGAUGGGGUAGAGGCCUCGUUGUCGCUCGACCAGUUUUUUAGGCGGUAUACGAGUGAGGACAAUCAGAGUUUUUCAAAUAUUAUGGAGAAGGUGAAUAGGAAGAGGAAGGAGAGAUAUGAGUAUUUGACAGAAGGAGAAAAGGAGGAUGUUAAAUCGAUUGAGGAUGCCAAGAGGGAUAGGAUUACAGAUGGGUAUGGGACGUCUGAUCAGCCCCCCUUUACACUGGAAGGGUGCAAGUUUACGGCAAAGAAUUUGCUGAUGUACCAUCCAGCUGAUCGCGGUGAGGCCCCGUUGACAACAGAGGAACGGGCAGUUAGGAUGAAGUGUUUGGAGAAGGAGAUUAGUCGAGCCAAUACUCGAUUGCAUGGCAAGAUGCUGGAUUCUAGGCCAAAGGAGGAUGGUAUGGCUGAGGUUCUUUAUACCACAGUUGCAGGUGCAACCCCGGUUAUUAUGGAUAGGGAUGGGGAUAAGUUUAAGAAGUAUGAUUUGGAUGAUUUGAGGAAGACCCCGAAUCCGUUUUAUGUGGAAUCUGGGAAGAAAGCGGAGAAUGGUUAUAGUUUUGUGCGGACACCAUCACCAGCACCGGGUGUUGAUGAAUCUCCAUUUAUUACAUGGGGUGAAAUUGAAGGAACGCCCCUGAGGUUGGACCUGGAGGACACUCCGAUUGAUGUUGGCGGUGGUGAAGGGCCUCAUUAUAGGAUCCCAUGUCCGCCUGUAAGAGAUGAAAAGGCUCACUCACUGUCAAGAGAAGCUGCACGCAAAUUGAGGGAAAGGUCAAAAAUGUUUCAGAAGCCACCAUUGCCAACGCCCUCUAGAGGUGGCAGUGCCAGUCCGAGUGUGCGGACGCUUUCUCCCGCUGCCCAGAAGUUUGUCAGGAAUGCAAUUGCCAAGUCUUCAUCUUCUGUUGAUGAAACUCUUCGUGCCAGUUACAGAGGUACAAGUCCUGGGUUUUCUACGCCUAAAGGUGGGAGGAGUAUGUCGAGGUUGGGAAGAGAUGCUAGUAUCAUUUCAAGAUCACCAUCUCCAAGGGUGGACUCUAAUCCUCCUUGGUAAUUGGGAGUUUUCUUUGUUUAGAAUCAAUGCUUCGUUUGGCACUGGAGAAGCCUUGUGUGUUUUAACCAUAUAUGUAAAAAUUCAGUAGUUUCUCUCUAUGUUGAUAAGUGGAAGAUUAUUAUAACAAGCUCCAAAUAUUCUAGAUUUCCAUGCUUGUUUUUAACAAUGUCAGUUUCGAUUUCGUACUUCACUACUUGUUCCAUUGAAGGUCUUUUAUAUGAAAUGCAAUAAAUUUAGGAUAUAAGUUUUGUUCAAACUUCUGUCAGUAUUUCAGUUUUAGAUUGUGAUAUGUUGUAUCGAUUUCAUCGUGUUCCUCUUCACAAAGUCAUUAAGCUCCAAUCCAUAUGUGUGUUUGGAAAGUUACUUUAAGCGCUGAUGGAAAAUAUAAUACAGAGAACUAUUACUUGUUGAGUAGCAAAAAUCUUAAUGGUAACUAGCUACUGUUGUUAGUGGGGUUAUGACUUGGUAGUGGAUGUAGUUUCAAAAUGUUGGAUUAAAUCUUGGUACCAUUGCUGGAUGAUUCUUUUGGUUGAUGUGGAUUGCUUGUGUUGUCAUUCAACAUUUUGCUGUAUUUCAGUAUUGCAGCAGAGUCUUAUCAUGCUGUUGAGGAUAUGAACUUUGUCUGGUCAUUCUGUAGAGAGAGAGAUUCAUAAGGUUUUGCUGGUCUAUGGGGGAUGCAUAAUCCUCUCGUCUAAUAUGGAGUUGGAGGACUCUAUUAGAAUCACUCAUUGUCGUCGAAAAAUCGACCUGCAAAUCUUGGCUGCCUGAAUCUGCCUCAACCUUUCAAACUUUUAUGAACUGGUCAUUAAAGUUGAGAUCAUUGUACUUGCAUGGACUGAAGUCGGCAUCUGCUAUCCGUGCCUCUCGGAGUCCUUCUAAAAGGUCAGAUAGAGUGUUUGGAAAAUCUUGGCUGGGUUCUGGCACGGGUGCUACGUGAAGUUUGAGCAGUAAGGGAGGCUCUUUUAAUUUGGUCACUCACAUCUUUCAUUUUACUUUUAUUGCCUACUCUGUCUGCUUGACCAUCAUGGGAGCUCUUUGAUUUGUUUUCGACUUCUUCAUGGACCAGCCAUCGACUUUUACAGUUGGAUACUUUCACAAGCUUCACAUGCCAACUGAUUCUUCUAUGUCCGCACAAUAAUGCUAAAAAAAAAUUACCAAAAUGCUUAACAAAUUUGAACAUUAUUUGCAAAAUGACCAAAUUGAAUACUUGUUUGACAGGCCGUAAUGAGAUAUUUCCUCUCCUGCAAAUCACAUUUUAACAUAUGUAUAAAAAUAAUUCAUAAAAAACAUAAAAAGAAAAACAUUUAUGCACAUAUGAAAUUGUUAUUGACAGUGGCAGGAAUGUAGGAGUUUCUCGAAAUAUGUAAAGUAUUUUUCUUCUCAAAAUGGAAAAACAACCAAAAUAAUACAUAAAUAAACAAAAAUAAAAGAAAAAGAAAGAAUAAAAAUCUCUAACAGCGUAACCUUCUUUAUAUUCUCGAUACGAAACAACUGAGAAACUUGACCAGAAAAAACAGCUGAGAAAAGCGAAGUUGAAGUGGUUAUUCGAUCUACGAAAUGACGUCGUUAGUAGAAACUGAUCCCGCUUCAAGGCAGUUAUAAAUAGAGCCGUCCCUUUACCACCAUUUCUCUCACUCUCUCUUCGCUUCACAGAGCUUCCCUGUUAUUUGCCUUUACCAAAGAAUCUCAAGGUACUCUCUCUCUCUCUCUCUCUCUCUCUCUCUCUCUCUCUCUUGAAGUGCAGGUAGUAUGCAUGUAUGUAUGAGAAAUUGAGACCUGUAAUCGUUGCUUAGCCUGCAUAAGAAUCUAUUUGAUGCAUUUAGCACUUGCAGUUUCUGACGAUCUUUCUAAGAAUUGGAUUUAAAUUCAUCUUCAGCAUGAUUAGCGCUUCAAUUUCAGCCUUUCUUCUCCUUCUUUCGCUCUGAUUUGCUUCACUGAUUUCAAUUUGCUAUAUAGUUCUCAAAACUCUGCGUUUCUUGGCAGUUUACAUUCGUACAUACACAUAAGCACGCACACAAGUAUGUAAUUUGGUUAUGUAACCCUCAGAAACUUGUUUCUUUACGUAGUGCUUAAUUUUGUAGUAAUCAGACUUCUUUUUCUCUAUUUUUUUGUAAUUUUGUUUUCUGUUUUACUGUGUGCUUGAAUUGUGUUUCUUUGUGUUCUGAUAGUUUAUCUCCGUUUGUUUCUGAAUGUAUAAUUGUGUAUGAAGAGAUUGAAAUUAUGUAACUGAAAACGUAGUUCUGUAAUUAGGAAGAAUCAAGAUUCAGUUGGAGCUAUCUUUCUUUACCUUACUAUUGAAAUUCAGUUGAGCCUUCUUUCUUCGCCUUACAAUUUCUAACUGUUCUUUUUUGGCUUAAUUUUCUAAUUACCUGUUGAUGAUUUUGCAGUAUAGUCGUAUGGCUCUGUGUAUCUGUGUAGAGAGUGAUGGUUAAAAUUCCUUCUUCAGUUUUGCUGCUGAAACUCCAGUUGUGAUAAUAAUAAUCAGAAAUUAAUUUUCUCUGCGGAACGCGUCGGGUGGCAUUUGCAUUUCUUCAUUCAGAUCUUUUUUUAUUUUUUUAUUUGUUACUCAUUUGCUGGAAAAUUUAGAGUUAAUUAGUUCUCAUGCAUCACAGCAGUAGGACUAGUGUUCUAUUCUGUUUCUCUUUGGAUCAUUUGGGUGAAUUGUCUCAUGAUUUGAAGUCCCUUGUCCUUGUGAAGGGUAUAGUUAUUUAGAGCUUUAACUGGUUCUUUACCUCAUCAGAUUGAUCUUUGAAGAUGCCAAUUGACAACUCAAACACGUCUGAUCGAGAUACUGAGCCAUUUGUGGAGGUUGAUCCAACUGGGCGGUUUGGGCGGUAUGAUGAUCUCCUUGGUCAUGGUGCUGUGAAGAAGGUUUAUAGGGCUUUUGAUCAGGAGGAAGGUACAGAGGUGGCCUGGAAUCAGGUCCGCUUGAGGACUUUCAGUGAAGAUCCAACUCUCAUAAACCGGCUUUACUCAGAGGUUAAGCUAUUGAGCACAUUGAAGAACAAGUAUAUCAUUGUUUGUUACAGUGUUUGGAGGGAUGAGGCGCACAACACUUUGAAUUUCAUCACUGAGGUGUGCACAUCUGGAAACCUGAGGCAAUACAGGAAGAAGCAUCGCCAUGUGUCUAUUAGGGCUUUGAAGAAGUGGUCAAGACAGGUGCUUGAGGGAUUGGAAUACCUCCAUACACAUGAGCCAUGCAUCAUUCACAGAGAUCUCAAUUGCAGCAACAUCUUCAUCAAUGGGAACACUGCCCAGGUAAUUAUAACUCAUAAGUUGUAUCAACUUGUUUCUCCUGAUUUCUGUGAGCAUAAAUUGGGUCGCUCUCUUUUUCGUCAGUAUGAAUUUUAUAAUCUGUUUGGACUAAUGAAAUUGCUCUGCUAUUCCCAAAUCGGAGUUAAUAUAUAUAGCUAACAAUAGGCAAUUUAUUUUUGCGGUCAUGCAAUCCAAAUCUUUGAUAGUGUUUUCAUGUAAACUUGAAGAACACGAAGUGAUGAGUUAGAUGAGGGUUUUGGGGUAAUUAUUUAGACCUAUUUUGUUCAGAUGGAAAAUGAAUCUGAGUAGUGAAUGCCAGUAAGAUGAGGUUGGAUUUCUCUAUGUUUCCACUAAACAGACUUUUCCAUCCUAUUCUUGUAAUGUUGCAGCAUUUCUAUAUUUACAUUCUACUCUGCAUCACCAUAUAGUCCUUAGUGAUUUUGGGUACAUCUAUUUUUCUGAACCCCAAAAGAGCCUUGCAUGUUUUGAUUGAAGAGUUGAAUAUCUGGUGUGAACUACAAAAUUUAGAAUUUAUGUCCCCACUUCAUGUACAAUUUCCUAAUAUUAUAGGAAUGCAAAUCCAAUAUCCUAAUUCAGGUCUAUCCUUUUUUCAUGAACCUUUUCAUAAGUUUCUGGCCCUGCCUGAACCAUUAUGAAUUUGAUUUAUAGGUGAAAAUUGGUGAUCUGGGAUUUGCAGCAAUAGUUGGUAAGAACCAUGAAGCGCAUUCGAUUAUAGGGACACCUGAGUAUAUGGCACCUGAGCUAUACGAGGAGGACUACACAGAGAUGGUGGACAUAUACUCCUUUGGGAUGUGCUUGCUGGAGAUGGUGACAAUGGAGAUACCAUACAGUGAAUGUGACUCUGUUGCCAAGAUAUACAAGAAGGUCACGGCCGGUAUUAAGCCUGAAGGCUUGAACAAGGUGACUGAUCCAGAGGUGAAGGCGUUCAUUGAGAAAUCCAUAGCCCAACCGAGGGCAAGACCUAGUGCCUCUGAUCUUCUCAAGGACCCUUUCUUGUCUGAACCCAAAUCCAAUAUUGAAGAGAUUGAACAAAUCCUCUGAUGGCUUUUCGACAUUAAUCAUCUUUUCGAGACCUCAUUUGAUGAUGAUCUAGGGGUUUGGCUCUCAUUUCUGAACCAUCACAACUGAUCCAUGGUGUUUCUGUUCAAGUACAUGCCUAUAGACUCUCUCUCUCUCUCUCUCUCUCUCUCUCUCUCUCUCUCUCUCUCUCUGUGACAUCUGUAAUGUAGAUUCUAGUAAUGGAGAUAUUGGUAAUGCUGUGUAGUUGAAUUUGUAGUAAAAACAAAAAUAUUAUGAGAAUAUUAUGAAAAUUUCAAUGAGACUGCUUUAGCAAUAGUUCUCUCUCUCUCUCCCUAUUUACACUAGCACCCCUAAGGUUUUCGGAAUUUUCACAUAGAAUUUGCAUCUCAUGAAAAUAAAAACAUAAAAGUUUCUCAUUGAGAAUAAUAUUACAGCGAUCCCUUGACAGAUAAAAAACCAUUAUAUUUAUCAGGAGCUUUUAAGGGAAUGUAUUGCUUGAGCUAAAAGGAUCAUAGCUAAGGCUGGUACUUCUGUUCAGUCCAUGACAAUUUGCUGUCUUCCUCUAUGCUAUAAGAUAUUUGUUUAGACGACAAUUGCAUACACGCAAUUGUAAUCAGGACCGCACACUCAAACAUGAUUUUACCUAUUGAACGGUCAGAUUGACUGUCUAGCAUGUUAUGUAUUUAGUAUUAUAUACACACACAGAUAUACUAUAUAUAAUAUAACGAAGUAAAAGUUGCAUGGAAAUACAAAGUAAAAGUAAUUUUGGGGAUUGGGGGUUGUUGGGAGAAAGCAAGCAAAGACCCCUUCAUCCAAAGCACCAGAAUAUUGACAACAAUCAGAAGCCGUGCCGUCUUGGGUGUUUGUUAUGCUACGUAAUACGCAAACACAAAGCUUCGCCCGCACUUCAUCUUCUCCCUUUAUCAUUAUUUAAUCAUUUCCUUCUCAACUAGUUUACCAAUUUACAUUGCCUCAUUCUUCCCUUUUCAAUUUCCCAACACAUCCUUCGCAAAUCUCCAUGACUUCUCAUCCCACCUCUUCUAACUAGAGUGUACAUGGCCUUGCAUCAAUGGGUUUUUUUUUUUUUUGGUUCUUUUCCUUUUACCUUUCUGAUCAACAAUUGUCGUUCGUGAGAUUUGAACUCGCAACUGGGAGAAACUAAACCAACAUGUUGAGAACAUGAAUGAACUGAUCUAAUUAAUGGGUACCAAAGGAAAGUCCAAUCCAACGGUUAGGAUUUGCAUUCAAUUUGAUGGUGUUUAGUUUGGGUCACAUACAUGCAUAGACAGCAAACUUGUUGUGCAAGCCUAUGACAUGGAAAGGAGUGGAGAAUUACCAUAUUCUAGUGACUGGUAGCACCAAGAAUUCAACUGCUCAGCACUCGAGAACGUUUUUGAAGCCUUAAAAUUUGGACAUUGAGAGGGUUUCACUCGUGUGCAUUUGACUUUGACUAGAAAAAAAAAAAAAGCUGCACGAAUGUGUGUGUUACACAAUGUCUUGAUUAAAAUUUUAAAAACCACCUCUUUUGAUUCAAUCAUUCUUCUAUUUGAUUCCACUGGUUUGCCAAUUCUAGAAGCCUUGUGUGUAUAGUUGUAUACUAUACUCUAUUUUAAUGUUCUUUGAAAAUUGAGAUAACUUCCGAGCAUU
RNAcentral lists this long non-coding RNA (95157 nucleotides) under Prunus persica (peach). RNAcentral describes it as "long non-coding RNA (PPER_LNC003799)". Lineage: Eukaryota; Viridiplantae; Streptophyta; Magnoliopsida; Rosales; Rosaceae. The record is from RNAcentral.